RNAcentral lists this long non-coding RNA (151763 nucleotides) under Cucumis sativus (cucumber). Its description in RNAcentral is "long non-coding RNA (CSAT_LNC001450)". Lineage: Eukaryota; Viridiplantae; Streptophyta; Magnoliopsida; Cucurbitales; Cucurbitaceae. The record is from RNAcentral.
UUUUCUCAUGUUUUUUUUUUUUUUUUUUUUUUUUUUUUUGUGAAUUUGUUGAUUUGGUUUCAUUGUGUUGCACUGAUGUCUGUCAUUGUACUCCUCCUCCUUUUUGUGUUGUUAUUGUAGGUAUGUUGCUACUGAUAUCCCAAGUGACCUUUUAGUACAAGUUGAGGGUGUCAAUUUCCAUUUGCAUAAGGUGUUGUAUAAUCUCCUCUGUUUGGAUAGAUCAUAGAUGGAUGAACUUGAACUUUGAACUUGGGGUUUUUUCUUUUUUCUUUUUUUUUUUUUUGGUUUGUGUUUUGCUUUCCUUAAUGGGGUUGUUUCGUUUUUGGCUGUUUAUGAACUGUGAAGUAUCCUCUUCUUUCUAGAAGUGGGAAGAUGAACAGAUGCAUAUACGAAUCCAGAGACCCAGAUUUGAAUAAGGUUGUUUUGGAUGAUCUUCCUGGUGGGGCUGAGGCUUUUGAACUUGCAGCCAAAUUUUGUUACGGAAUAGCUGUUGAUUUGACUGCAGCCAAUAUUUCUGGCCUUAGGUGUGCUGCUGAGUAUCUUGAAAUGACAGAAGAUUUGGAAGAAGGUAAUUUGAUUUUCAAAACUGAGGCAUUUCUUAGCUACGUGGUACUUUCUUCAUGGAGGGACUCCAUAGUUGUGUUGAAAAGCUGUGAGAAGCUCUCGCCGUGGGCUGAGAACCUACAAAUUGUUCGACGAUGCAGCGAGUCUAUUGCUUGGAAAGCUUGUGCUAAUCCUAAAGGAAUUAGAUGGGCAUACACUGGCAAACCCCCAAAAGUUUCUAGUCCCAAAUGGAAUGAUUUGAAGGAUUCAAGUCCUAGUAGGAAUCAGCUCGUUCCACCUGAUUGGUGGUUUGAGGAUGUCUCAAUCCUCAGGAUUGAUCACUUUGUUAGAGUAAUCACAGCAAUCAAAGUAAAGGGUAUGAGGUUUGAAUUGAUUGGAUCGUCGAUUAUGCAUUAUUCAUCAAAAUGGCUUCCUGGUUUGGUAACCGAUACAACAAAUGCCGGUGAUGAAGGAAGUACCAGCACUACGAGUAACACAAGCAGUGGCAGCAACAGUUGGAAAGGUGGGCUUCAUAUGAUUGUGGCUGGCAACAAGGAAGAUCACUCGGCCAUUCAGGCGAAAGAUCAACGAAUGAUCAUUGAGAGCUUGAUCAGCAUCAUUCCUCCACAGAAAGAUUGUGUCUCAUGUAGCUUCCUUCUAAAAUUGUUGAGAAUGGCAAAUAUGUUGAAAGUUGCACCGGCAUUGGUCACUGAAUUGGAGAAAAGAGUUGGAAUGCAGUUUGAACAAGCCACACUUGUGGAUCUUUUGAUCCCAUCUUACAGCAAGAGUGAUACAAUGUAUGAUGUCGAUCUUAUUCAGAGGCUGCUUGAGCAUUUCCUAGUCCAGGAACAGACUGAGAUUUCGAGUCCAAGCCGACAAUCAUUUUCUGAUAAACACAUGUAUGAUGGAUCUCAAAGAGGGACUGUUCCAAAUGCCAAGAUGAGGGUGGCAAGGCUUGUUGAUAGCUAUCUAACAGAGGUAGCCAGAGACAGAAACCUUUCCUUGACAAAAUUUCAAGUACUGGCUGAAGCUCUGCCAGAAUCUGCUCGAACAUGUGACGAUGGGCUUUACCGAGCUAUCGAUUCCUAUCUUAAGGUAAAUAUCUUACAAACUUGUAUUGUUUUUCCACUAAGGCUGUUUUAAUUACGUGAACAUGUCUGUUAAAUCUGCCUUCAAGAUCAGAGAGUUUCCAAACAUGAUGUGUUCUCUAAGUGAACUGGUAAUGACAGGCGCACCCUACGCUCACAGAGCACGAGAGGAAGCGACUAUGCCGAGUAAUGGACUGCCAGAAGCUCUCCAUUGAUGCAUGUAUGCACGCAGCACAAAACGAAAGGCUCCCGUUACGAGUGGUGGUCCAAGUCCUGUUCUCGGAGCAAGUAAAGAUAAGCAAUGCAAUUGCCAAUUCGUCACUAAAAGAAGCAAACGAUUCGCAAUUCCAACCACUCGUAACAAACCGUAAGACAUUGCUGGAAGCCACACCACAAUCAUUCCAAGAAGGAUGGGCAACUGCCAAGAAAGACAUUAACACACUGAAAUUUGAGCUUGAGAGUAUGAAGACCAAGUAUCUUGAACUUCAAACUGAAAUGGAGAGCUUGCAAAGACAAUGUGAGAAGGUUACAAAGCAAAAGCAAAGCUCUGCCUGGAGUAGUGGGUGGAAAAAACUGAGCAAAUUGACUAAAAUUUCAACUUUGGAAACCCCAGAAAAUGAAUUCCAACAUCCAGGCAUUGCAGAACAGACUAAGAAAGUACACAGAAGAUGGAGGAAUUCAAUAUCAUAGGAUGCAAAUGGCAUAUCACUUUCAUAUUUCAACAUUUGGGUUCUGUCUUCCUUUUUUCUUUUUUCCUUAUCUUUUUUCUUUUCCUUUCUCUCUUUUCCUUUUCCAUUGGGUCAGAGAAGAACACAACAUUUUACUUUCUUUUUCCCAGCAAUCAAAAUCACUUUAUGCUGGUUGGAAUAGACUUUGAUAUAAUUCAUGUUUCCCAAAUUUGUAAGUGUUUUCUUUUCAUUUCUAAUGAGUUUUGUGCCACUGUUUCAAAUAAUUUCUCAGGUAACUUUUGUAGACUUUUCGAGUUUUUAUUCUGUUACACUACCUCUCCUAUAAAUUUUUGGGAUGAUGAAAUGAUUUGCAUAUUUCUAAGUACAGAAGUACAACAAUAGUGUCAAAUUUUAAAAACAAAAACAAACUUUUAAAAAUUAAUUUCUUCUUUCAUUUUCAAAUUUUUGUUUGGUUGUUUAAACUAUCGGUAAUAUGUAGAUAAAAAAGAAAAAAAAGAAAGUUGAAAUUAGAAGUAUGGUUGUAUGGUUUAUAGACUUAGUUUUAGAAAACAAAAUGGUAAAAGUAAAUAUGAUACAUAUUGAUAUGAUUGUUUGAUUAUAAAAUAAUUUUUUUUUUUAAAAAAAAACAAAGCAAAUUAGAUGGAACUGACUUUUUUUAUAUUAUAUUAUGAUUGAUUUAUAGGUUUGUUUAGCGUAGAAAGAGUAAUAUUAUUAUAAAAGCAAAAGAAAAUAAUUGGAGGUGGUGAAGUAUAAUGGGAACAAUAAAAACAAAAGAUAUAAAUAAUGGAGAAAUGUUAAAAAUGAAAAUGAUUAAGAAUGAGUCGAAAAAAAGAGGAUGAAUUUGAGUAAGGAAUGGGAAGCACAUUGUCGUCCACAAAGGCCAUCUAUCAGAGGGUCCCUCUUUCCUUAUCAACUUCUUUGUUGCCCCAACACAAUUAAUACAUAUAAUACAUAUAAUACAUAUAAUAUUUACUUUAUUUCAACAUCAUUAUCAUUCUUCACAAAAUAGAUAUGGUUUUGGGUAUCCAUCAAUUGGGUUUUUAAUAUCAGUUUUAGUCUAAACAGAAACCAAAAGAAUAUCUCCUUUCAUAUAAGAUAAGGUAUACCAAAAAUAUUCUAUUGUGUUUAUUACAUGAUUUGAAAUAGAAUGAUAUAUAUAUAUAGUUAGGAUCACAUAGAAUGUCCUCACAUAAUUUAAUUAAUCAACUCUUCUUUUUGUUAUAAUUAUAAGAUUAUUAUUAUUAUUAUUAUAAUUUAAUGAUUUUUUUAUUAUUUUUUAUUAAACUCUGUUGAGUGAAAAAUGUUAGUUCAUUUUCAAAACAUUUAGAAAACACCCAAUCACACCUUUUUUUUUUCAUAUUACGAAUAUGAUGAGUAAUUAGUGAUAUCAGACGACUAUUAGAAGACUAUUAGAGGGUUAUCGAUUUUUAAAUUUGUUACUUUUGCAAUUUAGAAAAUGUAAUGACAUAAAAGGUGUGUUUGAAUUGAUUUUUGGAGUGUUUAAUUUUUAAAAUAAUUCAUUUUAAGAUAAAUUGAGGUGUCUUGACAUUUGUUUAAAAUAAAUUUUGGAAAAAUGAGAUUAUGAAAUAAAUCAUUUUAGAGAAAAUGCAUACAACCAAAUUUUAGAAUAAAUGUUUAUUCGGUGUUUAAUGAGAAAUUUCUUCUAAAUAUGUAUUUUUCUCUGCCUAUUUAUUUUAUUUCUUUUUACUAUCUAUUUUUCACUCUUUUUUCUUAAAUACUUUCAAUAAUUUUUCAACGUGUUCAUAUAUAUUUAAAUAUAGAAAUUUGCAAAUGUUUCUCUUUAAGCUAAAUCUACUUCGUCUUCACAUCUAUGAAAAAAAUUAUGAGGACGUCAAUGAAGAACAUGAUUGUUCGUGACAUGAAAAUGAAUUAAGAACGUUAUUUAUCUUAUUUAUAUUUUGUUGUUGGAAAUCAAUUAAUUUUUUUUAUAUAGGUUAUGUAUUACAUUUCAAGAUAUUUGUGCUUUUAAAAAUUAAUUAUCCAAAAUAAUAAUAACGAAAUUAAUAUUUAGUUUCAAGAAUUUAAAAUUUUAAUAAUUUCAAGAUAACGUGCAAUUACUUUUAAAAAAUAUUUUAGAAAAAAGAUUUAAAAUGGGUGUAUUUCGUUAUGAAAUUAAUUUAUAAUAUUUAAUAGUCUUUUAUAGUAGUUUAACCUACGUAUAAAACACUAUUAGUAUAUGACAAACAAAAUACAUUUUUGCACGUAAACGUUUAUAAAUAGGUCAAACCAAACAUGUAAGUGUUUAGAUUUUAAAUUCAUUUUACAAAAAAAGACUUUUUAAAAAGUGUAUUCUUACGAAAACAUUUUUUUUUAAAAGGCAAUCCAAACGGACCCGAAUUCUACUACCAUAAUUUUUUUUACUAUUUUUUUUUAUUAUAAAUAUCCCUUUAAACAAACUCAAUAUGUUAAAACAUCUCUAUUUUCUAAGUUUCUUGUUCAAAUCAAUUUUGUAUUUUUUUUAAUUUUUAUUUCGAUUUUAUAUCUUAAAUAACAUCCAUGUUUGAUGGAAAUAUCAUGAUUUUAAUUUUAUUGAAAUAUGGAUAUUGAUAGAAAAUUUUACAAAACUUUAAGAAAAUUAAUGAAAAUGGUUAUAACUAGUUAAUAAAACUUUAGUUAUAGUUUAACUUUAGACUAGAAUUAAUCAUUUUUAUGGUAUAAGAUAACAUUUAAAACUAUAUUUGUAACUAUUUUUCUUAAACGUUGGAUGGAAUAGCUGAAAAUUAAAAAGAAAUGAAAAAAGUAAAUACAUAAUCGUACAUAAAAUGUAAAUAUAUAUAGGUUUUGUUUGUGGGUUUUUUCAAACUCGAUUUCCUUUCUAAAUGAAAGUUUCUUGAAAUUUUUUGAAAUAAUAUUUUCAAAAUGGAAAUUGAAAUUUUACGUUGCUUAAAUUUAAAAGUUACUAAAAUCUCGAAAUUUCAAGAAAUAAAUUAUAAUAGUAAAAAAUAAAAUAUUCAAAAGUGAUCGUUGAAUUGAGUUUAAGAAGCUAAUAGAAAACAUAAUAAGUGGAUUUAAGAAAAAUCCAUAAACCAAUAAUUGAAAGGAGAGAAAGGAGAGUCCCACUCCACAUACUCCACAUGAAGGAUAAAGUUUUAUAUAUAUAUAUAUGCUUUCAAAGUGAUGUGUCUUAGCUAAAGGAAUAACAUAGCUUCAAUCAUUUUCCAUCAACUUGAAGACAUAUAACUUACAAAUUUAUUAAUAAAAUUGACUCAUAUAUAAAAUUUAGUAUAUGUAAGAUAUAAAAGUUGAGAAAUUAUGACAUCAUGGGUUGGUUGGUUCAUAAAUAAAACAAUAUAAAAGGGAGACAAAGAGACAUUGAAUCCAACCCUAAAACAGUCUUCAAACACCAAAAUCUCUCUUUACUUUUGGCCAACCAAAAUUCAGUGAGAUAAAAAGAAAAGAUGUGUUAUAUCAAUCAGCCUUAUGAAAAAGAAAACACACCCUUUUUUCUAAGAUAUAUAUGAAAACUAAAAUCAAAUAUUGCAUUCAUUCAGGUGGUUAAAUAAAAAGUAGAUAAUAUAAUUACCAAUAUUAAAUUUGUCUUCAUUUAUUUAACUUAAAUAUGUAAUUUAAAUAUGUAGAUAUUUUCAUGUUGUUGUGUCGUUAAACCAAACUUUUCAUAUCAAACUUUUAAACUUGAGGUUGAUGGUAAAUAUUUGAUUUGGGUUAAGUUAUAUGAGUACAUAAAUAUCAAUUUACAUAUAUCUUUCUCAUGUGUAUAUUAGAUUAAUCUAAUAGCAGGGAUUAGCAAGGGAAAACCAAAGAGAAAAAAUUUGCUUAAAAACUCGCUAUUGAUGUAUAACUUUUUCAUGUGCACGAGACUAAUCUAUAUAUUAGUGCUGUCAUUUUGCCUACGUGAGAAGAGGAAGAAGAGAAGCAUUUUCGAUUUAAGUAUUUGAGUAUUGUGAGUGUUUUUUUUUUAAUGUUAAUAUUAAAAGUUUUCCUUAGUAGUUCUAUGAUGUUUGAGGUAAUGAUUUCAAUUCAAAUGAUUUCUAAAAGAGACUUCUAUGAAAAGCUUAUGCGUAUUUCAAAGUAUGUCUAUUGAGUUUUCAAAAGUUUAUUAAUAAUAUUGUUCAAACCAUUAGUUACGUCAUUUAAUGAGAUAACUGUUAUGUGCACAUAAGGAGUAAAAAACCAUUGUGGGUGAAAAGGGGCUACAUGGUGAAUUGAUGCAGGACAAUAAUGUAUAAAAGAUGUGCAUUGCGUCUUGACUUGAACAACAAUGAUGAAUCUGUAUAUUCUCGAAUGCUAUAUUAACAGUAGUCUAAACACGAAAUAAUUAAUGAAACUAAGCGUAGAGAAUAAUUUGGGAUCCUCGGCUAAAUGAAUGUUUGGUAACUAAUGAUAUGUUUAUAUGAACUAAUAUAUUUCUAUUUUAUGCGAAUGAGAAAAAGAAUUUCUUAAAACCUCACUGAUUAGUCUAUUAGACUUGUUUAAAUCUCAUCUUCCAAGAACCAAAUGUUAUGCCCAAGUAAGGAGGGUUGAAAUGCUCACUAGACGAGAAGGUUGCCAAGACAUUUUACUUUCAAAGUUUAAGAGUUGUAUUAUUGUAUGAAAUUGUAAAAUGUGUUGUAAAACACUCAUCCUGGUUUAAUAAAGUUUGUUUUGAUUGCUUCCUCUGUUAAGUUAUGUUUUUAUCGCCUAAAGUAUGACUUUAGUUUUUCUAAGAAGAAUAAUCCAAGCAAUUAAACAAAACUUAAAAACCUUAAGAUCAAUCAAGUGUCUUUAACCUUAACGCGUCAAGGAUACUCAAAAUCAUGCGACGUCUUACGUACCAAGCAAGAACGUCCGCAGGGCGGGGUAUAUGAUAAUAAAUGUUUUUCCUAUUUUCUUUAAUAGAUAAAACAACUAUAAUUAAAUAUAGCACAUCCAUUUUGACCUUCUCAUUUAAAACUAGCUGUCCUGAUUAUAUAAUAUCUAUGGGUUAAAUGAAGAUAUAUUAAUUAAGAUGGAGACAGAUAAUAUUAAGCAAAAUAUCUGCAAUUUGUAAUUUAUUGAGUAUAAUGAAAAUGAAGAAUGCUAUCAUAAUUAAUUUGAGUUGACCUAUUGAUCUAUCUUCUGUGACCCUCGUACUCAAAUUUUAGAUUUAAAAAUCACUGAUAUUUUCUUAACAUUACAUCAACAUUCAUAUUUUAGCUCACAUUUUAAUAUGAAAUAAUUAUGGAUAUCAAUUCCCGAAAUAAAAAGUUAUGCCUUCUUAACUCACAUGGGAUUUAGAGGUAAAUUCUGAAUGUGAAUAUUCCGAGUUCUCAUCAUACAUCUAUGCUCGUAUGUUAAAAUAUAAAUGUUAAAAUCAUUAUUUGAUUUUAGAGGGAAAUGUUAAAAUAUAAAGAUUUGAUAAGUUCACGUGUUUGGUUUGAUUUUGAAGUCUUUAAUUUUUAAAAUAAUUCAUUUUAAAAUGAAUUGAGGUGUUUGAUAUUGGUUUAAAAUAAUUUUAUAAAAAACAUGAGAUUAUGAAAUAAAUCGUAAAUAAAAAUAUAGAAAUAAAAGUAGAAGAUAAAAUCCUAAUUCGGGCACUAUCUAACUUUUAAAGAAUAGUAACAUAAAAAUAAUUCAUAAGUUCAACAUGUAACGUUCCAAAAUUUAAGAUAUUUUUUUGGAGAUAAUUAUUUUAGCUAUAUUUAAUUUGUUGGGUGUUAUUUGAUGAAAAUUAUUUGAUUUUUUGAAAGUUAGGAUUAGUUAAAUAUUUAGUGGAAGAAUGUUUAAUUAAUUGUUCAAUUUUUUGGAUGUUGAGUUUUGUGAAAGAUUUAAUUUAAUUAUAGUCAUGGGAUACUUCCUUACAAUAUCCUAAUGGGAAGUUAACAAGCGAGACUAGUAGCGAGUCCCUUAUUGAGUAUAUAUUUAUAUUCACUCUUUCUAUGUUUAAUUUUUUAGGCAAAGGUAAAGGUAGAGGAAAGUUGGCGAAUGACAAGAAGUGAUCGUGGCUUGCCAUAGGAUAAAGUUUAUGUUGCUUCCGCUUUAUGUUUACAGUGUUUUGACUUUUUUUUUUAUAGUAUUUUUGUUAAAUUUAUCAAACAUAGAAAGAGUGAAUAGGGCCCGAACUAGAAUUUUAUCUACUAUUUUAUCUCUACAUACAUUAGUUAUGAUUUAAAUGAUUAUUUGAAGUUUUUAUUGAAAAUUUAGUGUCUUAUUUGGGUUUUGAUAAAAGUCUUUAUUUAUUUUAUUAGUAAUGACCUUAGCUUAGUAUAAAAAGUUGUGUCGUUACACAACAAUUUUAAAUAAAAUAUAAAAAUCACAUACUGAAAACAUGAAAGGCAGAAGCAACAUAAGAUAUUCUAUUUGGCAAGUCAUAGUCACUUCUUAUCUUUCACCAGCUUUUCUCUACCUCUACCUUUACCUAAAAAAUUAAACAUAGAAAGAGUGAAUAUACACGUAUAUUUAGUAAGUGUGAGACCCAUUUCUAAUUUGAGUAAGGAAGUAAAAUUCGGCUAAAUAUUAAGAAGUUGACGUUUGAAUAAAUCUGUGGGUAGUUCGCGAAAGAAGUUGUGCGAUAAGAAGAGAAAAAAUAUUCGCGUAAGUUAAGAAGUGAAAGUUUUGAGUGUUAGACUAGGAGUUUUAGGUGGUCUUCGUAAGAAAAACCGAGUGUUUUGUGGAGAAAGUUUGUGAGGAAGCCUUAGUUAAGUUCACGAUAAGAGUUCUAUGCGAGUAAAAGUUGGUUCGUUCAUGUGGAAGAUUUCUUAUAGUAAAAAUAUAAUCACCCGAUAAAGUUAUCUGCAAGAAAUGUUAAGUGGUUGAAGUUAUUUAUGGUUUGGGUUAGGUGGAAAGCAAGGUCUGUAGAAGAAAAUAUUAAAUUAGAUUUGACAGAGGUUAACAUGUAAGAUUAAGGAUUUAAGCAUGGCUAGGUUGAAUAUUAAAUUUACACGUGUGAAGUUUUCAGUAGGAGCAAACAAACUGAGAAGAGUUUUUGCAUGUCUAAGUUAGUUUAAGGACUCUAUACAUAAGAGAAUUUGGGUAACUAAGGAGGGGGUGAUGAGCGUUUUGUUGAAACGUUAAAGUGUUGUUCGUUUAGCCACACAAAGAGAUGCUUGCGAGAAGAAGAACGACUUCUUUAGUAAAGUUUGGUGAGUGUCUUUCUCUCAAAUGAAUUUAUGUUAAAAAAUUUUAUUAUGAUUUCUCUUUACUGAUUUGAAAAAAGAAUUUGAAUGAGAAUGUUUCAAAGAGAUUUCUAUGAAAAGUUAUGUUUUCAAGCAUGAUUUAUAAUGUUAAAGCUUGAUUUGAUGAUUAUGAUUUCAAUACUAUGUUUCUUUGAGAUGAUGCUAACUUUUAUAUACACUUAAAGAGUCUAGGCCACCAUGGGGUGUACGGACUACAUGGUGAUAAAAAGUUGGCUUAUGAUUUGAAAGGGUCAUAUAAAAGCUUAGCGGCCUGAGCAACAAGGAUGAAUCUGUAUGUUCUCGGAUGCUGUUGAUAUAGUAGUCAAAAUGCGAGCUAAUGAGACCGAGCGUAGAGAACGAUUCGAGAUCCUUGAAAAAAUGAAAUGAUUUGUUAAGCAUAAAGAAAUAUUUAUGUAAAAUGAAAUGAUUUGUCGAUAUAUUUAAAUGAUUUGAUAUUAUUUUUUGCAAAAUGAUUAUGAAAAGGUAUUGCAAAAGGUUUUCAUAAAACUUCACUAAGUCUUUUAGACUUACAUUUUAAAAAUCUAUCUUUCAGGAUCAGACGUUUAGGCAUUCAGGAUCGAUCAGACAUUUCAGGUGAUUCAAGACAUUUUGGAAAUGGUUAAGCCUUGGUUAUUUGGUCAAAGUCUUGUAAUAAUGUAUGAAACACAUAUUAUUAAUAAAGUAUACAUUUUGGUUUAAUUUAUAUUUAUUUUGCCUGACAUUACAUUGACCAUCGUUACGUUUUGAGUGUUGUUAAUAGUUUAAAAGGAGUUGAGAAUAAGAUCUUUUGAUAAAAAAUUUUUAAGGUUCUAACAAACUUGCAUCCUAUUUUUACUACUUCGACGAAUCGUCGCAUUGUGGUUUAAGGUGUGACAGUAAGGGACCCAUUACUAGUCCCACUAGAUGUCUCUUAAUUUUCCAUUAAAGUUAUGUAGGAAAGUACUCCAAAACUAACAUGCACCCGAACACACGCUAUCUAGUGAUCCCGUAGGAACACAUAUGGUCUUCGAUGAACUCAAAGGAAACACUUAAGAGAAAUUGUCUUUUACAAACCCAAAGGAAAGCCUAAGAGAAUCGAACUAUAAGUGACCCUAUCGAAUCACUCAUAAAAGUUAUCAUGACAAACUAGUGGUCUCGUCGAACCACACAAUCAUAAAAAGGUGAUGAUCCUGAGGAACAUCCAUGUGGGUAUGACCUUAAUAGACAAGGUUAACAAAACACCACAAUUUAUAUAACAUGUAUGUAGUAUAUCAUAACAUGACAUGAAUAUCAAUCAUAACAUCCUUAUUAUGUGAUUAAUAUAUCAUGCAUCAUAACAUAUCAAUCAUCCAUAUUAGUCACCUUAUGCAUCUUAACAUAUCAAUCAUCCAUAUUAGUCACCUUAUGCAUCUUAAUUAGAUACAUCAAUGCAUAAUGGAAAAUACAUGCACGCUCUUAUUUUUAGGUUCGAAGGUCUAGUAGUAGAAUCUCAUACAUGAGAGAUUAAUAACAACUAGUGAGAGAUUAAGUUUCCAAAUAGACAAAUCCUAAACAUAAACAAAAGUUUAAUUUAAUACUUUGACAUCCAACAAUUAAUUACCUAGACUUCCAAACUUACCAACAAAAGAGAUUGAAACCAAUUCAAUCUGUAGGUAGAAUUCCACACAUAAAUACUCCAACUGUUUUAGCCAAAUGAACCUAAAGGAAAAAUAAUCCAUUUUAAGUGGAAACGAAAGGCCUCACGAACGAAGAUACAACCGGAUGGCGACGCUUCGCGACUUAUGGCAUGCUAUUCGCGACGGUGAACGAAAAUGGUUGAAGGGCGGCGAUGUUCUUGAGCGGUGGCUAGGGUUUCCAACGUGAAGAAUAAGAUGAAUAGUGAGGAUGUGCAAGCGUUCCAAGUCUCUAUAAAACAAUAAUAAUAACAAUUAUUAUUAUUACUUCUUUUUAAACUCCAAAGUUUUUCAUUUUUUUUAUUUAUUUAUUUUGAAUCUGUGUUUGUAUAAUUGGCCUUCUGGAGGUUGGUAAUGUAAUAUAUGUGUAUUGGAACCACAUGCUCCCAUGGAAGAAAACAUAAGUGUUCUUUUAAAAUAAGGCUAUUUAUGAAGCAUGGUUAUUUUGAGCUAUGCCUGAAAUGUUUCUUUAUCUUCAUUUUUUUACUCUAAACUCUUUCUUUGGCUUCUUAACCAAUUUAUGGGAAUACUUACUAAAAUAGUUGUUGGAGGAAUGAUCGAGCAGUUACUAAGGAGGAAGCUUAAGACCCAGUUUACCGUAAGAACGCUACCUUUUUUUUUGCUUCUUUUUCCUCUGGAAAUUUCAUUUGACAGAUCAAAUUGUAUAGCUGCAGUAUUUUGUCGAAAUUGUGUAAUUAUGCUAUCUUAAUAUACUCUAGAUUGUAAAUGAAGGUUCCAUCUUUCUCAACCCUUCUCAAAGAUUGAUCACCCUCGAACUGCAAGGUGGGAAAGAAGAUUCUUUAGAAGGUAAACACUUUGUUUUCCCCCACCUCUAAAGGAAAAUGAUGGAAGUGAUAGUCUUGGAGUUCAACUUGUGGAUAAGAAGCAUUGGGAUGAUCUUAUAAUUAUCAUUGUUGUGGUACGUAGCUUUUCUCACUUUUGUUCUUAUGACGUAAUAAACAUAAAAUAUUAUAAUGUUUUUUCUUAUAAGCGAGGACAGAACAAAUUGUUCACUAAUUGGACAAAAUGCAGUGAUUUUUUAUUUUUACAGUUUCUAUUGGAGUUCUGGUUUCGUAGUCCACAGUUUAAGUUGCCUUAGGGCUUGUAUAAUCGAUGAUGAUGUUUUCUAUUGUAGUAUUAAACAUACUUUAGAAGCCACAAAGAUAAAAGUCACGAUUACAACUUAAAAGAUGGGUUUAGGUGUUGAAUACUAUUUAGUUCAAACAUGGUUUUUAAUGCAAUAGUGAACGAUGUAUUUUGUUUACCGACUUCUGGUUCCUGGUCAACGAAGCUCGUUGAUGCAUAUGAUAUAAUUGCUUCAGGUUCAAGUAGUGCUCAAUGUUGAAAUAUUUCUUAAUAUCUAAUGCUUGUGAACGAAAUAGUGAUAGGUAAUGCUUUCCGGUUUUGUAAUCUUGUCAUGCAUAUAGUGUUAUCGAUGCAUGAGUGAUAGGUAAUGCUCAAUGUUGAAACUUUCUUUAAGAGUUGUACUCUUUUGUCUUGUGAUGGAUGCUUAUAUUAAUGUUGUCUUUGUAGGUUCAACGGGAGUCAACAACUUCAUGAGUUUUCUUUCAAAGAAGUUUAUCUGGACCAUCAAAAUACACUGGCUAGCAUGCUUCAAGCAACAAAGAAUAUUUUCAGAGAUUAAGGCUUAUCGGUUGGUUGUUUAUGCUUGUGUAGAAAAUCAUGUUAAAUGUAUUCUGAUGGUAUUUACACUGGUUUUGAUUAAUGGCUGGAAUUCCGUACUUGUAAAUUGUUGAAACUUGAUUGGAAAUGUACGAAUAUUACAAAGUGUAUUAUAGCGAAUAUAUAUUAAAGUGUCGGCUAAUUUUUUUUAUAUGAGUGUGAUGUAUUAUAACAUUAUUGUCAUUCAAAUGGUUCGUGUAAUGACGGAGUGACAAUAAGAACAUGAAAAAACUAUAGUAAUUGAGGAAUUUGCAACAGAAAAUAAAUAUCAUAAUAUAUGAAUUUGUGACAUUAAUUAGUUGUCAUCAAUAUCAAAACAUUGACAAAUUUUUGAUAAAGUAACUGUCACAGUUAGCCUAUCUUUGAUGGAAAAAAAUGUCGUCAAUAGCGAAACAAUGACAAUUAAUUUUUUAACAAAAUUGUCACGAUUACCCUGUAUUUAAUAGAAAAAAUGUCGUCAAUAGCGAAACAAUGACAUUUAAUUUUUUAAAAAAACGGUCACGAUUGCCCUAUAUUUGACUAGAAAAAAAGUUCGUCAAUAGCGAAAUAAUGACAUUUAAUUUUAAAAAAAAAACCGUCACGAUUGUCCUAUAUUGGACAGGAAAAAAAUGUCGUGAAUAGCAAAACAAUGACAAUUAUUUUAAAAACUGUCACGAUUGACAUAUCCUUGACAUUUAAAAAAUGUCAUAAUAAAUGAACUUGCGACAUUUUUUAAACUAUCGUUAAUACGCAAAUGAUGACAGUUAUUUGUUGUCAUAAUAUAAAAUAUGACACUUAUUUGUUGUCAUAAAGUAGUAAUUAAUGACAUUUACUUUUUGUCAUAAAAAAACUUAUCAAAAACUGUCAUAGAAGGACUUUCCAUGACUCACGCUUCUAUCCCUGUAAAUAACUGUCACACAUUUUAUUCGCGAUAGAGAAUAACUGUCGUCGUAGAUCAUUUUUGUUGUAGUGAUAAAUACUCAUAAUUCUCUAAUCUUCACCAAUUUAAAUAAACCCAUAACAAAAUCUUUAACAACACCAAAAUUUCAAAUCUUCACAUUAAUUAAAUAUUCUUCCAAUAAAUAUUUAAUUAAUUCUAAUUUCAACCAAAUCAAACAAUUAUCACAAAUUUUCUCAAAUAACACAAUAGUUCCAACAUAACUAACUUAAACCAAGGUAAUCAAGUUUUAAAAUUACUUUAAUUUUUGAAACGUUACAUAAAGUUGUUGAGUUUGAAACCAUACUUUUAAAAACGUAGAUAAUGUUUGCAUUUUACUAAAAUAUUUUAAAUGGGGUGGAGGAUUGUAGAACAGUAUUGAGUAGAAAAGGGACCCAUAGAGCAAAGAUGAGAAAAUCUAGAGGCGUGUUCAGUUUGUACAAUCUAAUAAUGAGAAGCUAAGUACAAAAGUUUCUAAACUGUCCCAAAUACUUAUUACUUCAAAACUGUACUCAACCAAUCUGCCAAUGUACCAUCAGUUUGUGUCCAAUCCCAGAAACCAAUAUUAUAAUUUUGUGCCUUUAUCUAUGUUAAUCCCUAUGAUUUUGUUUCUACUCAUAAACAAUGCUUUUCAUUCUACAAAACUACUAUUAAUUACAAAUCUUAGUCUUUUGUUGGUAUGCAUUGAUUAUGUUAUGACCCUUUGAAUCACUAAAUACAGAAUUUUGUUAUCUAGAUCUUGUAACCAUUUGACUGUUACAAAUUUAAUUAGGGGUGUAAUUGGGCUGGGUUGGGUCGGGUCGGUUUUCCUUCCAACCCGAAAUGUAUGAGUUCCUUACUGUCAUGAUUCGACCUAAACCGAAUUCUGGUUGGGUCAAAAUGGAUCAAUCGGCUCUUUUUUUCCUUCUUUCUUUCUUCUCCUUUUUUAUUCUUUUCUUCCUCCUCCUCUCUCUCUCUCUUUUUCUUUCUUUGUUUCAGAUGGUGAUUGACAUGAGCACAAACUCAGAAAUCCCAAAGGGGAAAUCGGCAUUUAAUUCCUGUGUAUGAAACCAUGGGAAUGAAUGAAUUAUCAUACCUAAAUAUAGAAUAAAGUUCACCUUUUUCUUAUCAAAAUGGUCAGACAAUGCCACCAGUUCAUCCCAGAAAUCCAGACACCUGGUUCAUGAACUUCACAUAAACUUAAAGAAAAAAAAAAGGGGGGGGAAUUUGGCCAUAUAGUAUGAAUUUUUAUUCACAACUUGAAGUUCUCUUCAGCAUGUUUGGAAGAUACAAGCUGCAGCAAGUUCAGAAGCUUCAACAGAACAAACAGGAAGAAGCUUUUUAUCCAUACUAAACAGUGAUGAACAAACAGUGAAACUUGAAACAAACUGAAUAAUUUAUCUCUAUAUCGUGAAAAUUUACCAAGGUUCUUUUUUAUAUGGCUACAUUGAUUAGACAAUAACAAUCUAGCUAAUCCAGUCAAAGAUGUAGAGAACAAUGUAAAUAAAGAAGAAAAAAAGUGGAAUAAAAACAACAAAAGUCUAGAGAAAGAACCUAACUAUGAUCAUUCUCAGAAGAAUGAAGAAACUCCAUUUGGAAAUGAAGCAGGUUGAGCCCAAAAAUGGAGGAAAAGGAAGCCAAUUUAGGCUUCAGGAGAGGGUUAUCAACGUCGUCUUAAGCUAAGAUGAAUGUGUGAAUAACAUACCUGCCCUAGGAGGAUAUCAUACAUGAUGACAUAAAUUAAUUCCUUCCAUCUCUGUAACCCUAAUAUAUGUAACUCAUAACUUAACUAAAUAGACAAAAUUAAUACCUCAUAUGUGGUAUAAUUAGUUUUUUGUUGCACCACAAGAAAAAAGAAGUUGACAAAGGCAAUACUAGAGAGAUAUAUAUAUUUAAUAUAAGUGAGCAAAAAUAGCAACUUAGUUUAAUUUAUAUAAUUCAACAACUCUUGACAAAGGAAGAAAACAUCAAACCUAUGUCUAUACAAGUGGAAACCAAUAUAGACUUAGAACCAAAGAAAUACAAAAACAAUUAGAGAGAUCUCACACUUGAAAAGUUUUCGUCAACUCACAUUUUCAUGUUGACAUGCUUCUCAACCAAGCUCAAAGUGUUUGUAUGAGUUUGGUAUCAAACCAAGACAACAAAUAUAACCAUUCUAAAUGCAACACAUAAUAUUUUUUAAAAAAGUUAGUAGAUUAGUUUCAAUUGGAAACAAAAAGAUGGAUUUGUCUAGAUUUACUUGAGAAUUAGUGUUGAAAAACACAGUUGUACGACCUUAUUAGCAGAUGAGUAACAACUUGAAAAUACAUCAAGAAUCUAUAAAAUUGUUCAAUGUUAGUGGUUAAUAUGCAUAAAAUAUUGUGAAAUGUUGUGACUUUUAAAAGUAGGGGACAUUUUUAAACAAAAUGGACAGCUAAUAUUUUUUUAAAAAAUAAUUUAGCCAUAAGAUAUAGAAUGAAAAAUAUUUUAUAAGUAAAUGAGAUGAGACACCAAAUUCAUUUCCCUUUGUUUAAUAUUAGUCAUAUCAUAGCUACCAUUAACAACAUUUCUAUCUUCACCAAGCUGAAUUCUCUCACUUAAACCAUUGAAACACUUCACCCAAUUGAAUUCUAAGUAAAUCCCGCUCUCUAUCAAACACUUUAACUUUACCCAAUUGAUUUCCACUUUCAUUAGAGUCAAAUACUUUACAAGCAACGUUAAAGAGUACAAAUUUUCGAAUACCCAAGUAAUAGAAACAUGCAUGAAUAAUCAACAGUUAAUGGAAUGACACAGAUCAUCUAGAAAAUCAACAGUUAUAUAACUCUCAUGAAUGUUCUCCAUUUUUUCUUUCUUCUAAAAAAACACACUGUAAAAAAGAAAAAAUAUAUAUAUUUCUCUCUUUCUCUCAAUUAUUUUGAAAAACAAAUAGGGUUUUCUUUGUCUUUCUAUUUGGAGAGGUUUAAAUUAGAUCAUUUUAGAGAGGUCUUUUCAUGGAGUUAUUGCUUGAAAUUUCUCCAUCUUCUUCAAUAGUUCUACCAUUCCCAACUAGGUAAUUAUUUAUUUAUUUUGGAAUUUAUAAUUAGUCAAAUAUAUUCCAUUUAUUUGGUAGAAAUAUAUUAUUCUUUUUUCUGAAAAUAUAAUUAUUGUUGGUCAUCUUUGUUUUCUGCCUGUUUGGAUAUAUUAAACAAAUCAAUGGAUGAGUUUAACCUUUGGUUUCUGCUAAAGAUUCUAUGCAUAUUGUUAUUCUUUAUGAUUUGACUGAUAUGACUAUGUUAUGAUGCAUGAUAUAUUAAUCACAUGAUAAAGAUGUUAUGAUUGAUAUUCAUGUCAUAUUAUGAUUGAUAUUCAUGUCAUGUUAUGAUGUUUAUGUUAUGCUACAUGCUAUGGACUAUGAUGCUCUGUUAACUUUGUCCAUUAGGGUCGUACCCAUUUUGUGUUCUUCGGGAUCACCACCUUGUGAGACCCAUUUCUAAUUUGAAUAAGGAAGUAAAAUUCGGCUAAGUAUUAAGAAGUUGACGUUUGAAUAAAUCCGCAAAAAUGAUUAAACGAUAAAAUCUUUUAUGGUUAAAUAUACGUUUUUGCAAUUAAAUGGAUAAUUCGCGAAAGAAGUUGUGCGAUAAGAAGAGAAAAAAUAUUCGCGUAAGUAAAGAAAUGAAAAUUUUGAGUGUUAGAAUAGGAGUUUUGGGUGGUCUUCGGUAGAAGAACCAAGUGUUUCAUAGAGAAGAAGUCUGCAUGGAAGCGAAUGUGGUAAGUUUGGUAUGUUUAUUUAAAUUAUUGUUAUUAACAUUGUGGUAAGUUUACAAAUUUGAUGGUGAAUAUUAAGUCAAUCCCUAAAUUUUUUAAAUAAAAAAUCAUAUCUUAGACAUUUUAGUUUUACCAUGAUUAUUUAAUUGAUUAAUUUUCAUAAAUAUAACAAACUGACAAAAUAUUUACGGUCGUAUUUCAUAUUUACAACUCCGUGACAAAAUGAAGAAACUCAUGAAACUAGUUAUUUUCUUAAAUAUUCCAGAUUUGUUCCUUUUCAUCGUCUUUUUUCUCUUCCUCUCUUGCAAUUAUUUUUUCUUUCCUUCUUCUCUUCCUCUUUUCUUUCUGUCUUUUUCUUUUCUUUCUUUUUUCUAUUAUUUCUUCUUUCCAUCGUCUUUUUCUCUUCUUUCUUUGUUUUUAUUCUUUCCAUCGUCUUUUCCUCUUCUUCAUAUAGAAAAUAUAAAAGAUCUAUUUUUUAAAAAAAAAAUUCCAAACGGUUAUUUGACCAUUUCAAAUAUAAAAUAUCAUAAAAAAAUUGGAUAUUGAAUAACCAAAAUAGGAUCAAAUUUAAACUAUCAUAUUCUAAAUAUAAACGAUCAUAAACCAAAUUUAAAUGAUCGAUUUUCAAACAUAAACGAGUACCAAAAAAUCUGGAAAAAAAAAUCGUUGAGAUUUGACAACUCAAAUUAAACGAUCAUGUACCUAAAAAUAUUAAAAUAUAAAAAAUAUAUAUAUAUUCUAAAGAAAAAUAAACAAAAUUGCAUGACAAACUGUGAUGGAAUAAACUGUUUAUCUAUUUUAGUGUUCGGAAUGAAAUUUGUAUUAAGCAGGCUAUAAAGGAAAGAAAGCUGUUGUAAUACCAACAAUGUCCAUUAUCCAGUGGGUCAAUAGUAGUCAUUAAUUCAAAAUACCUGUCACAAAAGUUUAGAACACCCCACUUCAACUUUGUUGGAUCAUCAACGACCCAAUACGCUUGACCAAGAAAGCAUGGAAAAAAUUUGAUAUUAAAACAGAAGAGAACAUACUUUUUGUUAACAAACUUGCAUUAUAUACUUCAUCAACCAUAUAUAUAAUUGUACGGCCAGUAUUCUCAAGCCUUAGGUCAAGUACACACAUAAAAGAAAGCAGUACAUAACAUAAAAAAGACUGAAGAAAAGCAUUCACAACUCAGUUAUUACAUCCACACAAAGCCUAGUAGCAAAAAGUGAAAUCCAUCUCCAAAGCUGAGCUCAGUCAAAAGUUUCCUACACCUCUCAUAAUCAAGACUCCCCACAAAAGUUUUACCGCGCAACAUCUACCUAAUAUCACAAGGGAGAAGCUCUACUUUUAUGGUAUAACCUCCAAAGUGAGGGGGUAAGGGCAUUGUAAUACAGAAAGAGAAAAAGGAAAGGAAAAAGAAUGUGGAAAGUGGGACCUUGGUUACCUAACGCGCAUGCACCAAAUCCUUGGGGGAUUCUUCAAAUUGCUGGAAAAAGUGGGGUCUUUAACUUCUCAGCAUAACCCACCACUAUCACAUCCCAUGCGUUCAAAUCUUUGUGGCUUUCCUCUGCUGAUCUUUAGUCCCUUAAAAGCAUCAAACAUAAUCAUGUCUAGUCAACGAAUAAAAAUAGUACUUAUUCACCCAUUUUCUAGCUAGGUUCAAUGUUAUCACGAUGUUGAACCUCCGUUUGAUAACUCAUAGUCAUCACAUUUUCCUUGUAAGAGAAAGGAAGUGGCUCGGACUUAGCAAACAAACUGAUCUUGCAUCCAUCAAAAUUCAAAGUUACCACACCACGAUGCCCUAAUUUUAACCAAUUAACCAAUAUCUAUAUAGGGGGCAUGCGAUUUAAUAGCAGCUCACACCUAAAGCAGUAAGCUUCGUGUUUUAAGGACUUCAAAGUAAUUGAUAGCUUCAUCAAUAACCAACAAUGGGUCCUUACCCUUUGCACCAGGAACUAAACUCUCAAGUACUCUCAACGUCUCCUCAAUCCUAUCUUUUUUGCAAGAACAAUAGCAAAAAUCAAUAUCUGCUCCAGCCUCUUCCUUAUGGACCAUGCCACAGCUUGAUUCCGCAUCAUUGGCAUAGUUCUGUGAUUCAACUCUUGCACAAGAACCGGUAGCAAUUGGUAGUGAUUUUAUGUAUCCCCCAUCAUGCAGUCUCUGCCUUUUCCUUGGGACAUCAGAACUAGCAACUUCUGUAGUAGUUUCUUGACAUUGUUCUUCCUUCUCACAAUGCUCAUUGAUCAUCUCUGGAGAAUGUCCUGUGCUGGUCACUUCAUCAUCACUACUACAACCAGUGCCAUCGUAGUCUGAGUAAAGCAAUGCAUCUAUUUCUUCCGUGUUUUCAUGCAUUUCACUACUCUCUCCAUCAGCUACAUAAUUCUCAUUGGACAGAGUAUUUGGAGAAUACUUGACCGAAUUAAUGUCUCUAACUGCCCCUUUUUCUUCAAGCCAACCACAACACUUAUUUUCAGUAACAAUUGAGGGAAAAUAAACAGGACACAUAGGAGCAUACAUCAAUCUCUUUUGGUUUCCAGAUUGAUCAAAGAUAAGAAAUCCUUUUGGAUAGGACCCAUUAUUUGAUUUUGACACAGGCAUCCCACUAGGUCCAGCAUGAGCAUAAUGCAUAGAUUCCUUUUCAUUCUGAUAAGAUAUGAAAGUACCACGUGAGUUCUGGAAAUGAGGGGAUAAGCAAUGACGUGAUCCCUGAAUGACAUUUAGCUGUUCCACUUCAAAACUGGGUAAUGGUGGAAUUGCAAACCGUUGCAUCCUUCCCAUACAUUUGGAAAAUAUGCAAUUUUCAUGGUUGAUACUCGUUUGGCAGCUUUCCUGUUGCUUGGUCUCUAUUGAUGCAUUCAUGGAAUUAUAAUUGUGCAGUUGCCAAGCAAAAUGCUCAAAAUCAAGGCGAGAAUUAUCAGUCCCAACCAUUCAGGAAAACAACCACCUAAUCAAUAUUUUGAAAUAUAACUACUCCGUUACAAUUAAAAUAAUGAAAGGGAGAAUAAACUUAGCAAGCAUAAAAAAUUACCUCAAAAUUUUGUGCACUGGUCUACUAUGGGAAUUAUCUGCUAAAUGCUUUCAGGAACAAAGACAAAAAGAAGUUCGCGGAGUACAGCUUAAGAGAAAUAAAUCAUAUUCAAUCUACGUGACUGGCUUAAGCAACUGUCGAAAAUACUUGGCCUGGAACAGAAAAAAUGCCAAAAGUUUCAUCACAGCAAGUUCCAGAGGAAAAAUAUACAAAAGGAUUCCAAUAAAAUAAAUGUGUAAUUAAUCCAGUUGUUAAUCAACGAGUAAAAUCACAAGGCAAGAACUGAGUUGACAAACCUGACAAUUCUGCAAAGGUUGAAAGCAUGCAAUCACUCUAACUAUAAUUGUUGGUUUUCCUGCAAUUCCAUUCUCGUGUUUUAAUGCCCGAAAUCUUGUCUGGGUUGCAGCUUGGCACACCAUAACUACUUCUGAACCUUAAACGAACAACUAUUCUUCUAUACCAGAAGGCACGAGAGAAAUACCAAUAACAGAGAAAGGGGAGAUAAUAGGAGAAUAUUCCCUGCAGAAAGAACUAUUUAACUGGAGAACAAAGGUUAUAAAAAUAAACGAGAAAUUCUCUGAGGUAUCUAGAUUCCUUGACAAAGGGGCAGAAAAAUAGUGAUUAGGGACAGGAAGCUUUUCAGCUAAUGUAGAUAUCACAGGAAAUGAUAAAGAAGUGAUUGGAACCCAUGGCUGAUUGAAAGAAGGAACUCAGGGAGGAAUAAUUCAGUGUUAUCUAUACAAAAAGUGAUUUACAAAAUAACCCUGCAAUAGAGGUUCAAAUGCACAACUUUACGAAACACAUCAAUUGAUAGGCUCAACCAAAGCAUAUUAUUCUCCCAAUACGUAAGGGUAACACAUCCACAACUGAUAAUACCAACCCUGCGAAAACAUGAAAAAUAAUAUAAAUUUCCAAACAGAUGAUAAAUAGUUAACGAUUAAAAAUAAAGUGAAAGAAAAAUGUAAACAUGAAAACAAGUAAGCGAUGCUAUGCAUUGAAUAGAUAAAGUAAAGAAUAAAAACAAUCGAACAUUCAUUCAAAUAUUUGAGAUAAGAAAGGGCAAUAUUCCAACAAUUUGGGGAAAAAAUACGAAAGCUUUUUGUAAUCUGCAAAAUGAUAAAUCAAAGUCUACAGAACAUAAAAUCAAACCCCCAAAAGUGUUUUAAGAAAUUGAAACAAGAGGGACAUUGUAAAGUAGCAUUUCAAGCCAAAUUAGAAGCGUUUGAUCUAAAAUAAAGAAAAUAAAACAUAAAUUGAAACAAAACCCUUCCAGCUUAGUUCCCAAGACAAUCAAAUCAAAAUUUCCCAGUAAUGAGCAACAGAACCGACAGAAUCAAUCGGCGUUUUCUAUUUUCAAAGGCUUUGAUCUGAACAACAAUUUUCCAUGUCCAUUCAUUUUCUACAGAUUCUCAGAAACCUUUGCCAGUCAACAGAAAUGAAAGAGGGGGGAAGGCAAAAUUACAUUAGAGAGAGAGAGAAGCAGGAAUUAAUUAAGAAAUGAAAUUGUGAGAAAAUGAGAAAGAAUCUUACAGCAAAAUCGGAAGAGAAUUACCAGAGAGAGGCAGAUUUGGGAAGAUGGGUCAGAUCUAAAGGAGUCGAAGAACAGAGUAAAGUUUAAAAGUAAUGGAAUGACAAUCAAAUACAACACUUUAUAGACACUACAUGACAGUUUUACCCUUCCACAAACAAUUUCAUUUACAUUUUUGCCCUUCCACUAUCUUUUCGAAUUUUUCUAACCCAUAUUAUAUGAAUUUUUCUAACCCAUAUUAUAUGUAUUUGGUACACAUCUUGAAUAAAAAUCAUUGGAAUAUUGGUAUACGAUCUUGUAUCAAAUCUAAAUAAUAUUACUACAAGAUAAUGUACCAAAUACGAAAGAUUUUGGUACACAAUCUUAAACCAAUAUCAUUUAGAUUUGGUAGGCAAUCGUGUAUAAUUUCCUAUACGAUCGCAUGUACGAUCGCAUGAGUGUAGUCAAUUAAUCGUAUGAUGACAAAGGCAUUUUUGGUAUUUUCUAUUGUGGGUAUGUGGCCUUUUGUCGUUUUCAAAAUUGUUCUAUAUAGAGUUAAGUAAAUAUUUUGUCGUUUUGUUAUAUUUUUUAAAAACCCUCAAAUCAGUUCUUACAUUUUUGUUUUUUUAAUAAAGUUAUUUAAUUUUGAAAAUAUCAAAGUUUAAAUUUAGGAUAACUUACAUAAAUGUAACAAACCAAAAAAUAUUUACGACUAUAUUGGGGGACCAUUCUUUACUUCACUUCUUUUUCUUCUUUUUUGCGAUUUAUAGUUCUUUCUUUUCAUAUUAUUAAAUUCUUCAUAUUAUUACUUCUCCUUCUUCGUAUUCUCACUUCUUCUUGUUUGCAAUUUCUUCAUUUCCUCUUCCAAAAUUUCUUCCCUCUUCUUCAACUUUCAUUUUCAUUUUUUCUUCUUGGUACAGGAUAUAAACGAUCGAGCACCAAUAUUUAAAUUAUCAGUUGUCUAUUCCAGAUAAACAUAGAUAGAUCACUAUCACAUAUAGAUUAUUUAGAUUUGGUACAAGAUUGUUUAAAUUAGGUACAAGAUCGUUUAUACUGGGUACAAGGGUACAAGAUUAUUUAGAUUAGGUACUGGGGUACAAGAUUAUUUAGACUGGGUAUAAAGAUGCAAGACCGUUGUGAGACUCAUAUCUAAAUAUAGAAGGUUUAUUUUGGGAAAUAAGAAGCUAAGUAAAGAAUUUUGAAGAAAGAGUUACGACGAUUUAGGAAUUUUGAUGUUGGGCAUUGGGUUAUGGCAACGCGAGGUAAAGGAGAAGGUUAUUAAGAUUAACUGGGCGGCUUGAGGUUUAACACAAGCUGAAGUUGGGCGUUGAGAGUUGAAAAUUUCCUUAACCACGUGCAAGGGAUUAAGCUAAGCAUUAUUUGGAAAAUUAUUAGACUUACACUUGUAUUACUUUAAGUAGGAGCUAGCAAGCUAAAGAAAAAUUAAUUAGAAUGACUAAUCCAAUUAGUAUAAUGAAGAUGAAGGGUUAGUAGAACACGUGGUUAUGCUGAAAUUCUUGAGGUUACUCUACUAAAAGAAAGACCCACUAGGUCGAGAAAAAGAUCAUUUGAGGAACUAGACGUUCUGACGAAGGGAAAUGAUGUAUUGAAUGAUUAUCCAAAUAAAGAUUUUCAAGCUUUUCUUCUAAAUUUCUUGUUAAUUUGUAACGUUGUUUAUAUGUUAUUAAUAUUUAGAAAAAAAAUGAUUUCGAAAGAAUGCUUGUGUUAUGUUCAACGAUUGUAUGAUAUGUUGUGAAUAAACUAUUAGUUUUAUUAUUAUCAAUGAGCUAAUUAUUAUGUGCACAUAAGGAGUAAAGACAACCAUCGAUGGUGGAGUGAAGUCGACCAAUACAUAAAAGGAGCCUACUGAGCUUAGCGGUCUAAGCAACGAAAACUUGAAUCAAGAAAUUAUCCAAGGGAUGUUUUUUUUAUCGAAAUGACAUCACAGUAGUCUAUGUGUGGGAAUGGUUCAUGUUCUUGGAAGAAAAGAAUACAAAAGGCUAAUAGGUGAUUUCUGUUUUAUGGAAAAAAGCAAUAAAAGCUAUGUUUUAAAAAUGAUUUAUGCCAAAAAGGUUUUCAAAACUAUCACACCUCACUAAGGUUUGACUUAUAUGUUUUAAGUUUUCACUCUCUCAAGUUUUCAGGCAUUAAGGCCAAUUUGGAUAAGGAAAGCGAACUACUACGUGUGGAAGGGGAAGCUGAGCAAGGCGUUCUAGUUUUUCUUCGUAGUUUAUGUAUUUAAGGAAGUGUGUAAUAUUUAUAUUUGGGUUGCUUAUUAUUUAGGAAUAAAAGAAGUCUUUGCUACUAAUGUUUUGUAUCAUUUAUUCUCUUAUUGCCUAAUGACCGAGUUAAUUAAAUUUGAACUAGGCGAUUAAGCUUAAGUUCAAGAUUUUAAGUUGACCAUCUCGUGUUUCAUCUGAGGCGUCAGGACUACUCAAGUUGUGUUGCAUGUCGCAUUGCAAGGUUUAGGAUGCGUGCAGGGUGAGGCACGACAAUCGUGUACCAAUUAAGAUCGUUCAGACUAGGUACGAGAGUACAAAAUCAUUUAGACUGGGUACAAAAUCGUAUUUAAUUGUUUCUUCACGCGUGUGUGACAGAUUAAUCACGGGGUAUUUUUGUUAUUUCACGUUGUGAGCUUAUAGGUUUUUUUCUUUUUCAAAAUUGUUCUAUACGGUGUAUAUAUUUUCCCGCUUCGUUAAUUUAUUUUUUCAAAAACCCUCUUAAAGUUAAUAUAUUUUUGCAAAAUGAACCAAAAUAUAGCAAACUUGCAUAUUCUAUCCAUGAUAAAAGUUGAUAGGCUUCUAAGUUUCUGUCAAUGUCAAGUCUAUCGAUUCAAUCAAUGUCUCUUAUUAAUAUAAUUUAGAAUUUUGCUAUAUUUUGUCAAUUUUGCAAUUUCUUUUCGCAUUUUCCCUUCAAAUUUUGUUUUAAAAGACAAUGGGUAUAUUCAACGUUUUUUAAAAAAAUUAAUGCAUCUGCAUUUUGGGAUAAUACAUGUUCAUGCCAAAUUUUGGUCAAGAAAAAAUCUCCACCUGACAACAAUUGUACUGGACGUAAAAAGAAAUACUUAUGAAAUGUAGAAAAGAAAUUAAAACUUUUAAGUUACCUUAUCCUAUGCUCACUUUUUUUAAGCUCACUUUUUUCCUUUUUAAUUGGUAGGAUUUUCUUAUUCUCCCUCGUUGACUUAGGAUCUCAUGUUAUUUUUUGUCGGGUCUCGAUUUUGGGAUAUCUUGAACAGGACAAUGUAUGCUUUUUUUUUUUUUUUUUGCAUUCUUCUCGGCUCAUGCUUAACUCCAGUUGGAUCGCCCAAAUUGCAACUGUUCCUUCGGGCUCGACCUCAGCCAAGUCGACCUAUUUUUCUUGGCUCAUGCUCCACUUGAGUUGGGCUGAGCUAGAUUGCAACUGUUUCUUUGGACUCAAACUCGACUAAGUCGAGCCUAUUCUUAUGAACUUAUGCUCGACUUGAGUUGGGUCGAACCAAACUACGACCAUUCCUUUAGGCUUGGGCUUAGGCAGGCCCGAGCAAGAUGACCUACCAAGCCUUAAUAAAUAAACUUUCAUUUUACCUAUCGAUCCAAAUUAUCCCAUAGCAAUAGAACUUUCAAAGAUGGAUGAAAUCUUAAAAGAAAUUUUUCCUAUAACUCAAGAACCUACCAUAAAAGAAAAGAAAAAACAACUGAAAUGAGAUGAUUCAUUAAAGACAAAACUUAUAGUUGAAAUUAAUUUGAUACUAUUGUACAUAUGUGUUUAUAAAGUUCAAAACAUAACUUAAUUACAAUAAUUUUUAAAUACAAUUUAUGUAUAAGACAAUUGAUAUCAAAUAUGUUAAAGAGAAGUUUGGCUUAAAAUUUUAGUUUUUGGAGGUGGAGUUUGAAGUUAGAAAAUACCCUAAAUUUACUAUUUAUAUGUAUAUAUAUUUUGCUUAUUAUGAAUUUCAAGUCAUAGAUAUCCUUUCAUCCUUUCUUUCCCUUUCUUCUUCUUUGGUUUUGGCUCCAUAUAGUUCAUGUUCCUUUGAUUAUCAUUAUUUGCUUCAUUUUUCCUAAUCUUCUUAUGUAUUCUUUAAAUUUUUCUAUGUCACCACCCAAAUCUUCCUCCAUCAAACCACUAACUCAAAUGUAUUUCUUAAUCUAUAUUUACAUUUUAAAAUUAGAUAAUAUGAGAUAUGAAAAAACAAAUCUUAUUAUAUUUGGUUUAUUUUCAUAAGUAUAAAAAACCGACAAAAUAUUUACAGUCUAACAAAAUGGAAAAGUUAGUAAGCUGGCUAGUUUUUAAAAAUAUUAUAGGUUUGUUCUUAUUUUCAUCGUCCUUCUUCUCUUCCUUCUCAUUGCUUUUUCUUCCCUUCCUCUUAAAAAUAAAAGAUUGUGAGAAAAAAAAUCGUUGAUAUUGGAUAACCAUCAAACGAUACCAAAAACAACGAUCAUGUACCAACUAUAAACAUCGUGUAUCAAAUCUAAAUGAUCGUAUACCAAAAAGUUUUGAAAAAAAAUCAUUUAGAUUUGGCUAUCCAAAUUUAAACAAUCCUGUACCAAUUUUUUUUUUUAUUUUUUUGACAAAAAUCAUUUAGAUUUGACUAUCCAAGUUUAAACAAUCAAAUCUAAAUGAUCGUGUACCAAAUUUAAACGAUUUCUACAAAAAAAAAAAAUUUAGUCAAAUUUAAACGAUUAAGUCUAAAUGACCAUUUACCUAUAUUGCGCGUUAGGUGUCUAUUAAUCGUGAGACAUUUUUUUGUAUUUUUCAUUGGGGGUCUGUAAGUUUUUUCUAUUUUCAAAAUUGUUCUAGUAAAUAUUUUAUCACUUUAUUAUAUAUAUUUUUUUAAAAGACUCCAUUAUAUUUUUAAAUGACUCAAAAGAAAAAUUGUAGAUAUUGAGAAUAUGUAUAUACUUUAUUAUAUAUCUAAAUUAAUAGUUUCAAAGCAUAAGAACGUGUAUUGAGUUAAGUUUUAUAGAAGCAUAUAGGAGUUAACAUGAAAGUUUUAAAAGUAUAAAAACAAAACAAAGUAGAUAAUUAAAACAAAAUUUUAUGACUUAAAAAUAUUAUUCAUUUAUGAAAAGUUGCAUAAUUUCAAAGAGGACUUUGUUGAAAUUUUGAAAUGUGAAUUUUACUCAACUCAUGUUGGUGAGUCAAAUAUCCCUAGAAGAAAGAGAAAAUGGUAUGGAUAUAGCAAAUUUUGUAGUAUGAUUUUGGAGAAUGUGAAAAAAUACAAAAGUAUUAAGAAUAAUGGGAACUCACUCUCUAAUGUGUACAAUGAUUCUACCUCUCUCAAACAUCGUCUACAAUUUCCAUUACUAAAAUUUGGUGACCAACUCUGAAGAUCAUUUUUCCAUAACAAACACGGACACUAAUUCCAAGCUUCAUCAACCACCUUUGCAUUCAGUAACCAUCUGCAAAGAAUCUCAACAACCAACUCUAACGACCACCUUCUAUGCCAACCUUUGAUGAUUAACUCACACACUAGUGUGUGUCUACGAAUAAAAAGUUAAGCAAUAACAAACAAAACUUAAACGAAUAAACUAAAAACUAAUGAAAGAAAAAGGAAAAAAUGAAAAAAAAAAAUAACCCAUUAAAAUGCAUGUUUUUUAGGCUAUGAAAAAAGUGCACCAAAUAUCCAUCAUUUAAUUCAACUCAACUAUGCACUUCAAGUUCAAUUUCCUAACUGUUUAAACAUAUACAAUUAUUACCGACUCAACUCAAUUGUACGUGUCAAAGAUCCUGUCAUGCCCUGCCCUAAAAGUCACUCUAUACGACCAAGUGGAAACAUGAUCGUCUAGACAUUCUACCCAAAUCUCUCUGCGAGAUAAAACGCACAACGUCUAGUAAGCAGAAUGAAUGAACAUCAAAUUUUAUGUGAAAUGAGAAAUCAAUUGGAAUGACAAAGACUUCGUUGAUAAUGUGGAUCAAGAGUACAUUAAAUACAAGUACAUGUUUCCUCAAUUUCAGAAGUAAAAAAUUCUAGGACAAUAGUUUGACACUCCUCGCCUAGCUUCUACAUGUUAUGUGGGAUGAAAGUGGCCACUAGCACGAGAGGCAACAAGGCUACAAGUCCAACGUUGGAUGUUCUUCGCUACCUAAAGGAGGGGGUGAGAGAGGGAGAGAUAAAACAAAACAUUUGAAAGAUUAUACGACAUUGUCUAGUGAGUGGGGGCCUUUUAUCAACACAUUUGAUAAGUCAACUUCUAACUUAACACACUAUAAAUCAUUUAACAAAUAGUAUUUGUCUCAAUAUUAAAAACAUUGAGUUUAAAGUAAACCAUUUCAAUGUGUUAGGCGAUCAACACAAUUCAAAUCUCAUCAUUAAACACUUACAAACCAUAUGGAAAUCAUUUCCUUGUUAAAUCAUGCAUAAAAGCUCUUCUCGUGUAAAAACAUGUUCUUCAUAAGUGUGGGACCCGUUUUUAAUUCUAGUAUAUGAAGUAAAAUUUCGGCUAAAACUACUAUGGAAAUUGGCCUUUGAAUAUAUGCAUGAAAAGGAUUAAGCGAUAAAAUCUUUUAUUGGUAUAAUAAGUUUUGCGAUUAAAAAUUUAAUUUGCGAGGUAGUUUUGAGAAAAGAAGAGUUUGCAGUAUAAUCUAUAAGUCUAAACACUCUUAGAAGAAAGUCCGUAAGUUUUAAAAUGACUAGGGGUUUGGGUAGUCUUCGCGAUAAGAACCAAGAGUUUUGUGAUGAAGAAGUCUGUGAGGAAGCCUUGAAGUUUAAACUCGUGAUAAGUGUUGUAAGCGAGUAAAAGUUGGUUAGUUCGUGAGGAAGGUUUCUUGUAAACAUAUAUAGCUAUGCAAUAAAGUUAUUCAUGAAAGUUGUUGUCGUUAAAGUUAUUUGUGGUAUAGAGUUAGACGAGAAGUGAGAUCUGGCUAAGAAAAUGUCAAAUCUAAUUCAACAAGGGUUAACGUGUUAGAUUAAGAAAAUGUCUAUUCCCUCUCUACGAGAACAAAAGGAAGAGGAGAAUUUUUUGUUAAAGUGUCGUGAGUGGUUUUCUUCUUAAGUGUUUUGUGGUUCCCUUUACUAUUUUGAAAUAUGAUUUCAAAUGAGAGUUUCAAAAAGAGAUUUCAAUGAGAAGUUUGUGUAUUCCAGCAUUAUAAAAAUCAUGUUAAAGCUUGAUUUAAUGAUUCCUUAAGAUGAUGCUAACUUUAAUGUGCACAUAAAUAGUCAAGGCUACCAUGGGGUGUACGGAUCACAUGGUGAUAAGAAGUUGGUGAAAGGAAUUAUUUGAUGUUAUUUAUGCGAAAUGAUGUUUAUGAAAAAGUGUUGCGAAAAGGAUCUCAUAAAACCUCAGUCUUUCAGACAUUCUUUCAAAAAUUCAUCUUCUAGGAUCAAAUGUUUAGGCCAAGUAGAGAAAAUUGAAGGAUUUGCGGCGAGAUGACUCCAAACAUUUGAAAAUAAAGCAUUGGUUGUUUGGUCGAAGUAUUGUAACUAUGUAUCAAACGCCGGUUAUUAGUAAACGUUUUGGUAAGUAUUUAUUAUAUUUGGCAUUUAGGUUAACCACCGUUGCGUUUUAAAUUUUGUUGAUAGUAUAAAAAGAGUUGAGAAUAAUAUUUUGCGAUAAGAAAAUUUCAAAGUUGUAACAAACUCACAUCAUAUUCCUACUACUUCAACAUUUUCACUCAUAGUGCGAUUUAGGGUGUGACAAUAAGUCAUUAUAUAAUCACAUUGUAUAACUCAUUUUCUAUAUCUAAUUUCAUCAUUGUACCUUUCCUUAGCUCAAAUGUUUACCACACUCUUUUGUUAGGUUGUGAUUGUGCAAAGUGAUCUCAAUGCAAUAACAAUCCACCACCAAUUCCAUUACGUAUUAUACAUAAUACAUUUUUCAAUGCCAGAUCACACAACAAGCAAAUGACAUCCUAUAUAGGCUGUAUAUAUACCAGAUCACACAGCAAGUAUGAGGCAUUUUAUUCCAAACAACAAGAAUAAGACAACUUAUCCCAGAUCUCACAGUAAAGAUAAGACAUCUCACACUAGAACACAUAGUAAGUGUGAGGUGUCAUGCCCCACCCUGAGCACUUACUUGCUUGGUUCAAGAUGUGGCAUGAAGCCAACCGACAUUGCUCAUUUCCUAAAUAACACCAAUUGACCUUGACUACUGAUCUUUUAUAAUGCUAAGCAACUUAAGUAAACUAUGACUUACAUAGCGAAAACUAAGAGAAACAAACUUUAACAAACUUCUUAACAAGUAGUCGAGGCUAGUUGCCAUUGAUUACAAACUAUACUUAGAAACCCAACAUAAAUUAAACAAUUGCACUUAACCCUAUGCAAAACCAUGUACAUGAUAAGGUUUAAACUAAAACUGACGCUUAGCAACUAAACAAAUCACAACUUUUGCACAACAGAUUUGAAGACAACGAUCAGGUCCUCAUAUCACGAUCUCUACCUAGAAACUAGGAAAAACAUUUGAAAAGAGUGAGUUAAAAUAGAUCAGUGAGUGAUGGUUUUAUCCAAACAUUUUUUUUAAAAGAAAAAUUAGUUUCAAGCUUCAUCUUUAGCAUAAUAAAGUCAAUAUACUUGUUAUACCAUACGAAUGAAGGGAUAAAAGCCCAUGACAUCGGAAGAUUUUACAGAACUAUUACUCAAAUUAAUUUGCAAAUCUUAAAAUAUCAGUACAUUGGCAAAAACAAUUAAGAAACUAGUUUUCUUAUUAAGACUUCAAAGGAUAAGCAUGAUUUCUAAUUAUAGAUUAGAGAAAAAAAAAACUUAUUUGUUUAUGUCUCUUAAUCUACAAAGUAAAACUCCAAAUUGGGACACCACCCGUAAGAGAUAUUUCUAUCCUCUAGGAUGAGAUUAAUUUGUGAGAUCAAUUGAGUUGGAAAAAAUGUUUAGAGAUAAACCAUUUUCUUUUUGCAGAGAGCAAAAACAUUGACUUUUUUUUUAUUAAUUAAUUAAAGAAAACUGUUUUCUUCUAGGUAUUUAUAACUCUUUUUCCUUCUUGGUGUAGAAAAAAGAGUACGAGAGAAUCAUGAGAUUCUACUAAUUUAAAAAACAUUAAAUUAAUAGAAACUUCAAAUCUAUUAAUUAAUUAACCAUUAAUCAAUUAGUUAAUAAUUAAUUAAAUCAUAUUUAAUUAAUAUUUCAUUUAAAACUUAUUUAACGAAUAUCUCUCUAAUAUCUUAUAGUUUUAUAUCAAUUAAAUAAAAUAAAACUAAAUUAUUAAUUAAUAGUUAAAUUAAAUAUCUUAUAUUGAACUUAAAUUAAAUUUGAAACAUAUUCAAAUAUAAAUUUCUCUCAUAACCAAUAAUAUUAACAUGAAUCCAAUUCACAUUCAAUUGAUAUUUGAACUCAUUCAAAUAUUUUAUCUCUCAUAAAUUAAUUUUGAAUCAUAUCCAAAAUUAAAUUUAUAUAAUAAAGUUUGAUAAGAUUUAUAUUAUAAUGUAUCACUAUACAUUAAACUAAUUUCCAAAGUAAUUUUGAACAUUUCAAAUUACAACCAAUAUAAAUAAACCUUAUUACCCUUUACGAGCUAGAAGCUACAACGAUAUGAGAUUAAUUGGCUAAACUCAUUCACAUUAAUGAAUAUUUGUUAAUUGUGUGUCUUCUCACUAUAUAUAUAUUUUUGUGUCCACGAAUAUAGAGCAAUAACAGUAAGUUAGUCAUUCACGAGUGUUCGUAACACCAAUUGGGUUAAAUUAUCGUUUUACCCAUAGGCUAUCUCUUAUCCUUAAAUACAAGUGUUUCUUUAAUGAACAACAUGUUUAUGGUCCUAACAAUAAACAGAAACCUCACCUCGUGUCAUAGAGAGGGUAGGAUCCUUUGUUCAUGUUGUGGAGACAUCAUUUAAGGGAACACCCAUGUACUUACCCUAAAGUACUGGAAGAGUGAAUUUCAUCGUGUGUAAUUAUGUUCCCACCUCCCCACUCGUUUUUGUCUCCAAAAUGAUAAGCUUAUUGAGUUAGUGGUCUAGUCACUCUUACCCGUAAAAAUUAAAGGACAAUCCGUCGCGAACAAGAGUUCAUAAUACACUCAGGAUUAAGACUAUGUUACCUAGGUCAUUCUAAUGAAAUAGAAUUCUAACUAGUUAGCAGAGUUACAUCUAGUGGUUACUAUUUCGUGGUCCGAUCUUAUGCAAAUUCAUUACAUAGGAUAUCCUCAAUCACAUGUCACCUACAUGAACACGUUAGAUAUCAUUGCGUUUGUAUCCAUAGUGUUACCAGGAUAAGGUACCCAACCUUAUUCUUAUACUUAUAGACCCUUUAAGUUGAUCCUUGUAUGUCUCAAAUACAAAGUGAACAUUGAUCCAUGUCUAGGUGAGAUGAACGUGACUUUAUAUUUUAUAGAGGUUAUUGAGCUAGUUUUGAGACACACAGAAAGACCAUGGCACAUCCGUACAGCAAGGGAUGCGCUUAUGUUGCACGCAUGACCAUGCACAGAGAUGUUAGCAUGCAAGGAUGGGCAUGGCGUUGCACAACGAGCACAAGGCACACGGUAAAGGGCUCUCUAGGUUGCAGCCAAAACACAUGUGACACCUCAUUGUGAGAUUAACACGUGUUGCACGACACCCGUCGACAAAAUUAAAAUGCGGCAAGGCCCCCCAGGCAAUGCACGUGAACCAAGCCUAGCCACCAUGCCAUUGAGCGCCAGAAGGUCAUUUUUAGGCUGUUUUGGACUAUUUUGUUAUUUUUUGAAAUUUUAAGAAAAUUUUUGGAUAUUUUUAUUAACAAUGGAUUAAUUAAGGAUUUAAUGUGGACUUUUCAGAUCAAUGAGACUGUGAAGGAAAUUUCCAACUAAAGAUCAACUUAAGUACAGUGAGUGACACAUUGAUUUAAAAGUUAUUUAUAAAGCAUGAUUUUCAAGUUAUUGUUCGAGAUAUGUUUUAUGAAACUGUUUAUUCAAAUGAUGUUUUACAACUAUACUAUGUUUACUAAUAUAUUGACAUGUUAUGAAAGCAAAAUAAAAUUUUCAAUGUUUUCCAAUAUGUUUUCUCCUAGCCCGAAUAUUCUAUGAGAUCUAUUGUAUACAUGUGGUUAACUCCAUAUUGAUGGUAGGGGUUGAUGAGCCUAUAGUUUAUGAGCCAUCAAAAAGAGUAUAUUUUUAAGCCUUGAAGGAGCUAGCAGGAUUAGAGUGAAAGCUAUUUCCCAUUGAAUGUUCCGUCUUAGGACGAAGAGAUUUAAUACUCAAUAUGGCUAUGGAUCAUGUCUUCCAAAAGUUAUGCAAAAGUUCAAUGUUUCAAGAAUCAUGUUAUGAAUUGACUAUUUAAUGUUAAUGUUAUUUAAGCUUCAAUUUUAUGUUAAAUUGUUAUUGAAAACUUGUUUUACAAAAUUGUUGCUCACUAAGUUUUUUGACUUUCUCUUUAAAAAUGUUUUUCCUCUUUCCAGUUAUAGAUUGUGAGUCUCCGUGUGUUGAACGUGCUGCUGCCAGAAGAAAUUAGUUUUCAGUCAUGAAAGGAAACGAUUUAUUAAAAAUAUCGUCGUGUUUUAUAAAAGUUUAUACUUUCAUGUUCUAAAGGGUUACACUAGAAACUUUCAUGUUCUAAAGGGUUACACUAGAGUUUUAAGUUAUUUCUAAGUAUAAAGACUUUCGCUUGCAAACGUUUUAUGUUUUCAAGUUUAGGAUCAGUUGAAAUUGUUUCAGAGGAGAAUGAUUUUAGUUGACAUCAAGUCACCUUUCGGAUCUAGUGCAGUUGAUCUGAGAGGAGGUGUGACAUAAAUUCCAACAACAAUAAAUUUAAAGGUGGAAAGAAGUGUUAUAUGUUCAAUAUUUCUAAAACAAAAAUCAAAUGAGAAUGACCUUUAGACUUCAAACUACAUGUUUUUUUAGGUUAUAAAAAAACUGCACAAUAUAUACAUAAUUUAACUUAACUCAACUAUACACUCUAAUCGCAACUUCUUAAACAAAGUUAAGCAAUGCGAAAAAUGUAAAGAUCGACAAAUAGAUAUAUGUGGUUUACUAACAAAGAAAAUGUUUCAAAAUAUAAUACGGUGUCACUAAUUUAAAGAGUUUAUAUAUUACACUUCUCUAAACCCUAAGGUCAAAAUUGUAUACUCAAUUACACUUCUACACCUUGACUCACUCCCAAAUCGGACAACGAGAUUCUCACACUGGGUUGUUCGUAGUGCCACAUAACAAAUUCAAGGUAUUUCAUCACCAACUCAACUCAACUUUGUGCAUCAAACAAACCUAUAAUGAUUGGCACAUUUCUUAAAUCAAAGAGUUGGAUUUUUAGCAAGAUUUUAAAACAAAAACAAGUUUUUAAAAACUUUCAUAAACUUCAUUUUCAAAACAAAAAACAAAAACCAAAUGAAAAAUGCUAAGGGCUUUAGAGACUUAAACUUGUAAUUUUACCUAAUCCUUUUAAAGCAAAGAAAAGUUUAGAAAAAACUUGUAGUGACUCAAUUUUGGCUAUUUUUUAUUUGGUUUCAAAGUUACAAAAUAUUAUACAUUCAGUUUUUAAGUUUUGAGUUUGAUUUCAAUUUACUCCCCUAAGUUUCAAACAUUACACUUUUAUCCUUGAGUUUUGUUUAAAUUUGGUUCUUGUAUUCCAGACUUACACUUCUUAUCUCAAUUUUCACUCAAUACUCACAUUUUUUCUUUAGUAUUAAUGUCCAUUAAUUAAUUAAAAAUUAAAAGAAAAUUAAUUAAUAAAUUUCACUAUUUCACGUCACUAUUAAAACUAAAUUUAAAAUUUCACUUUAUAAUCUUUUCAAUUAAUUAAUAGAUAUUAAUGUAAUUGAUUGAAAGUGAGUAUUGAUAGAAAGUAAAGGGUAAAAGUAUAAAAGGAUAAAAUUGUAAUAUAUUUUGAAAGUAAAAUUCAAAAUUUUAAGAACUAAAUAAAAUACUAACAAAUUGAAUAUUUUGAAGUUUGAAUUGAAGGGAGGAGAAAACAAAACUAAAUAAAAAUAAAGGUACGAAAAAGCUAUAUAUGUAAAAGGUCUUUAGUUGAUUUGGCUUUCAAUGUUGGGGUGAUUUAACAUCCGAUCCUCUCUCCAUGCUUCUAGUUUGCUUAGAUGGAAAGUUUGUUGAGAUCAUUUUUUCUCAUUUUUCUUUAGUCUCAAUUAAGAUUCUUCCUUACUAAGAAAAGUCCCAACAUAAAACUCAAGGAGAAAAAAACAAACAUCAUGUUGAAUUCAUUACACCUAUAAACUUGACAUAAAAUAAUAAUAGUCCAUCGUCAAUUGUUUUAUAUAUAUAGUAACAAAAGAUGUUGAGGAAUUUGAAAGAAGAAAACAAAAACAUGUGAAAUCCCACUCAUUAAGAAUCUAUCAUACUCAUUUGUAAUCUACACUUUUUGUUAUUAGAUACUAAAAGGGAAAACUUUGAAGGAUAGAAGAAAAAAACAGAUCAUUUAGUGGGAUUAAACAAACUUAAUUUCCAUGUGAUUUGUGCAGUACCUAUUUAUAAAGUAAAAUUAGGCCAAUUUUUCUUUUUUCUUUUGCACACCUGAAACGAUCAUAAUUCUUAUAAUAUAUGGUCCUCGUGGUAAAGAUCAUGAUUAUAAUAUAUGAUUAAAAAAGCUGUCAAAAUGAAAUAAUUAAAUAAAUAAAAGCAACAUAACUUUAUUGUAUAUUUUGAAAACAAAACAAUUUCUAAAGCCACCGUUUGAUAAUGCAAGUAUUAUUGAACAUUCCAAUAAUAAUGGGAUGGGUCACUACUGGUGGAUCCAUACAUUUUAGAUAGUGUAUCAAACAUAUACUCUAUAUAAUAAAUCACUAAAAAAUAUUAAAAAAUAUUUUAACGUCUCACAUUCAUGCUCCAAUACCAUUCACUUCAUUUGUAGUAAUAAAGAAAAAUUUGACAAUUUCCACGAAAAAAAAUAUAAUAUAUUUUUCAUGAAAUAUUGUUGAGAGAGUGAAAGUUUAAAUUACCCAUAGCUAGGAAAUAAGUUAGGAUUUUAUUUUAGUUAGGUUUUUUACCUCUUUUUAAAAAAUGAUUUUUAUGACAUUGUUGAAAUUUGCCAAUAAAAUUGACAUUUGGAAUAUUUGGAAAAAUAAAUUAUUCAAAUUUGGAGUCUAGAAUUUGGAAAGAAAAUUAAUAUUUGAGAAAAAUAAAUUAUUGAAAUUUAUAAAGAAAUAUGAUAUUUUGGUAUAAAAAAUUAUUGAUAUUUGAAACAAAAACUAUUUCAUGAAAAUAGUUGCAAAAUACAAAAUUCAAACACUUUGACUUUUUGGUUAUGAAGUGAUGGCACGCCAUCUCACUAGAACCAAACUUUAUUUUAAAUAAAAUAUUAUUUAAUAUAUAUUGUAAUCUAACACUUCAAAAUUAAUAUUAAGAUACAAAAAUCGAUAAUGUGAAGGAGAUACACAUGUUGAUUCUUGCUUGUUAGGUGCUUAAACGGAACUCAAUGUUGUUUAUGUACACAAUUAAUUAAUUCUAUACAAUGAGUCAUUGAACAUGAUCAUAGCUUGCGAGAUAAUCAUUAUGUCUCACUUCAUCAAAUAAAUACUAAGUAGUAUAAGGAAGCAGUAGGUUUACCCAGAUAAUCCCAGGUCGAACACAAAGAAUUGAUAUCAAAGCUUAUUUCUAGGGUCUACUUAUCAGCAGACAUUAAGAUUUAUAUAAAAAAAAAAUAUAAAAGAAUGUAAGCACGAACUAUAACUACUUAUGUACACUUAGAGACUUCUGUAAAGAGGAUUAAAAGAUGGCGAGAUGGAAUUGCAAACUAACUUGCAAAGGAAGAUCUAUGCAUUAUAAGGUGAUUGAGCAAUGCGAGAGCUUUGAUGCGAUAUAACUUGCUUAAUCAACUUAUGAUUAAGACUUGCUCCUCUCGGAGUCAUUAAAUGCCACAAAUGGUUACCUAUCGGGAUACAAGUGACUAAGCGUGGUCAGACGAGAUAUAUUUAGAAGAGAGUCUAAAUGUUGUUUAAGUGUGUUAGUGCAUGUUGGAUAAAGUAUUGAAUGUACCUCGUUAGUUGAAUUGUUAGUGAAGUUUUCGUAUUUCACCCAAGUCCACAUUCUCUGCUAAAAUUUUCACGGUUAUCUUUAUUUCCGCUUACUAAGCAUUAUGCGCAUUAUUUUGCGAAGAAUCUUGCGUAGAAUGUCUAGGCGAUCACGUCUCCACUUCAUCACAUAGAAUGUUUUUGGAAAGUAUUCUUUAGUAAUUUGCUCUUUGCUAGAUGAGUUGGAAUCACCAGCAUUUGCAUUCAAAGGUGUGUAGGUGGAAAUUUCUCUCCUCUUGCUUAUAAUUUUUCCAAUUCAUAAGUUUUUCAUUAAUCUUCCAACAAGUUUCACAUGUAUGUCAGGGUUUAUUGUAAUGGUCACACCAGAUUCAAGGCUUUUAACACUCUUGUUAGAGUGGUUAGAGACCUUUAUGGUUGUUUGUUUGAUGACCAACGUAGUUCUACUAAAUCAAUAGACUUUUUUUUCCAACCAUAGCAUUCUUGGGCUUUCUUCUCUGCAAACGUCACAAAAAACCGUCAUUAAUAGAUCAAAGAGUGGUUUUCCCAAGUAUUUGACCUCUAACCUCAUCAAAUUCAAUAUUGAGGUAGACAAGGAACUUGUAAAUAUAACCUUAAAUUUUCCUGUAAUGCUUUUAAUCAUUUGUAGACUUUCACACUCAUGAAUCAAAGAGAUCCAGAACUUGCCAAAUCUUUUUAAAGGAGUGAAAGUAUAGCAUCAUCGAGUUACCUCAUCGUAUAUCUCCAAAUUUGAUAUUCGCUCAAAUACAUGUGAUUGAUUGCCCAAAUAAAAGUACAUGUGUCACACUAUCUUUAGAAUUCAUUGGUAGUGGAGUAGCACUUGUAAUUACAACUGAUGUCAUCAACCAUGGAGUUUACAAGUCAAGUCAUAAGCAUGAAAUUUUCGACAUCCCAUGCAGCAAACAAAGGGUCAUCUAGUUUUGAGGCAGUCCUCUCUAGUAAUAUAGCCAAUUUUCCAUUGGCCACAAAAUACAGUUCAACAUUUUGUAACCAACGAAGAAAUUUGUCUACAUUAAGUCGGAUCGUGGUUAUUUGGAUAGUAGAGCUAUCGUAAUGGAUAUAAAUGUUGAUGUUAGCCAUAGAUGACUUAGUAUUUGACAUGCCUGAAGCAACAAAGGUACAAAACGGAGAAAACAUAUCUGAAAAGGCAAACCAAACUCAUUAGAUACUAAGUCGCAACCAGCAAGGACCAGUCACAAAUGAUGGCAAAGACAAAAAAUCCGCCAACAUACAACAAAAAUUGUAAGAAAAACGCGCUUCCAACGAGUUAUGGCCAACACCAGCAAUCAAUAGGAGUAGAGCCAACCAACGACAAACCUCGAGGCAACCAAGGCACAUGGGUGGCAUUGGCAAGCUAUAAGAGUUUUGGGGUUUUUAGGUUUCCAGAAAAAUAGGGUUUUGUAUGUUUUCAAAAAAAUUAGGUUUCUUUUUAGGUUUUCAAAAACCUUCUCUGGUACCAUGCCAAAUAAUGUUAUUUUCUAUAUUUCACAAAAAAGAAAAAAAAAAGUUCUUUUGAAUAGAAGAACAGCCCAUUAUAAAGAAGGAAAAUAUAAAUUUGGCAAAUAUACAACUAAUACAAUAAAAUAUAAUACAACCAAUACAAUACAAUAAUCAACAUCUUCUAACCUUUAUUCACAUCUCUUCUUCUUCUUCCUUAUCAUUUGAAUGUUUGCUUCAAAUCUUCUAAUCUAUUUACAUCUCAUGUUCUGCUCAUAUCUUGUCCUUGUAAACCAUUCAAUCUUUUAUCAUCUCUUCUCCUAGUCGACUAAUACCAAUUUUACUAUAUAACAAUGUUCCUUGAAUCAUCUCUUUCUAUAAUCAAUCAUGUCACACCUGUUUUCGCUUGAGCAACUAUUGUGAUAUCAUUUUCACCUUUUAACCUUUUGUUGUGAACAUGAAGGAGAUAAUAUAAAGGACUUUAUAUUAUAUUCUAUAUGGAAAACAAAAGCAUUAGGGAUGGAUGAAUUUGAUGAGUUGAGCGAGAAAGAGUUGACAAUUAAUGAAAGAGUGCAUCAACGAAAGAGAGUGCAUCAACUGAAAGGAAAAAAUGAAUAGGUAGGAGAGGAAAUGUGGAUGGGUGAAUUAUCUAAUGAGGCCGCCACAAUGUAGUUGCCUCUAAAAGACUGCCCUUUAAUAAGCAUUGGAUCUAAAUUAAAGGUACUAUCUCGUAAUUCAAUCGUAAAAAUGUGUAAGCCACAUUUUGGCAGCCUCACCAACUAACUUCUCAAGUGAUUAGAUGUAGAUGAAUUUGAAACAUAGACCUCGUGGUCAAUAACAUUCUCGUUUGCCAGUUGAGUUAUACUUGCUUUAGCAGAAAAAUAGAUCAGCAAGAGAAAUAAUUUGAGGUUAAUUAGAGACUUACAAAAUAGAAAAGUGGAAUUUUGGAGGGGAAGGAGAGAGGGAGAAAACAAUAGAAUCUUUGACCUUUUAUCUACUGUAAAUAAAUAUCACUAUAUGAACCCAUGUACGCAUAUUAUGCUAAUAAAUCUACCAUUAGCAUUAUAUCUCUGCACCUUCUAGUAAUAAAGUAAUGAUCUAGAAGAGAGUUUAACUAAAAUAAGAAAAGAAAAAAGUGAAACCUUUAACUGAUAUCGAAGUAGAAUCCAUCCUGGCUUUCAUUUGACACUGCUGAGUAAAAUCAGAUUGUACCUGUUAAGAGCAACUCAAAUUCUACCGUCUUCGAAGAGGCCGCCGCUGAAGAAAAGGAAAUAGACAGAAUAUCAGAAAAUAUCAUGUUAGGCAAAUACUUAGAUAUUGGUAAAAAGGAGUGUGUUACCAGUAGGUAGGAACAAAGUAGUUAACCAGUUCAGUUUAUCAUUAUUUUCAUAUCGCUUCACUUGCAAACUUAAAAAGAAAUGGUUGAUGCAUAGAGUUACGAAAGAGGCACAUACUCUUUGUCCAUGAUCUUGUCCUUGUGUCUGCAUAUUGGUCAUCCUAUCUUGAUCUGGGACCAAUUCUGGAUUUCCAUGCUUGUAAAUUGCUUGCAGUGCUCUAACGACGAAAGGUCGAACUAUAUUCACUUCCAUAGCAGAUAGAUCUUUAAUCUAGGAUUGAACAACCAGAAGACCCCAUCACAUCAGCACAUAAUCAAAAAGACUAACUAGUGGGGAGGAACUAAUAGAAGUUAAAAUAAUAUACAAUAAAGCACCGUGGCGUCAACAAUUUGGUUAUUAUAUAAGGAAACAAAAAUAUAUCUACCUUCACUGCAGAUGUGCGCGUAUCGAUUGACUCCAAGCUGGUUUCAACUUUGUGAAACCUAACAUCUCUGAUAUCUUCAAUAAGAGACCUCACCUGUGAAAAGUAACUCAAUCAUAUUACUCAGAAAACUAUUGUAAGUUUGGAACUACAUGCCAGAACUCAACAGAAAAGCUCCUAACUCACCAAAUACAUGUCAGGAACGUCAUCUCGUGCACUAUCAUCCACAACAUUAAGCUAACAUCAACUAUUUUAAGAACCAAACAGAGAAUUUAUAAUGUUGAAGAUUUCAAUACUUACUGGUCAAAAAGAAGUUUUGAUAUUUCCACGUAAUGAAAGGGUAAUAUCUGGAAAGAUCCUUGAGAAUCUCGUUCUGCCUCCAAAAUUUGUGUCAACUUUUCUGUCCACAAAGUGAAAAACAGUGAGAUUGCAAAAUAUCAAUACUUAUCUUCUUUUUCAGUCUUUUUACUACCCCAUAUUUCUUGUAGUCUCUUUAUCAUCAAUCAAAAAAGAAAAAAGAGGAAAAAUGCCUAAAAUGCACCCAUUGGAAGGAAGGAAUCCAAAAUAUUUGGACAAGCAAUAAAUUGUGAGAAAAUAUCAUGUUGUUCUAAUGUACUAUUGAACAAUCCAUCCUAUACAAAUACGUAAUCAAGUUGCAAGAAAGUAGUUGUGUGCUCCAAGCCACCAUAAACCAUUCAGCUCUCUAUGUCCAACCAAACUACAACACUUUCUCCCUUAUGAGACACCAUAAUAUUAUUAUGACAUUUUUUAAAUCUUAAAUCAAUGAUUGGCCCAAAAACUCUAAUGGGUGAAAGAAAUUUUAGUAUUACAUCAUCUAACACUCUUCACUUGUGGGCUUGAAAUAUGUAAAAGACCCAACAAGUGGAAGUUAAUAUUGAUUGAAGAAGAAAUAACAUGAGAGGAGAUUAAACAUAGGACUUCCUAAACCACUUACUACGGUGCCAAUGUUUUAAAAAACUAUUGAGGCUCGCCUCGAAGCAAUGCUCUAAGUUUUAGCCUCAAGACUGAAAAGGGUUACGCCUCUAAUAAAUGAGGCUUGCGCCUUCGUGAAAAUGCACAGAGGCUUAAAAUCUCUAUGCACCAAGUGAUUUGUCUAAUUCUUCGAAAAUAAUAAGGUUUGAGUUGUGACAAUUGGAACCAAGACUCUUUCCUGUUGUGAACUUAAGAAUGUCGAAAGCAAGAAUAUAAAGCAUAAAUCAAUCCUAUUGCUGAUAGUAGUGAUAGUAAUGAGAAUGAAGAUGUCACAACUCUGAACACGUUGUGUCCUACAUUCCGUGUGCUGGAAAUGAGAAGAUAAAAAUUGUUGAUGGCUCCUUCGCUCCCAUUGCCGGGAAAGGACAGAUUUCGCUUUUUGACGGGUUCUCAUUACACAAUGUGUUGCAUGUGCCACGAAUUUCAUAUAAUCUUUUGUCGAUUAGCAAGAUUACUCGUGAACUAAACUGCAAAGCAACAUUCUUACCUGAUUCUGUUUCUUUUCAAGACUUGAGUUUGGGGAAGAUGAUUGGCACUACCCAACACAAAAGGGGUAUUUAUUUGAUGAUGAUGCCCCCUCUAGUAGUAUUUCUAGGACUAGUCUUUUAUCAUCCUACUUUACAACCUCUGAAAAAUACCUUAUGUUGUGGCAUUUCCAUUAAGGCCAUCCCAACUUUAAAUAUAUGAAAUACCUAUUUCCUCAUCUUUUCUCCAAAGUUGAUGUUUCUUCCUUAUUCUUGUGAUGUAUGCAUAAAAGCUAAACACCACCGAGUCACUUUUCCUUCGCAACCCUAUAAGCCAACUUGACCUUUUACUCUUGUCCAUAGUGAUGUUUGGGGACCAUCCAAGGUCACUACCUCCUCUGGAAAAUGAUGGUUUGUGACCUUUAUUGAUGACCAUACUCGUCUUACUUGGGUUUUCCUGAUCUCCGAAAAAUCUGAAGCUACCUCCACAUUCUGAGACUUCUAUCACACCAUAGAAACGCAAUUCAAUUCAAAGAUUGCAAUUCUGCGAAGUGAUAAUGGUCGUGAGUUUUAAAACCACUCUCUUAAUGAGUUCUUAUCCUCUAAUGGAAUUGUUCACCAAAGUUCCUGUGCUUACACCUCCCAACAAAGUGGAGUUACCGAACUAAAAAAUUGUCACCUUUUGAAAGUUGCUCGUUCCCUUAUGUUGUCCACUUCUCUUCCUUCCUAUCUUUUGGGUGAUGCCAUUCUUACUGUAGCUCAUCUCAUAACGCAUGCCUUCUCGUGUCCUUCACUUCUAGACACCGUUAGAUUGCCUCAAAGAAUCCUAUCCCUCCACUCAUCUCAUCCUUGAUGUUCCCCUUCGGGUGUUCGGUUGCACUGCCUAUGUCCAUAGCCAUGGUCCUAACCAAACUAAAUUUACUCCUAGGGUUCAGACUUGCGUGUUUGUUGGAUAUCCUCUACACCAACGAGGCUAUAAAUGCUUUCAUCCUUCUUCACGUAAGUACUUUGUUACCAUGGAUGUCACCUUUAUUGAAGAUCGUCCUUUUUUUUCCGUUAGCCUAUUUUAGGGGGAGAAUGUGAGUGAAGAGUCUAACUAUAUACUUCCCUUAGAGUCUUCUUAUCCUACUAUGGUUACCUUACCUGACCAUAGCCCUCACAGUACAGUCUUACCUACAAAUCAAGUUUCUUGGAAAACCUACUAUAGGAGGAAUCUCAUAAAGGAAGUUGAGUCUCCUGUUGUUCAGACGGCUCCAAUGCAGGUUUCUGAACCAAUAAGAGAUCAAGGUAUGACUGAUUCAGUUAAUAACAAAACAUGUGAGAAUGACAGGUCUGAGACAACUAUUCUGGAAGAUAUGGGUGAGCAGGGCAAUAUUGAUGAGGCCAUUAUAGACAAAGAGGACAGAAUUAUUGGAAACGAGGUUGUUGUUGAACAUACUGAAAAUAGUAGCAGGUAUGAUUCAUCUCUUGAUCUUCCUAUUGCAUCGAGGAAAUGUACAAGGUCCUGCACAAAGCACUCCAUAUGUAAUUAUGUGUCAUACAAGAAUCUCUCACCACAGUUCAGAGCUUUUACUGUCAGCCUUUGACUCUACCACAAUACUGAAAAAUAUUCACACUACGUUAGACUAGAGUGUCCUGAAUGGAAGAAUGUUGUCAUGGAAGAAAUGAAAGCUCUUGAAAAGAAUAACACUUGGGAGAUUUGUGCUCUACCCAAGGGACACAAGCCUGUGGGAUGCAAAUGGAUGUUCACUCUCAAAUACAAAGCAGAUGGAACACUUGACAGACACAAGGCAAGGUUAGUUGCAAAGGGAUUAACUCAAACCUAUGGUAUUGACUAUUCAGAAACUUUUUCUCCAAUUGCUAAAUUGAAUACUGUUAGAGUUCUGUUAUUUGUUGCUGUGAACAAAGAUUGACCUCUAUACCAGUUGGAUGUUAAGAAUGCCUUUUUGAAUUGAGACCUUGUAGAGGAAGUCUACAUGAGCCCCUGCCUGGAUUUGAAGCCUAGUUUGGUCAGCAGGUGUGUAAACUCCAUAAAUCCCUAUAUGGUCUAAAACAAUCUCCUAGAGCAUGGUUUGAAAAAUUUAAUACCUUUGUCAAGUCCCAAGGGUAUAGUCAAGGACACUCUGAUCAUACUUUAUUUACAAAGGUUUCCAAGACUGGAAAUAUUGUUGUUCUAAUAGUUUAUGCGGAUGACAGUGUUUCGACUGGAGAUGAUCAGGCAGAAAUCAGUCAACUAAAGUAGAGAAUGGGUGAUGAAUUUGAAAUCAAGGAUCUGGGAAAUCAGAAAUAUUUCCUUGGAAUGGAGGUGGCCAGAUUUAAAGAAGGUAACUCCGUGUCUCAGAAAAAAUACACCCUUGAUUUGCUAAUCGAGACAGGUAUGUUGGGAUGUCGUCCCGCUGACACUCCUAUGGAAUUCAACUGUAAACUAGGAAACUCUAACGAUCAAGUUCCAGUUGAUAAUGAACAAUAUCAGCGCCUCGUGGGUAAAUUAAUUUACUUAUCCCUUACUCGUCCUGAUAUUUCCUUUGUUGUGAACACAUGAAAGCUGUCAACAGAAUUUUGAGAUACUUGAAAUCAACACCUGGUAAAGAGCUGAUGUUUAGAAAAAUAGACAAAAAGACCAUUGAGGCAUAUACUGACUUGGAUUGGGCAGGAUAUGUUAUUGACAGAAAAACUACCUCUGGUUAUUGUACCUUUGUUUGGGGCAAUCUUGUAACUUGGAGGAGUAAGAAGCAAAGUGUUGUGGCCAGAAGUAGCGCUGGGACCAAAUACAGAGCUAUGAGUUUGGGAAUAUGUGAGAAAAUUUGGCUUUAAAAAGUCCUGUCAGAUCUUUCAUCAAGAAUGUGAAACACCAUUCAAGCUUUUCUGUGAUAAUAAAGCUGCUAUUAGUAUUGCUAAUAACCAUAUUCAACAUGAUAGAACUAAACAUGUUGAAAUUGAUCGACAUUUCAUCAAAGAAAAACCGGACAGUGGGAGCAUAUGAAUUUCGUACAUCCCUUCGAGUCAACAGGUUGCUGAUGUUCUUACCAAGGAGCUUCUCAUACCAAACUUCGACUUUUGUGUUAGCAAGUUGGGCCUCAUUGAUAUUUACGUCCCAACUUGAGGGGGAGUAUUGGAUCCUUUUCUUUUUUUCUAGAUAUUUUCCUUAUUAGAAUCCUAGAAUAUUUAUAGGAAGAUUAUGGAAAUGUUUUCCUUAUUUCCUAAAUCUUUUCCAUUUUUAUUCCAUUGUAUACUCUAUUUAUUCUCUCUUGUACCCUUUUGUAUUAUUCAUUAGAAAACAAUAAUAACAAAAGAUCGUGGUUUUUCUUCUGAUACUCGGAUUUCCACGUAAAUUGAUGUGUGCUCUUUGUCUCUCCUUUCAAUAAAUUGCUUGACAACUAAAAUCAAGGUUAAUCAAAACCUCUUUGGGUUUUGCCAGCAACGGUUGAACUAAUAAAAAUUGUGGUAAUAUAUUUCUCAAUUUCGUGGUCACUGAGCUUCUGAAGAUCCUGAAGCUAUUAAAGAAGCAUUGUUUCUUAAAAAUUUCUUCAACCCGAUUGACCUAGCAAGACUGAAUAAAGUUCUUAUCGACAAAGGGGAAGAGUUGAAUUUUUCAAAAACUAAAUGGGCUUUUUUAUCUUUGUACAUUCAAAACCAUGAUGAAGUCACUAAAAGGGAAGGAAUCUCAUCCCUUAGACAAAAUGAUGGAGAUGAGGUGUAAUUCAAUCGUAAGCACCACUAAGGAAGUCAAGAAGUCUCUCUCAUUGAGGAAAAAGAAAGAAGCCCAAAAAGGUAAGCGGGUCCAACCGAACCAAUCCAAAUUCGUUCAGCAGCUAAUCACUACACCCUGUUUCUUCUGAUCAAUUAGCACCUCCUUUAGUUGCAGUCUCAGAGCCCAUUAAUAAUCCCGCAGGCAAGUGUUCAAGUAGUUCCUCUUCUUCUCAUUCAACUUCAUCAUCAACCAUCUCUUAUUCGAUCAGAGCUAGGUCUAAAUCUGGGGUUAAGCAAAGGUCAAAAGCACACAUAGCUUCACUUCCUUUCGAGCCAUUUCCAAAACAUUUGGUCUGAAGAAAGAGAAAAAAGGUGAUCACUAAGAAGAAAAUAUCCAAGGCAAAGCUGAUUCCAGAAGUUAAUCCAGAUUUAUUAGAAGAAAAUUGUGCCCAAGUUCAGGUUCUCAGCCAAGGUACCAAAUCAGAUUCCCAAAAAUCUCACUCUCCUCAACUUAAGUACUCUGUUUUCUCAUUGCCUAAUUCAAAGGUGAAAUUCCUGAGAGGUACUCGUUGACAUACUCUGGUCAUUCCAUCCAAAAAGAAGUGGGAGACAAAUUUUGAUUCUCCUUUCAGCGUGAGUAGUGAAAAAUAUGAACCCUUUGAAAAAACAGAAGUAAUGGAGGAGAAGUUGCAAAUGGAGCCCUUAGAAACAGACCUAAAUACUAUAUUUCACAUCAAUGAAAAAAUGAAAGAUGAACUAAAAGUAGACAAAAAGUGUUCGGUUUGCCCAUCAUCAAUUCAGCCCACCAAAAUUUUGGAUCUCCUGAAAACGUUUGUAGCUGAUGGCAGGUUAGUGUUUGGUUGAUGCUUCCCAGCAGAUUAUGAGUCUCUCAAAAUUUUCAUGAUCUUUUUGCACGUGGUAAUCUGGAGGUUGUUUUCUUGCAAAGCUGAAGGACUCAAGAUUCUGAUGUUGGUUCCUCAGUUGUGUAACACUUGGAGUAGCUUGGUUGCCUCCCUUUUCUUGGUGUCUCCUGUUCUUCCAUUUUGAUGCUUUCAGUGUGCAAGUUCUCACCUGAAUUGGGGCUUUGUUUUGAAUAAUUAAUUAAGUUUCCUCUGUAUUGUGUUUUCUCUUGUUUGUUCAGGGUAUAGAAGUUUUUGAACUGGUUUCGUCUUUUGUAUUGAUCGUUUUUUUAGUCCUUUUGGUACUUUUCACUCUUAGUUUAUUUUUCUUGUACUUUAAGCAUUUGUCUCACUCAUUAAUAAAAAGGAAAAAAAAUUCAUCGUAACCAAGCUAAUUUGUCUUUUGUCUAUUGGUGUAAUAGCUUCAUCUUGUAAACGAAAAUUAUGAAGAUGCUAUCGGGUGUCAAUCUAGUUGAGAUGAUUAGGUGCACGUAUUGACUCCUAGAUCUCUAAAUUUAAAUAUUUGUUUUGUAUGGUUGCUUUCUGGACUUUGUAUGAGUUCUCUUUAAAGAAAAACACAAAUUCUACAUCUAUAGAUCUUACAACCUUCAAGUGGGUAUGCAGACUUGAAAUGGCAUUAGAUUAAGAUUUUGUUCAUUUAUUUAUUUAUCUAUGAAAAGCUCAAGGAUUAUGACACACAGAAAAGAAGCUUCAACCUAUUUAACAAACAAAACUUACCCACUGACAUCCACUCUGGAGUCCUAAUUGCACAUUUCCCUCUUUUUUUCAGAGCAAUCGCUAGCCACAAUGGAACUUCAGUUGCUAUUUGGGGAUAGAAUGGACCAUAAUCCCCCUAUUGAAAAUACAAGAAAAUCAAUAACGCUAAGCACUUUAGCAAGAAGAAAAGACCGAAAACACACAACAAAAUAUAAUUGCAAUAAAGCCAACAUGAACCGAAGACAUACACAGAUCAAAUGCAGAGAAUCCAUUCUCAUAUUGGGAAUAAUCUCCACCAUUUCAUCUUCAGCUACAAACUCCACCUGGACAAGAAUUUCCAAAAGAAUUCUGAUCAAUGUCAUUUAGCGAUGACUUAAUCAUUUGAACAGAGCAAGAAGGGGAUACCUCUUCUGCAGAAAAUAGGUUCAGGUGAGGAUCUGAUUGACCAGCCAUUUCUGUUAGAAGGAAAUAAGGUUAUUCAUAUAUAAAAUACCAGUUUCAGUCUUGAUACGGAUAACUAUAGACAGAAAGAUUAAAUUUCGUUCUCACAAAUUUUGAAUUGUGAUACUAGACCAAUUUGAUUCACUGAAAACUUAAAAGCCUUAACCCCCCCCCCCCCCCCCCCCCCCCCCAUUCUACAAAAGUGCUUAAGGAGACGGUUUGGAUUUGGGUGUGUUUGAUGGAAGAUGCUCGAGACAUCUGGGUUUUUCAGGCCUAGUAUGUGGAUUUGUCAGACAAAUUCAUGGCUUUAACAAUAUCCUAAGCCCAACCAUCAUAGGUUGGUCUAGUAGUCAAUAAGGGUCAUUCAUCAUAGAUAUAAUAAUUGACUUAGAGUGAAUAGGUUCAAUUCAUGACAGUCACCUAUCUAAGAAUUAAUAUCCUAUGAGUUUCAUUGGCACCGAAGAUGUUGUAAGGUCAGGCAGGUUGUCUCGUAAGAUUAAUCAAGGUUCACAGAAGUUGGCUUGAACACCAACAGAUAUUCAAAAAAUAAAAAGACAGUAGCGUAAACCCAUCUCUUCACAUCAUUUUUCAUUUUCUAAAUCCAAGCUUCCAAAUUUUGCACCCAACACAUGUUCUUGAACUCAUGUUUUCAAACUCUCCAGUUAAAUUAAACAUCUACGCUUAACAUUUUCACACUUAAACGAACCAGCACCCUAGUGCUCCUACAGAAUUAAAUUCCCAAAUCUUCACUCCUUCAGAAAUUACAAACCAUGCCAUGAAAAAUCAUCCAGUUCAUCACAUACCCUAUCUAGCCAUUAAAAAAAUGAAGCGAUAUUAUUAGAAAUUAAAAAAAAUAAAUAAACCCUACAAUCUAGGAAUUAAAUUGUCUACUUGAAGAAGCUACAGCAAACGAAAUAAGCAGAAGAUGUCUGAUAGAUGAAUAGAUAGAUACAAGAGCGAAUAGUAAUAAUACAAAAGGAAAAAGGUUGAGGGGAAGUAGAGUGAUGCGAUAAGCGUAUAAAUUCAUCAUUGUUACUAAAGGGAAAAAGGUAAACAAUACAAAUCUGAAAAAAUUACCAACAAAAGCUUCAACCGAGGUAGUAGGAGUCAACGGCAGUGGUAGCUGAGAAGUCGACGGCGACGGCAGCUGAGUGGGACACCAAAUGCGAAAGACAGAGGGAAGAGAGAACGAUGCUGAGAGUCGAAGUUCACUAGAAAAUUAACCAAAAUAGGAACCCAUGUUGGGAGGGAACAUUUUGGGUUGGUUUUUAAAUUCUGCUUUGGGAGGAGUCGUUUUUAAAAUAUAACAAACCAUCAAAUAUUCCCACCCAACAAUUUCAAAAACGAACAAAGUUUACACUAUACAAAAACACACAUGACCGAUAUUCUUUUCGUUGUUUUCUAUGAAAUGAAUCCCUAUUUUAUUAAUAAUUUUACACUGAAAAAAUAUCACAAGCCUAUAAUGAAAGCUACAAAAAUGCUAUUCUUUUUUUACAUGAGCGUUUACCUUUCACGAUGGUUUAGAUUUGGCAAUUGUUUUGGUACACGGUUGUUUAUAUUCGGUAUACAAUCGUUUAAAUCAAGAGUUUUUCCAGAUUCUUUAUGUUUGGGAGACGAUCUUGAACGACCAAUAGUUUGAAAAAAAUAAAAAUAUAGAUAUAGAUAUUUUAUAUUUAGUACACAAUCUUAAACCAAAUAAAAAAUUUUAAAAAAAAUAGAAGAAGAAUAAAAGAAUGAUCAUGGAAAAGAAAAAAAAUCGCAAGAAGAAAGAUGAUGAAAAUGAAUGACAAAUCUGAAAUAUUUUUAAAAAAUUGUUAGAUAGGCUUUUUCAUUUUGUUAUACGAAACGUAAAUAUUUUUACUCUUGUUAUAUUGAUAAAAAUUAACAUUUUGGUAAUGUAUAUAUUUAUUUUGUUUUGAUUUCUAAACUUGAAAAAAAUAUAUAUUUUAUCCUUCAACUUUAAGACGAUCAUAUUUUUGUUUGUGUUAGAAUUUGAUAACUUUUAGUCGUAAAUGACCAGACGAUUCAUCGUAUUACUUAAAUUAAUAAAUAAUCAAGAAAUUUUACUUAUUGAUUUUAUAAAUCUUUAAUGUCAUCGCAAAAAUAUAAUCAAUACAUUUAUGUGAUAAACUCAAAAACUAAAUUUUGUUAUUUUUCUUUUCCAAAGCUCAAAUCUAUCACAUCCUCUCUCUUUCCGUCCUUUAUAUUUUUUUUAAAAAAAAUAAAAUAAAUCGCAAAGCUUAUAAGAAGAACAUUGAGUAGAAUUAAAAAAAUAAAAUAGAACUAGGUGUUGACAUCCCUUGCAACAUAAAAUAAACUAAAAAACUAAAAUAAGUACAAUUCACAUGUAAAAUAAACUUUACAAAACUAUGGAUAAAUAUUCCUACGAUGAAUCACACCCUCCUCAAAAAAGGAAAAAUAAAGAAUUUGGAGAAAAGAAAAAAUAAAUAUCUCAAACUUAAAUACACAAAAAAAAAUUGUAUGUCGAUGAAAUUUCUUCUAGCACAAGUACUUUGACAAAGUGAAGUAGAGUACUAAAGCUCCAAAAUAGUGCCGAUAAAAAUAUUGAAGGCAAAGUGACUUUUUGAGUUAUUAGUUGAUAAAACAUCAAUAUAAUUAAAAAUCAAAACCCUAUUAUUUGGUCAUCUACGUAUAAAAGCCACAUGUCACACCCUACCUCACACGCAUCCACAAUCUCGUUAUGUGGUACAAGAUGUGACUUAAGCAACCCUAGCACCUAAAGUGAAAUGUUAGAAUGCUCACUCAUGUCCUUACCCUUAUACUUAAACAUUUACCACGCAGCGAAAAUUUAUUAAACUUUAAAUAUAGUUGAUAAACACAAAUCAUUCCUUGUUACUUGAACAAAGUGUUCUUCAAUGCACUUCCCUUGGUACAAAAGAAAAUCUUAAACUUGAACGUCUUGCCUAGCUCUCACAAAAUUGAGAUGCAGCUCCUAGUGUACAAGACUUUUAUAAACAAUAUAAUUUCCUAAUUACAAGAAAUACAAAGUAAAAGAUCUUAGAUCCCUUGCUCAGCUUUCACGAGUAUCAACUCAUCUUAUAUUUUCUUAUUUGGCUUAAACGUCUGAUCACUUGAGGAGAGAAAACUUAAAACGUAAUAAGAAAACUCUUUCUCCUUCUCAAGCAUUCGAGAAAUACGUCGGCCACAACCCCCUCAUUCGCAAUUCUUCUUUCUCUUUUCCUCUCCUCCAGUCGACGCCACCAUCUAGCCACCAUUUACGUUGUUUGACUCACUGGACGAAGACUAACACGCUAGCUUUUCCAUCUCCCUCGCACGUUUGUUAUAUUUAUGAAAGUUAACCUUUAAUCUAUUGGUUGUAAUUAACUUUAGUCUAUGACUAGACUAAAAUAAAUGAGUUAUAGAAAUUUGAACCUCUUACCCCUAAAGAAUAAAAUAGUAUAUGUUAAAGUUACUUAUCAUGAUUCUAAGCUAAUUUUGGUGUAUAAUUUUAUAAUUUAAAUAUUAUUAACUCUUACGUGUUAUUGAACUAAAAAGAAGAAAAAGAAGAAAAAUUGUAUAAAAUAGAACAUUUGACAAACUAUUUACAUUUUAUAUCAUAUAAAAUGUAACAAAUUUUGUAUUUUAGUAAUUUUGUUAUAUGAAAUGUAAAUAGUUUGUCAAUUUUUUCUAUUUUUGAAAAUGCCCAAAAACUUGAUAUGUUUAUUUAUAUAAGGUUAAAAAAUUGUUUGAUGUAAUUUAUUAUAAUGUAGGAUAUUUUUUUCAUAUAUUACUACUUUGCUAUGUCUAAUAUUUGAUUAUGCUUAACAAUCAAUUAUUGGGUCAUUUCACUGAACUUCAACCACGUGAUGUGAGCUCCAAGACGGGUGGAAUCGACUCUUUUGAUAACGUUUUCUGUUUUUGUUUAUCAUCUUUUAAGAAACGAACUUGUUUUAUAAUUGUUUUUGUUUAACUAUUGGAGAAACAUUCUUCAAAUUAAGCAGCAGCAAAAGUGUUUCUCCUAUUCAUGUUUUUUUUAUUUUUAUUCUACUAUUUCGGGAUCAUUAGCUUUUGGUCUAUUGGAAUCAAGCAUCCAUGGUAACUGUCUCUCUUUUGAUACAAGUCAUCUGUUCGAAUCCCAUUUGAAAUUGAAUCAUAUUUUUAAUUUAACUUCUUAAAUUGCACUAGCAGUUAACCUGGUAGAUUUCUUAAAGCACCACAUAAACUACAAAAGUCUUGAGUUAAGUGUAAAAGUAAUGAAUGUUAUUUUAAAAUAUAUUUGCAAGAAUAUGGUGUAUGUAUCACAUUGAGAAUUUUAAGUAAUAAAAGCCCAUUUUCUGAUGUGUAGAAACAUUCUCAAAAAUUGCAUAAGGUAAAAAAUAUCACAGAGAAAAAAAAGUGGCCAUAGCACAAUCAACAUACAAAUGGUACAGGGACCAGAGUAAUUUACAAAUAAAUAAAUUUCCCCUUGUAACUGAAGACUUUCCACCCUUAAAAUAACUAUAUAAGAUUUACAUUUAUUUAGUAUUCAAUUUUCAAGUUCUGUAAUUCUAACAAAGUAAAAAACAGAUAAAAGUAACCAUUAUCUUGUCUUGAACAAAAAUAUACAUUCUCUAUAAAUUCACAAUUACCUACCUAAAGAAUACGAUUCUAAUUACUUACAACAACUAAAGCAUCCUUAGUAACUUGAUUUACCAAAAGAAUCAGGGCUGGCAAAAUAGGUUCAUGUGGUCAGGGAAUAUCGAAAUCAAUUGGCACCGGUGAUAUACAUUUAGUUUGGGUUGUCAACAGUAUACACGUAAACUUGUCAAGGAUCUCUAUUAGAAUUAUUAUUUAACAAAACCAAAUUAUUAGUAGCUUUUGAGGGUGGCCUAUUGAUCUUCUCUAAUAAUCUACUGAAUACUAAUUUUACUGGUAUGCAUGCUACAGUUGGGGGCCCAGAAGAUUCUGGUUUGAUAGAUCCAUUAAUUUGACAACUUACACUAUCAUGUAUUGGCAUGUUACCAAAAUUCUGCUCAACAUCUAUUGAAGAUAAAGUUCUAGUCUUCUGGUUAGAUGAUAAGCUUACUUUCUUAGCCAUCUUUUUUGGGAGCCUUCUAUCAUUUGAAGGUCCUCGGGGAAUGUGAGGCUGGCCUGCCUUCGAAAGGUAGACCCCAGUUUUUACUUUUUUCAAUCUUGAUUUCCUUUCUUGUGAAUCAUAACCAGCUUCUUCACCAACCGGUACUGUUGGUAAAUGAGGGCGAGGGAUACGAACAUUUGCCGUCCUCCUUGCAGUCCUCCAAGCUGGUUGGAGCGCUGUGCUUCCAUCAUUUUCACUAGGUGCAUUGCCUAGACUAUCAGAAAGAAUAGUUUCAGAAAAACCAUCUUCUAGAGUUUCGAUUUGAAUAGGAUGCCCAAUUAUAGCUUGCCCAUUUAACUUGCUCAUAAGUGAUACGAUAGGAACAGGCUCUUUUUGGUAACUUGCAUGGACCUUCAGAUCAACAUCUAUUAAUAUAGUUCUUGGCCUCUCACCAAAAUGAUGAGGUAUACCAUAUAAGGGAUUUUUUACAUCCCAAUAUCCUUUCAAAGCAGGUUGACCUUCCCAGUCAGGCAAAUAAUUUCUGACAAAAUAUUGAUCUUUUGAUACCAUUUUAGACGUCAAGUAAUAUUCCUCUUCCAAUGCAUCAACUCCAUCCAUGCUAUCAUCAAAGUAAUCAUUCCUAUUAUUGAGUCUUGUUCGGGCAUGUACCCAUAGGUGGCUUGAUGGUUCCUCAUCUACUCCAACGAGUUUUUUAGAAAAAUUACGAACAUUUCUUUUUCCCUUCAAUUUCCACUUGGACACUGCUUCAUUAGUAGAUACAGGGUCGUGAUGAUAAAGGUGAGACAUAUCACCCGAAUGCACAGAAUCAUCAGGUUCCUCGCUGCUCAUAUUUCCAUGCUCCCGUGUGUCCGUUCUUUCAAAUGUACUCAGCUCCUUUUCUGAAGGCAAAGUAGAAUCUGAAAAAAAAAAACAAAUAUAUGGAAUAAAUUAACGAAGCAAUGAAACACUAAGCGCAAAAGCCAAGGAAUACUAACUGCAGACCAGUUGUACAAUUCAGAGAUCUAAACAUGGAGAACAAGGAAAGUUUUCUUUCUUUUUCCUUUCCUUUUUGUAGUAACAAGGUUGCCAUCAAAGGGGAAUGAAAAGAAACUCACAUUCCAAAACACCAAAUUUGUAGUUCACAUUUUUUGUUUCCACGAUUAUCGAGAAAAUUCCUCAAUCAAGCAAAUGCUAGAAGCAACAUAUAUAGCAAUUUGGUAUAUCAUAUCUCAGUGACAAAUUUAUCUUUGCAUGUAAACAACUACAUCUAAUAUAGAAUACCAAAGAGAAGGAACAAAACAUCACCAGACCUUUAAAAACAAUACGAGCAUUGAAAAUUCAGCUUCAGAAUUGAACUUCUCGUGUCUUAAUUUUUUUUAAAAAAGUGAACGUUAAAACUGAUGCAAUCUGGAAAAAAUAUUUGAAUGCCUGGACUUACUAAUUCCAACUCACUAACAACACUACUAGCACAACUAAGGGCAUAUAGCUAAGAAGGAAAACAUCCUAGUGUACACACAUGUACAGAGACAGAACAAGUUGGACUAGGAUAAGAUGAGUAAUGAAUAAUGAUCAAAAUCACCUAAUUACAUAUUCUACCUUGAACUGUGACUUCAACCACGACUGAUCGUCACCCUAAGCAUCUGGUGAAAGGAUCACAAUGUAGCCUAGAAAUAUACCUAAAUAAGCACGUCAAAUGUGCUAGAGACUCCAAGACCGUUCACAAUUACAAUAUUGGAUGUGUGGAAGCUCAAAACAUUCAAUAAAAACAACUAAGAAGGCGAUCAUUUAAGAAAAAUGAGACUAUUCUAUUAAUGAGGAUAAGCAUUCAAGUGUAACACAUCACUGAAAUCUGUAGCAGAAAUUAAUAGUGCAAUAUCCAUAUGACAAACAUCCAUCUAUAUGAGAAAUACAUAAUAACCUGAAAGUGCAGUCAUCUCAUUAUCCAUGUCCUGAUCUGACCUGGAAGAAUCGGAAUCAGUCUCUGAGUCAGAAGAAUCAUUUUCAGAUGAACCAGAAGCAUUUCCUUCGAGAAGGGAAUUAGGCUGGGAAGGCAUAACCCCAGUUCCUAAAUCAGGUGUUGACAUCUCAACUUGACCUAGAGAAGAUUCUCUGCAUUCCAAUGAAUCACUAGAAUCAGCUGGAAGAUACAUACACUUGCUCCUCUUCGCCCGAUCGAUUUGCUGCAUCCCUGAAGAAUAAAAAAAUAUGAUCAGUCAAUCUAGCUACCUGUGGCAGUUUACUUUGGGAUUGUUCAGGACUGGCUGAUCAAGACGAGCAUUUGGACAUCCCUUGUCCAGUUCCUCAAUGAACAAUUCAAUAUAUUAAAACUAAAAAGUCCUUACCAUUUGCAUCGCUGUCAUUUCCAAUGUUACAACCACCGGAAGGAGCCAGAGCAUUGGUAUCAGUUGCAAGCAUUUCAAAACCAUUCGAGACAACAGAAGAAGAUAAAAACUUUCUUUUCGAAGAAGUUAUUCUGAGUCCAAAGUCCUGCAAGCCUCUCAUUCUCGGUCUUGAUUCAGAAUGGUCAUCCUCACCACUACGCUGUGCUCCUUCAUUUGCUUUAAGACAUGGUUCCGUGAUUUCAUUGUCAUAGCUUACAUGUAUUGUCUUAGAAAACUGGUGUGAUUCAGAAUGUCCAUCGUUGUGAUCAUCAGUUCCUAUAUGUUCUGAGAAAAGUAUUCCCUCCUUUGCAGUGGCACCAGGGGAUUCAAUAGUCAUUUGAUCAGAAUAUAAGUUAAGUUUUCCUUGCUUAUUCAGUAGUUCCUUCUCAAGUUCAAGAGCAUGAAGAAUAGCAUCCUCCCUUCGCGCAUAUUUCUCUCUCUUCUUUAUUGGCAUGCCUUGCGAGGACUCUGCCCUUUCAAUACAAUCAUCAAACUCACCACAUCGAAAUGGUUUUACUCGCUUGGACUUCUCUAAAUUGUACCAAUCCCUGAAAAAUAGAUGAAGAUAUCAAAUACUAUAUACUGAUGAUAAUAACAAUUUUAUAGAAUUAAGAACAUAACAAUAACAUUUUUAUAAAAAAAAAUUAGUACGAAGCAUGGAUGCAACCUUCUUGCUUAUAUAUGAUAUUGAAAAAAUCAAAUGAAUUACCAAACUGAUGUAGUAUAUACGUUACUGUUUGUUGAAUACUUCAUAUUCCUUCAAUUCACUUCAACACUAGGUGUAUCCAAGAAAUAUCCAAGAUCUACCAACAAACUUCCAGGAACAACCAAGAUUAGGGAUAUAUCAUAGGAGACAUCUGCAUGUUCUGGAUUCAUCAACAUCAAGUGAGGAAGAAGAAGAGGAAUUGAAGGAAUAUGACGGAGAAAUGGCACGUAGGCAACAAUUUGAAGCUGGAAGGGUUUUAGACUGUAAAGUCACAAGGUAAAACUAGAUCUGCCAUUUUUUUAUAAGAAAUGGGAUAUUGAAGAUUUUUUCGAUUGGAUAAGGGGUGGAAAGCUUUAUCAACUACACGAACACAUCAAAUAACAAAAAGGUAAGUUUGGUAGCUCUAAAAUUGAAAGGAGGUGCUUCUACAUGUUGGAAACUAACAGAAGAAAACAGAAUGAGGUAUGGAAAAGAAUUAAAAAGAUUGACGAGAAUGUUAAAGGACAGAUUCCUACCCUUACUGCCACACAUUAGAAACAAACCCUGUGUAAUCAAAUAUCAAAAUUGCCAACAAGGUUCAAGAAGCAUUUCUAACUACACGAAAUAAUUUCAUAGGUUAGGAGCAAGAACAAACUUAGCUGAGAGUGAAAAUCAUCUUAUAGCUUGAUUUGUGAGGUUUAUAAAUGGACAUCAAUGAAAAGAUUAAGGUACGUCCCAUUGGUUUACUAUCAAAUGCAAUAUCUUUGGCUGAAAGCCUGAAACCAUUGAAGAAAUGAAUGAACUUCAAUCAAGAAGGUCUAACAAAAGGACUUCUUGGGAAAACAAAAGUGAAGGUUUCAAGAGGAACAAAGUGACAUAUAACAGAGCCAUUCCCUCAUCAUCUAAUGUUGGAACAAAAGGAAAGAAAAUUGAACAACCAACAAUUGAAGACAAAGCUACAAUGCAAUAUAUUUGGCUGAAGCCAUCAAAGAAAUGAAUGAACUUCAAUCAAGGUCUAACUGAAGGACUUCUUUGGAAAACAAGAGUGGAGGGUUCAAGAGGAACAACAUGACAAACAAAAAGAUUCCCUCGUCAUCUAAUGUUGGAACAACAGGAAAGAAAAUUGAACCACCACCAGCCAAAGACAAAAUGCCUAAACCUUCUUAGAGAAAGCACAAAAUCCAUACAAUCAUCCAAGUAUGGGAAAAUGUUUCCGUGGUGUCCAAGUGGGACAUCUCUUCAACAAUUGUCCUUCAAGAAAGACCAUAGCAACGGUGGAAGAUUGAGGAGCACACCUCAUCCCAUUUAAGGUCAUCAUUCAGCAGUAUGAAGAUUGAGGAGCAAACUUUUAAGGCGUUGAAAGAUAGUUAUGCAAAGAAGGUGAAGCCAAUGAGUUACGUUCAUUUCUCUGCUCUAGCACUUGAAAAACAGAGCAUGAACCAUUAUUGGAUUAUCAAGAAUCCAGAAGUUGGCAAAAUUGGUUUCAACAAUCUUUAGACUGUUACAAGAUUGUUCGAGUUUGAUAAAUGUAAAAUUAUUCCUUGAUUCUAUUGUCAUUAUCAAUCCUCUAUCUGCGGGAAGUGCUUUACUUCAUUUGGAUCAAGGUGAGGUGGAAGACUUUGUUGAAAACCCAGGGAAAUGGCAAGUUUGUUGCCACUUUCAUUUAAAAUUGAUAAGGUGGAAGCGGGUACAUGGUCAUCUGAAAGUAGUGAAGGGCUAUGGUGGGUGGGUAUCAAUUAAAAACUUACCCUUAACUACUAGAGCCAGUAAACCUUUGAAGCUAUUGCGUCUUAUUUCGGCAGUCUAGUAUCUAUUGCAAAUGAAGCAUCGAACUAAAAAAUUACCCUUAACUACUGGAGCCAGCAAAAGUUUGAAGCUAUUGCAUCUUAUUUUGGCGGUCUAGUAUCUAUUGCAAAUGAAACAUUGAACGUUGUUAAUGUUGCUUCAAAAAAUUAAGUUCAGAAAAAUAUAUACCCUCUCCCCCCCCCCCCCCCCCCCCCCCAAAAAAAAAGAAAAAUCAAAGUUCAAGGUGCUUUAUUUAUAAAAAGUUUCUCCAGCCCAAUCGACUUGGCUCGUCUAAAGCAAGUUUUGGUUGAUGAAGAGUAAAAUUCUUUUAGAAGAGGCUUGUAAAGCUACCCCUUAUAACCCAGAAAUUUUUUCAAGAAAUCCAUUCACAUCUUGUUUGUUGAUGCUUCAAAAAGAAAACCAGAUUCCAAAAAUACUCCCGGCCACUUUCUUCCUGCCGACGAUGGAAGAUCCAAGGAGAAUAAAUCAAACUCAUGCUUGUCAGAAGAGAGGGGGCUAGGACAGCACGUGGAGUUCUUGAAAGUGGUCCAAGGGUUGCAAAUCCUCUUGGCAUGAAAAGCCUCUCUCAAAAUUUGCCAAAAGACAGGCCAUUAAAGAGUUGUUUUUUAAAGAGGAGAGAGAAGAAGAAAAAGGUCCCUGAAAGUGAAAGGAAAAAAGCAGGGGAAGUCGAAGAGCAGCCCUUAGAGAGGAAAGAGAAUUUUUCGACUAAACAUACUUUAUUGCCAAAUGGAAUUCCAAGUAUCAGCACAGAUGGAAGGCAGGUCUUUGUAAGUCACUUCCCUCAUCCUUGUCGAAGUCUUUUGCUUCAUCCCCACUGCAGAUUCUGUGCCCACUAAAUCCCCUCCGUAAAAGCUUCAUCUUCCAACUCUUCCUCCGUAGAUUUUUCUUCUUCUUCCCUCUCUUCCUCAGCCAAAUUUGGGUCAAAGGCUAAGUCUUAGAAACAUCCAAAAUCAAGGAUUCUCCCAAAUCUCUUCAAGACUUUCCCAAAGCAUUUUGUUAAACGGAAAAGGGUUAAAGAGGCCUUAAAAAAAAGUUUACAAAAUAAAAAAUGAUUUUGGAUCAGAACUCUGAUUUUAGAGGCAAAUCAUGCUCUUUUGCAAGCUCCUUUUCAAUCAAACAAGUCAAUUCCUCAAAGAGUGAUUCAUCCUCAUUUUAAAUACAUAGUUUUCUUUUUGCCUAAUUCAAAAGUUAAUUUUUGUAGAGAUUCUCCUACCCAAACUCUACUCGCUUCAUCAAGAAAGAAGAGUCUCAAAUUUCGACUCUCCUUUUAGUGUGAGCAGAGAGGAAACCGAACAUAUGCCAAAGACAGCAGAGAAGGAUGACCAGUCGAUUAAGGAUCCUUUAGAGUCUGAUCUUAAUACCUUGUUUCUUUUAUUAAUACAUUUAAUAAAGAGGCUCGUAUCCGUUUCAAAAAAACAAAAAGAACCCUAAACAACUUAGUUUUGAGAAAUUAAAAGAACACUAGUCCAAAGUGGCAAAUCUUUGUAAGAAAACAAAGUGGCAAAUCCUCUUCAUAAAAAAGAAAACAUACUUACCAAGAAGUGACGUGACUACUUUUGAACAUCUUCCCGACUCAUAUGCUAAUGAUCCAGACUUCUAAACCCUUGAUUACAAUGUCCAAAUAACAUUGAUUCUGCUGAAUUGCAUAUUUAAUGGUUAUCUUAGAUUUAUCAUGCAUUCCUCACACAUCUUUGAGAGAGAAUCUUACUAAAGAACUCCACUCUAGUGGUCUUUCCAGUCAUUUUGGAAGGGACAAAACAAUGGAUAUUGAAACAUAAUAGGAAAUUCAUUAAGCAGCAUUAAACUUAAGGAUAAAGCAAUGGGUUUCCUUGAAAACCAGGUUUGGCUACAGUAGUACCAGAAGAAUAAGAGAGACUAGCAUAGCAUUCUCCAAGCUCUUCGUUUUCAAGUGUCCAAAUAUCUAAUUGAAUUCCUGCCUCGUCAACUUCUGGCUACAAAAAAUUGGUUCCCAUAGUAAAAUUAGCAGUCCAACCAACAAAAGCUCAAGAAGCAUCACCUUAAACUCUUCAAGUAAACAACAAUUCCAAUUUCCAGCCAAAAAGCCAGCCCAUUUUAAAAGAGCAGACGAAAAGGGUAACUAAUGAACUCAUCCUUUCUCUAGCAGUUGAAGCAUGCUUAUGGAAGGAUGUAGAUAUGCAGAUUCUUCCUUUAGACCUCAUGGUUGUGCCUUUAAGAUAAGGGACUGCAAAGAACUUUACCUUUUCGUGAAUUUUAAAUCCACAAGUUUAAUCUUAGGUCCGUUUCAAGAUUGUCAUUAUUCUUUAGUAAGAGGGUGGGUAAUUUUCCGAGUAUUUACCAAAAUCUCCCUUCAAAAUUAAGCUAUCUUGACGGGAUUAGAGGCCACAUUUUCCAAUAUUUUUAAAAACCAGCCAGUCUUCAAACUCUGUAUCCUGUAGAUUCCUUCUUGAAUCUAGAUUAAAUGUAAAUCAUUAGAAUCCCAAAAUCCUCUGCCACCAAUUUAUCUUUCAAGCGAUAGCAUAAAGGUUUAAACAAAUGAAAGAAAGAGAAGAAUUUGGCAGCCAAUGGUCUUCCCAAAUCCCAGAACCAGACUUCGGUUCCUUUCUUCUAAACUAAAGACCAACUAGGUCUUUCCCACGUUUCUGCACUUGGAGCAAACCAAGGAGCUUCGGGAAACUUCUAACAUUCCAAAUCAACUAGUCCGUCCCACAGAUGCUAGCAAUGAAAAUGACGAAACAUAUUGUUGUUACUUGAUUUUUUGCAUCUUUAAAACACUUAUCUUCUAGGCACAGUUGUUGAUUGGGGUAUUUUCACCCAAUUGGAGAUUUCUUUGUGGUAGCUGUAAAGUCCUUUGCAUGAACGUAUUUGAAACGAGAAAAGCUAAUGGUAGCUAUUUGGUGUGUGCACUGAUUUAUGUCCUGUUUGGUAACCAUUUCAUUUUUUAUUUUUGAAGAUUAAGCCUAUUUCAUCCCCCUUUCUUACAAUAAUUUGAAUCUUUCUUAAGUACUAUGGUUGAAUUCUUAGUCAAAUUCCAAAAACAAAAACAAGUUUUUAAAAAUUACUUUUUUAUUUAGUUUUCAAAAUCUAGCUUAGUUUUCUAAACUAUUAUAGAUAACAAAAGAAGAAAUUUGGAGGUGUAAGCAAUGUCUACAGACUUAAUUUAAAAAAAUAAAUGGUUACUAAAAGUAGCCUUACCUAUUUGGUUGAAUUGCACCUACCUUUUGAAUUUUGAGUUCAGUGGACACUUUUUCUAUGCAAGAAGCUAUCGGUGUAAUCAAAUUAUAGUUUCCAUAUGGAACAACCUCCUAGUGGGAAAACCCCAAGUAGGAACAAAAGUAUCAUAACAAUUUUGACUAAUCUUCUUAGUUAAUUAAUCAUCAACUGUAGUUUUGGAUACUAAUGCAUAUGUUUAUCGACCUGAGUAGAAACAGCCAAUAAACCCAUCUUAUAGCAAAUAAACCUCUACCAAAUUCUCUGUACUUCGUAAUUUCCUAAAGUAAAUAGUGAAAUAAUCUAGUCUGAUUUUGGAUACUAAGGCAUAAGGCAUAAGGCAUAAGGCAGUAUCCCUAAACAUGCACUUUCGUCAUCUAAAACUCAACGUGUUAUUGAAAGCAUUGGGUAUUUCCCACCUUUCUUCAGUAUUCAAGCUUCAAACGAAGAAAGAAAUAUAAGCCAGUGUAAGUGAAGACAUAAACGAUGAAACAGAGGAACCUAACUAAACAACAAAUGAGGAAAAAAGGUAGAGAAUUCAAAGGAUCCUAACUUACACACUGGCAUCUUCUCUUCCAAGGAGCUUGACCGGAGUUCCAGAUCGAGGUGACGUAAGGUGCGAAGAUGAAAGGUCAUCAGAACCCAAGAUUUUACCAGGCCACCAUGAACCAUUCCUCCUUCGAACCCACACGAUCGAUCCCACAGCAUAAUCAACCGCACCAGAUCCAGGACUCCCCAUUCUCUGUCCAAUUUUUUUCUCUCUUAACCUAUCUAAGCCUUUUUCUCUCUCUCACCCCCCCACUGCUGGUUCAAGUAAAUCAACACGCAAGCAACAUCAAGUCAACCUCCGGCGAAGAAGAGUGAGGUUCGGAGAAUAAUCCGACAGUGCGCAAAGAUGCAGGAUCCACAAAGAUCAAUACGGAUUGUGAUUAGGGUUUCCAUUCAAAUUUGGGGAUUUUUCAUUUCUAGGGUUCCUGAUUAGAAAAAAAAUUGAAAAAACACGCAAACUAGAAGAGAAAUUGACAUUUUUAGCCCCUUUUUAGUUUUUUUCUUUUCUUUUUAAUUCAGUUUUGGAUUCUUUUUGAAAAAAUCGUUUUGUGAACUUCUACGAAAGGUGAGAUAAGCAUUUGAAACUUUUACUCUUACCUCCUACGUAAUAAGGCGAGAGUAUAUUAAAAGAGAAUGGGUGCAAAAAUCAUCCACAUAACAAUGCUGGUGCAUAACAACUCACGCUCAAUAACCCUCGCUAUCCAAUCUACAUUGUCAACUUGAAGUUGAGAGUUACAAAAUUUUGUUUCAAUCCAAUUCAAUCCGAAUUAAUAAUAUAUAUAUAUAUAUAUAUUUAUAUUUUAUUAUUUAUUUAAUAAAAGUAUUUUGUUAAAACAAAUGUAUAGAAAUUUAAACGAUCGUAUGAAAAGUUAGUCUGUGCGAGAAGUAAACAAUUGUUUGAAGGUAGAAAGCUAAACGAUCACGUAAGAGAGUAUACGAUCGUUUAGAAAGUUAAAUAAUCGUGUAGGAGGUUGUAGGGUAAACAAUCGUGAUAACAUUUAUUAGGAGAUUACGCAUAGUCUAUAGAGUAAAUAGUUUAUUUGGAUAUAUUUUAUAAAUAUUUUCAACAUUUUCAAAUGAUACUGAGAAUUUAAUGAAAAUUUUAUAUUAAAAAUGUGAAUCAGAGAUUAAAUUAAAGCAAAAUAUAAAUAUAAAUUUCGAUAAUGAGUUUGUAACAUUUUGAAAUUUAUGGACUAAUAACUUAAUGAAUAAAUGUAUAUCAUCGAUAAAAAAGAUACAACAUUCCUCUCGAAUUAACAGAGCGAUCGAGAAUUUACAACGUUAACAACGUAGUAAUUAAGACAAAUGAUGGUAAGAAAAAUAAGAUUAUUUAAUUAAAUAAAUUUAUGAAAUUUGUGUAUUGAAUCUACAUUAUAUAUUUUAGAAGAAAAAAUAAAUCAUAACACCAUUAUCAUAAUUCUUCCCCCAAACACAUUUCAUAACACUACCUACGUAACAUUUCUCAUAAACAGAUCUUAUCACAACAGUAUCAUAACACUAGCUACAUAACUUUUUUCCCAAACACAUAGUAUCAUAACAUUACCUACCAUAAUCCUUCUCCCAAACAUUGAUGAAAAUUAUAUAUAUAUAAUUAUUAUGAAAAAGGAGAAAGUACUUAUAUCCGAAGAAAAUAAUUAUUAAGGAAAAGUUAACGUUAUUUUGGGAAAAGAGAAGAAACUGGGGUGAUGUGAGAAUUAACGGAAGGAGAAAAUAAUUUAUUAUUUUGAAAAGGAAAAGGAAAAAGGAAGAUAAUGAUAUUGAUAAUAAUAAUAUAAUAUAUUAUUAUUAUGUUAAUUUCAAUGGAUGCAGUUGAUUGCAAAUGAAAAUGACAACCUUUAUGAAGUGGUCAAAGAAAGUAUCCUUGCGUCAAGCUAAUGAGAUUCAUGUUUCACCUAUUCCUGCAAAAAGGACCAAAAAAGAUCAUUUGGACAUUGCAAUGAGCAAUCAUGAUGCAGAGAGUCAUGAUGCGAAUGAUCUAUGGAGAUUAGGAACGAUGCGGUCAGAAAAACUAUGUAGAGCAUAAGCGAUGAUACCACAAUUCGUCCUCGCCAAAGAACUUGAACGCAUGGAUAGAUUUGUAAUAUAUAAUUCUUCCAAUUUUCUUUUGUACUAAGAUAUGCAUCCUUAUAUUGGUGUACAUAUUUACUUAUAUCCCUAUACCUCUGUAAGUAUUCUUAUACUUGUACAUCAAUUUUGUAUUCUGUUUUUGUAUAUCCUUUAAUCUUAUAAUGGGGAUCAUGUGGUAUACCACAAAGUUAUAAACCGACAAGGUAAGGUAAAGACAAAGAGACUAACCUAUGAGAAGGUGUGAGUCAGACUCAUUAGGUAUUCUGACCCUCUUGUACGAUUUGGCUGGGUUAGGUUUCAUUACAAAGAAUAGGAUUCUUAGGAAGUACUAAUCAUCCAAUCAAGCCUUAAAGUUCUUUAACUUCCAAGAAAUAAUGAGUACGUCGUACCUCGGGCCACGAGUAGUCUGUCAAGUUUAUCAAGUCACAUUUAAUUUGACAAGACUCUAAUAGUGAAAUAACCAAACCUUUAACCCUAGUUAAGAUUGCCAAUUUAAACAGCCCCAAAAACUUCAAAUCCUAACCUCAAGAUAAGCAAAACUUCGCCCUCAACUUAUUCUCUUUCUCCUUUCACAACUCUUUAGGUUGCAUUUCUCUUUUUCCCAAUACCACUAUUUUUCGAGUGUGCUUCUCUGUUUUUUUAGUUCCUCAUACCCACCAAGUACAAUAAUGAAACAAGUCUGACGUGGUGAGUAUGUGGGAAGAAGGAAAAAGAAAAAUACAACCUAGAAUAAUUAUGACAAUUAGAGAUAAGGAAGCCCACAUCAUAGGAACUCAGGUAGCACUACAUUAUUUACCUUCAAGCUUCUUGUCUCUUCAAUCAACAUCCUUCUUUAAGUUGUAUUUUUCUUCCUCCCUUCUUCCUAUUGUCCACUCUGUACAAGAGUGAAACAUAUUAGUGGAACUACACGGAAGAAGAAGAAAGGAAAAUACAACUUAAGAAAGAUGAUGGUCUAUAGCAAGAGAAUGUCAAUGUCAAGAAUAUAAAAAUGACAGCCGUGAAAAGAGGUCACCCACAAAUGAUCGCAUUGAUGAGGUGGCAACAAUUGUUAGUAUGCACCGCCACCGCAAGCUCAAUUGGGACCUCUUUAGAAUUUUAUGACAUUCCUUCAUAUUUUAAUUAAACUUUAUGUAAUUUUUAUUUAUGUUUACGUAUGUUCAUUACAAUAUAUGUCACAACUUAUGAUAUAAUUCUUAUGCGUUUAAUCUUUUUUGUCACAAGUUUGGCUCCCCGCUUUUUAGUAUUCUAAUUUUUCUUCGCGAUUCAAUAACACUUCAAUAAAAUAAAUUAUGUGACAUAAAGUUUCAUUUGUUAUCUAGGCGUUUAACUUGUUAAGGAACCUUACUUAGAAAAUAUUUCUCUAGUUUAUUAGGCGAGCAAGUUUUACCUCAAACCUCUUUUGUAGAUUUUUCUGCGAAUAAUCUUAUCAUUCACUUUAGCAAUGAGGACAUUGCAGCCUCUAAAUUUAGGGGUGUGCGAGAUCCGCAUAAAAACUUUUGAAACCUUUUUAGAAAUCCUCUUAAGGCGUUUUAAUAAAAGUUAAAACUAAGCCAACAAGUGAAAAUUUUAAAAUUAUGUAUUCCUUUAUUCAAGUAAAAUAGCAACUCCUAUGUUGCCUCUCUCGCAAAAAUAAGAAGCAUACCUUCAAAAGUAAAAAUCAGAGAGUUGAGUAAUAAGAGGUGAUGCAAGUUACACUUGAGGAGAGAAAUUGACUCAUAGAGUACCUAUGGCUUUCCACUGAACGCCAAAUCCAAUGUAAAUGUAAUAAAAGCAUUCUUGUCCUCUAGUGAGCCUUUCUCAUGUGAUGAUGUGGUUCCUCAUCUGGAGAUGUUAAUCGCCCAAUGAGUUCCCAUCACGCCUUUGCGCAAGAUGUCUCCUGCGAUUCACUAGUUUAUUUCUUUGUUCAUUAUCCUGCAUUUAGACAUGUCAACCGCGUAAAACAGACAUGAUACUUAUGUAAGAUGUAUUUUUAAAUACUUAUGUAAGAUGUAUUUUUAAAUACUUAUGUAUUUACAACAUAAGUUACAUGUUUUGAUCAUCUUCUUAUGCGUUUGACCUCAUUAUUCUAAUAAAAGAGAUUAUAAUAACUCAUAUUUAUAUACACGUUAUCAAAGGUUCACUAUAAAACAAGAAUGGUAGUUGGAGAAUGUGAUGUGUUGCAGGCCACUUUUUAUGUGUCAAAGUGAUGUUCUUUCUCUUCUUUUACCUUGGCCUAAACUCUCCUCUCUGUUGGAUUUUGUCUGGCUAAAAGAGUUUCAUUAUCUUCAUCCUUUUCAUUUUCAACUCCUUCAUUCAAGACUUCCCCUUGGUGACGAUUCCUUAAUGCUACAUUCAUCCUAUCUAAUCGAUCUGUCAAGUCAUUAAUUACUUGAGUUAAACGAACAAUUGCUCCUCCUUGUGCUUCGAUCCUCCUAGCUUCACUAAUCUCCCCAUCAUUUUUUGCUUUUUGAUUCAUAUUGAAUAGAUUAAAAGGGGCCUCACACACUCAACUCACUAAUUGUUUACUCGGAACACUCGUGUUUACACACAAAAGGUAGGCUAUUUGGAAAAGUAGCUAAAUUUUGAUAUUGGAUAGGCCUUUGCAAUCCUUGAAAUAGUGAGCUAUUCAAUAUAAGCAAGACAAGAUAAUUAUGAAGUUAACCCCAAAAAGAACAUAAAAAAUGAAAGGUUCAAACAAAUAAGGAAGCUUAAAAUUUUCGGAUGAAACUAAACACAUAAAUUGAUUUGCAAAUAGAAAAAUUUUAAGAAAUGAAUUUGACAAACUAUACUUCUUGGAAGUUGAAGAUAAUAGGUGGAUCUAAUAGUUUGUUGAAGGGCACAAGGUGAAAUUCAAUAGUUUACAAGGAGAAAGAAAAUGAGAGAAGUUUGAAAGUCACAUAGAAUGGAAGAAAACAUGCAAAAAGUUAAUGUAAUAACUCAAUUGCGUAGAAUUUGAUUACAAAUAAAGAUUAAUCACAAUUUUUUUUUUAAUAAUUGCAAGAACAAAUUUUCUUUUCAAUAUGUAAGACAUAAAAAGAUUAAAGUAAGAUAAAAAUAUUAAGAACGAUAGAUGAAUGACAAUAAUUGAUAAGAUGAAACUAAAAACAAGAAUCAAAAGUUUGUAAGAAAGAAAGAUAGAAUCAAUCUUAGAGUAGGCCACAAAGAUGCAACAUAGGCUAUGAUACCAAAUGAUAAGACAAUUCUAAUCCUCAAUCCAAAUAUCCAAGUUAUUAACGUAGCAAGAACCUUUGAAAUAAGAAACUAACACCUUCUUAUACUAAUUUAGAUCAACCAAUAAAAAGUUACGAUUAGAUUACCUCUUAGAUCGAAGAUCUAGAAGCAGUAUUUGAAAAUCUUGUUCUAAAUUGAGUCAUUCCACAAUCAAACUUGAUCAGUGUUAGAUUGAAUGGCUCGCAUGCAUUCUAUCACAUGAAUUACAAAUUGAAGGAAAACUCUAAAAAAAACUGAGAUUUCAAAUUGUAUUCAUCAAAAGUAGAUAAAGACAUUAUAUAGACUUGUAGAUGUUCUAUCCUAAUUAAUGAAAAUACCAAAAGUCUUUAAAACGUUAAUAUUAAUAGCUUAGUAUAGCAUAGUAAUGGUACUUACCCUAGCUUGUUAAAUUAAAACAAGUGAAAAUGCAAUAAAAAUGGUCAUAAAUUGUUAAAUUAAAACAAAUGAAAAUACAAUAAAGAUGGUAUUCAAAUUGUUGGCUUCAAGGAAGCUUCCUGUCUACCCCAUAGUCCACUUCAAUCGAAAAAACAUUGACCUUCAAUCGAAAAAACAUUGACCUUCAAUCGAAAAAACAUUUGACCUUCAAAUCUUCAAAUGGUCCUUCGUCUUUUCUAUUAGUAUGUAGCACAUGAAAUUUGAACUGACUCUAUCCAUACACAUGAAGAACGUUAAAUAUUUGAUGCUUUAGAUCUUACAAUUGGUCCUUCCUAAACUUCUUAUACAUGAAGAGUGAAUGCUUUAGAUCUUGUAAUUGGUCAUUCUUAAACUUUUUAUAUCUUGUAAUUGGUCCUUCUUAAACUUUUUAUACAUGAAAAAUAAAUGAUGAUUUUUGGGUUAUUCAUCUAAUGGACUAGAAAAAAUUGUAUUCCUCCAACAUAUUCGUCAAAUUUCUGUCCUCAUCUGAAAAGCUAAUAAUUAAGAUUUUUCUUUUAAAAAAAUCUUAUGAAAUGAUUAAAAAAUAUAUAAUCAAAACAUGUCAUAAAGUUCUUGUCAAUCUUCCAUUAUUUUCACCAAAAAGGUUGGCACACUCUUCUGAUGUAUGUAAUUUAACAUUUUCUCCUUCUGUGAGAAUCGAAAGUAAAGAAGCAAAAAAUGAGCAAACUCCAUGGAGAGAAUAUUGAAUUAGUUUGCAAAGGUAGGCUACAUCUUAUCAUAUUUAGUCCUAAAUCAAAAGGUUCACCAACGAUUCUCAAACAAAAGACCCUGCCUGCAUAAUCCAAUAUCAACUUUGCCAACGAAGGCUACAAAAGACCCUGCCUGCAUAAUCCAAUAUUUAGUCCUAAAUCAAAAGGUUCACCAACGAUUCUCAAACAAAAGACCCUGCCUGCAUAAUCCAAUAUCAACUUUGCCAACGAAGGCUACAAGAAACCACAAAAAUUGAGUGACGAGCCAUCCCUGCUCCAACCAACCAAGCAGGACAGUAUGGAAAGAUGAGAAUUGAAAUAGUUCUGUCACAGAGUUGCUCAAGAACAAUUGAACAAACCAAGCAUUCAAUUCAAAUUAGAUUAACUAUCAACUGUAAACAAUCUUUAGUGAUAAUACAAAAACUUCUCUACGUCAUACUUUAUGCUGUUCUGAAUAUUGCACAUCUUAACAAACUUAAUAUACAAUUCAAUAGGCUGCAGAGAAUAACUUUCAAGCCUUGUCCCGGUAAAUUAAAUGCUUGGGGAAACCUGCAAUCCACUCGUUCAUUAGCUUUAUAUCCAUAUUUGUGUUGGUUUUCUUAAAAACAAAAAAUGAAGAAGGCUGGAAAACUCAUAAAGACUACCUCAAAUAUCUUUUUUGCAAUUUCAGGAUAACAUCUUGUGCUGUCAACUGGUUCUCCACAUUUACGAAGGGCACCAUCACCUCCAAAGAGGUAGGACCAUUUUAAAGUUUGAACAUUUUAUUCAAAUUUGUUCUCCACAUUGACCAAGAGGCUACGAAACCUGCCAAGAAAGGUGAUCAAAGUCAAACAUCAGUAAUUAGAUUUAAACAAAUUGCAAAGCAAGAAGCAUUAAACGACAAGCAUAACUAAAAUCACACGAUUAGGAAAAUGACCAAACCCCUGCUGAAUAAGAAAAAAAAGAGCCUCAAGGACAUCUUGGUAAUAAAAUAAGGAAACAACAAAUAUAUUAGAUAUGAACAAUGAAACAAGUCUAGGGCAAACCACAUCACUGCUCAUAAACCUGAACACAGAGCCAAAAGCACGUCUAGCAAAACAGAACUCAAAACUAAGUGCUUACUCGAAGAAUUAGAAAAUUAGACUUAGAGAAGUAGGGCGGGUUCUAAGCAGAGGUAUCAUUUUCAGUAGCCCAUUACAUGUCAAUACAUCAGUUGUGAGAGGAUUAAGAUUAUUGCAAGUAAUCUCAAAAUGCUUUAGCAGUGUAAAAGCAUAUCAAAUAACGUGAAGAAAGUAUAUCAAGAAAGGAUACUAAGGAAGCCUUUAGAGCUACAAUAGUAAAUGUUGAGAUGAUACAGGGUACGUAAAGUCUAAUUAUAAAUGUAAAGUUCAUGAUCAUCCUGCUCCAUCCCAGCUGUUAUAGUCAAUCUAGUGUCAGCUACAUAUUGGCAUUAAACAAGAUUAGAAAUAUAAGCGUUCCUACAAACAGGUGGGGCAUACAAAGGUCCAUCACUUCAAGUACCCGCAGGUCAAGUCCAUUAUAUGAUAUCAGUCCGUAGGCAAAACAAAAAAGAAAAAAGAAAAAAGAAAAAAAGAGGAAAUUAUUCAAAAGAACAGCAUAGUGAUAAGCCCCAGUUUUCCCAUCCUUUUUCUUAUGUAAAUCUAGCUCAUAUCCAUGCCAUCUCCAACUUGACUGCAAAUUGGGACGGCAGCAGAGAAAGAUCUCUCAAAAGGUGAAGGAUGAAACUGGGCAUCCCGCCUACGCUUAAAAGCAAAGUCAUCAACGGAGGAAUUGUCAGCAUCAAGCUUCCUGCGAAUGCCUCUGAUUGCAUGUUCUUCUGUCAGUGAAAGGGGGAAUAUUUGCCCACUUGCACGGCAAAGUGAGCUAUGGUUAUCAUACAGAAUUCGUUGGUCACAGUUUUUGUCACAAAUGUGAGUCAUUCCUGUAAAUUUGCAGCGGUACAUAUUACCACACACAUGUUCAUUCUCACAUUUCCAAUCACAUUUGUGGGCAAGAACUUGCCCAUCUCUACCCAGAAUAGUUGAAAGAUAAAUAACAUUUGCAGGCUCUGAGACCAUGGAUUUGCCGUUUAACUCCAUUGAAAUGAUGCUGUCAAAAGGAAAGUCUUGCCUCAAAAUUUCUGCAGAUCCCAACACAAAAUGGAAAACUGUCAAAUUUUGGACUAUGAGAGAAGGGAACCCCCAGUUUUUUUUUUUUUUUUUUUUUUUUGUCAAACUAUAGUCUUCCCCAUCACGUCCUUAAUCAAUUUUCCUGGAUUUGGACUCUAAAUUUGACUGAAAUUAAAAGAGGGGAAAACUGCAGAACAUAGGUACAUCAACGAAUUGGUAAUCAUUCAAGAAAUUAAAAAAAAAAAAGCCUCAACACUAUUCAGUUCUCCAGAUCUUAAAACAGUAGAAUGGUAUAUCAUGAGACACGAAGAGAAAUGAGAAGAAGUAAAAGUGCCAGAUAGUUAUAAAGCGGGCGAGCAAAAUAAUUAAACAUAUUGUAAAGACUAUGGUGAUUUCAGACCAGAUCUAAGAAACCCAUGUGCGGAUUAGGAAAAAAGAACAAAUACUUAGUAACGCAAAGACGCUUAAAAGAUUUCUUAGAGGAAAAAAUAAAAUAAAAUUGUGAAUGUUUAGAUAAAGAUCUCAAAGGGGAAAAGCAUAGGAGGUGCUCGGAAAUGAUUAAAAAACGAAAAGAGGAAGAGAAGCAACUCACUUGAUCUGAGAGGCCACACGGCACCACCCAGAGUAUCGGAACAAAAGGAAGAAGAAGAAAACGACAAAACGCGGGGGCGCUGUCUCCCUCUGAAUCAACUCCCGCACUCCCUCGUCUCCGUUUCCCUUUGAUUUUGGAUAAUCUAGCAACAACCACGAUAAAAACAAAAACAAAAACAAAAAUAAAGAGAGAACAGAAAAAGUAUUAGAACGAAAGAAACGAGAAAUGGGGUAAAGCUUAUUUAUAGAGAGGAAAGAGGAGACUUUGUAGUCCGUGAUGAUGGGGUUGACGAUGUUAGUCGUUGGAGUAGAGAAGAGACUCACACUUUUUAUUUUUUUAAACAAUUUGUUUCCCAGAUCAUCCUUAACAUAUAUUUAUAAUAUUUCAACACUAUCCACCAAUUCAUCUAUCUCUUAUAUUUCUUCAUAAAACACUCAAAUUCUCAACUCAAAUCAAAUAUACUUAUAUAUUAAAUCACAAAACUUCUAAAAAAUAAUUAUAGUUUAUAUAGUCUAAACUAAUCCAUCUUUAUAAAUAUUUUAAUUCAUUUUAAUAUAUUUUAAAUGAGUUUUAGAUCUUAGUCAUUUUUUUUUAAUUUAAAACCAACUAGAAUCAUUAUACCUUUUAUUUUUACGAUUAUUAGAUGUUAUAUUAAAUGGUUGAUUUUAGAUGCUAUCAAGCCCCUCUAUAGUUGUUUUUCCACUCUCAUUUUUAUUUGUUGAACUUUCCUUCACAUUUUCAAGCCGAAAGAAGAGCGUUAGAUAUUAUAUUAAAUUUAUUUUCUUCCCUUAACUUAAAAUUUUAUGUUGAAUGUAUUAUUUGAGAUUGACUUAAUCUCAUUAAUGUUUCAACAUGUAUAUCACCGAUGUAUCAUAUUAGAGCUUACAAUGGUUCAAUCCAUCAUAUUAACAAUCAUUUUGAGUGAAUUGAAUGAAUUAAUCAUACAUCAAUCCUACGUUUGAAAUUAAAUUUUUCAAUGAGUUGUUAUAGGAAAAAUUACAUUAGAUAACAGAAAAAAUUAAAAGAAAACAGCUCAUAACAUCUCUUUCUGCAUAUUGCAAAUUUGACAAAUGUAACGAUAAUUAGACGGUAAUUUACUUUUAAAUUACAUGUUUUUGCAAUUUUGAAGAUACAAGUGACAUGAACUCUAUUAUCAUAAUUUUUUUUAGCAAUGUGUACUUCGAAAAAAAAAAAUGUAAAUUUAAGAACUAUUGCUAUACUAGUGAUAUAAAUUAUUUUUCAAAAUAACGUAGCAACACAACAUUGUAAUACUAAUACACCAACAUUAUAUUUGAAAUGAUUGGUGUUCGGUAUUUGUUAGUGAUAGUUUGAGGAUUAUCUCAUUAUGUCGGUGAACUUCAGCUUCAACUUUAUGCUACCAACUCGAACAAUGACUUCGUCUUUUGAUGGCUCGACACCUAAAACUGUCGCUUUUUUUCCGAAGGAAGAAACAUAUACAGUAUCGCCAACAGUGGGAAACAAAGGCUCCUCUGUAGUGUACAAAACUCACAAAAUUGAGGUAACAAAAAUUCUUUUAAUCACAUAAAAACGGACAACAUAAUUAUAAAAGACGGAGCUUCUAUUAAGAAGAAAAUUUGCAAUUCUUCGAAACACAUACAAUUAAACAGGAGAUUUGUCAAUGGCAAACCUGAUUGUGGUUGACUGAUAUCACUGGUUGAAGAUAUUUGCCUACGCAAUGCCAUCAAAUCCUUUUUGCCUGCUGUAGUUCGGUUAUUAGAGUUUAUUCCUGCACGUUGCAUCCUAUCAAUGGCAGAGGGCGAGGUGUACUCAAUUGUAGAUGCACGUAGUUCUCGUCCUUUUUGGUGAAGGUUAGAACGAGCGGUUGUAGCAGCGUUCGCUACCUCUUGCACUUUUCUAAGCCUCUGUCGUCUGCCAUGUUCAAUAAUGUUUCUUCUAGCAAGCAACAAUUUUUCAUAAAGAUUUUUUGACUCCCUGUGGUUACAAGAAUAUGGAUGGUUAAAAAUUCACGAUUCUACUAGUCAAGAACAUUAUCUAUUGAAAAUGACAAAAGAAAAAAAAGGACUAAAGCUAGCAUUUUGAGCAAGAACUAGUGUUUUUAAAUGCCCAAGGCACAACAAGGCACAAUGGCCUUCUAGAGCCUACACGCAAGGCGCACAAAAAGGUGAAAGCUUUUUUCUCUGAGGCGUACUACAUAUCAAAAUAUUACGUUAAAAGGAGAAAGCAUGGUGAAAGUGGAAAUAUGAAAAAAAAGACCUCAAACACAAGAAAUUUUGCAUUUAGGAUUCCUUAGUUAAUAAAGGAAAACCUUCAUUAUUACUAUUUCUUUAAAAAAUGAAAAAGCCGAGCUUUGAGCCUUGGGGCUUCACAAAAGGCAAGCGCCUAAUGCACGCCUUAUUUUGUGAGCCUGGUCUUUCCAAGGUGAGGCACUAGACCUGUGCCUUGAGCCUAAACGUGCACCUGAGAGGGCUUUUUAAAACACUAGGAAAGACCCCUAUUCAUUACUUAAAAGUAAAAUUGUUAUGUAUAGGCAAGAAACAAACCUGUAAAAUUGUUAGGUAUAGGCAAUAAACAAACCUGUAUCUUGCUAGUUUUUCUAGAGACUGACUAUUAUUACAUAUGUACAUACGGCAUUAAAGAAAACUUUGUUCAACCACCUAUCUGGAUAUGGAUAUAACAUAAAAAAGCACUAACGCCUUGUCCAAAGAUCUUCUCCUCCACAUUGCCAGGGGUCGGAAUUACAUUUUUCCUGUUCUUUUAAUUUCUUUUUUAAAUUGCUUCAAGCUGAUAAUAAUAGCUAUGAUUUUAAAAAAAAUGAGAUCCCAGUUUCAGCAACUAUACGAAUUAACAAUGAUCAGAACUUGAUAAACACAGAAGAAUUUGAAUCAGACCUAUGGCUACGAUAUUAUUAAAGGAUUUAGGUUGGGCAGACACUGUAUCCAUAAAAUUAAUCUUACUAAGAGACUUACGUCAAGUUAUUCUGAGCUUCUUGUAAGAGGUCUCCAUAUUUUUUCUUUAUACAUUCCAUAUCGGUUAUGACCUGCAUUAAAAUGUAACAUAAAAUUGUAAAUAAUGUAGUCUAACAUAUCUUGAGAAGCAAUAUACUAAGUGCAUAAAGAAUUAAUAUUCCAUAUCUGCUACUGCAACUGCCAACUGGAGACGCGAGGACUACCUUUCAGUUUUUUUAAAAAAAUUAAAGAAAGAAUACAGACUGAACAAAAAUAAGAAUAUUAUUGGAUAGUGGUAAACUAUAACAAAAUAAUUGAUAAUGAUAGUAUCUCAUAAACUUUUCUUUUUAUGAUGCUUCACAAAUAAAAGACAUACAUAAAAAGUAAAGCACAAAUUUGCAAUAAUUGUGCAUUCUACCUCAUCAAUCUGUGCACUUCCCGCACCAUAAAGUUCCCGAGCAUCAUCUACAACAGAACUAGGCAACCCUAACCUUUCGGCUAUAUUUAUAGCAUUUGAACGCCCUACAAACAUGACAAAAUAAAUUUGACCUCACCCAGAGCAUGUAUUUCACAAAGAGAGAAAUGUGUUCUUAAAUAGAAGAACAACCCAUUACAAAGAAGGAAAAAGUAAAUUUGGUAAAUAUAGUACAACCAAUACAAUAAAACAUAAUACAAAAAAGGAAAUAAUCAACAAAACAUAAUUUCGCGUCAUUUAGGUUUGCUGCGCUAGAAGAGAAAAGAGUGAUGACACAGGUGUGAAGAAAGUGAUAUUUUGAUUCAACUAAACGUGCCUUUAACUUACAAAAUGUAACAAUAGAAUUUCGAUGGUUAAGAAACCAUAACAUUAUUUAGUUGUCAUACCUUCUAAAAACUCCCAAAAAAACUCAAUGGACACAAUUGGUUAUAAAAAAAAAUGUUACAAAUCAAUUUAAUUCUAAAACCGUCAAAAUCUAAUUAAUAAUAUGAAACCUUUCAUAUUCUCAACAUCCCCUCAAACUUAAUUUGCUACGCCUAGAAACACACCAGCUUGCAGGCUUUUGUGAAAAUGUCCACCGCUUGGUCUCACAACUAGAAAUAUUUGAGUUCCACUUCUUUCUUUGUAACACAAUCCCGAAGGAAAUGAAAUCAGGUAUCAAUGUGUUUGUUCCUCCCAUGAAAUACUAGAUUUUUGGCUAAUGCAAUGGCUGAUUUAUUGUCAACAAAAAUCUUCAUUGGAUCCUCCAUUUGAAACUUCAACUCCUUCGUUAGGUUUUUUAGCCAAAUUGCAUGGCAUAUGCAUUAAGUUGUCGCAACAUACUCCGCCUCACAUGUUGAUAAUGUGACUAUCGGUUGUUUUUUUGACAUCCACGUGAACACUGUUUCACCAAUAAAAAAUAAAAACCCCAUAGUGUUCUUUCAAUCAUCCAGGUCACUACUCCUAUCACUAUCACAGUAACCAACAAUAUCAAAAUUGCUAGAAGAGACAUAGGAAAGACCAUUCUCUAUUGUCCCUUUGAUGUAACAAAGUAUACUCUUUGCCAUUUUGCAAUACAUUGUUGUCAGCGCCUCCAUUAAUCGACUAAUAAUUCCAACUAAAUAAAGAAGACUCGUCUUGUGUAUAUCAAGUAUCUCAAACUUCCAAUCAAGCUUUUGAAAUAUGUAGAACCUACCUUCUCUCCUCCAAUCUGUUUGGUAAUUUUGACUCCACAUUCCAUUGGUGUUCCAACGGGAUUAGCAUCAUCCAUACUAAACCUUUUAAGCAUUUCUCUAGCAUAGCCCUCUUGAGAUAUAAAAAUCCCAUCUUCACUUGUCAAGAUAAUAACUCAUGACACCCAAUGUCUGUCAUUUCAAACUCCUUCGUCAUCUCCUUUUUAAAUUCAUAAAAAAUGCAAGGAUCGUCAACACACAAACAAAUUAUUAGUAUGUUUUCAACUUGCAUUUUGAUACAUAGGGCAUGCUCAUAAGGACACUUCACAUACUUCCUCUCCCUAAAAUACUUGUCAAUCCUUGAAUUCCAUGAUCUCGGUGCUUGCUUCAAACUUUAAAGAUCCUUCUUCAAUUGAAGCACUUUAUCCUCUUCACCCAUGGCUUCAAAUCCUAAUGGUUGUUCCACAUAGACCCUCAAGAAUUACAUUCAAGAAUGUCGAUUUGACAUCCACUUUGAUAAUUUUAUAUAAUAUAUUCAAUAAACCAAAAGUAAUUCAGAGUACAUAUGACCUUUUACAUAAAAAAUAAAUAGACCUGAAGAAACCACAAAAGGAAAAUACAAAUAUAGAAAAUAUUAAAAGAAGUAAAAGAACAAGUAAAAGAACCCUAACCCUCUGCCCUUGCCCUUCCUCUCUUUCAAGGAAUGUUGCAGCCCUAUUUAUUCACCAAAUUCUUCAUGCCCUUCUUCCUUCCCCAACUUCCUAUUUAUAACCAACUAUCUAACAAUAAAUCUAAUUACCUUUAUACCCCUACUCUAUAUUAAUCUAGGUAUCUAACAGAGUUCUAAUUCUAAGCAUUGAAUAUUUGAAUUUUUGGCCAACUCUCGUUUAUUCUUGGAAUUCAUUGCAAUGUUUCUUCGUAUUUCAUUAUCUCAAGGGCACAAGUUAAAUCAUGCUUGCUGUGAUUUAUAGGUUAUUUAAAAUAGCUCUUUUAAAGCAUGAUUAACUAAUUUCAAGAACCGACUAAUUAAUAAGUAGGGCUAUCUGGUUAUUUGAUCAACUUAACUAGAUACCUUGCUUAAUACAGUUGCUUGAUUAAUAUGGACGCUUUCUGUACCUAAUUAGUUACGCAUCUAGGAUGGCUAAGAAAUUAACCAUAACAUUAGGACAUGUACCUUGAGACGACUUAGGUUCGUGAGCUGAGAGUUAAAAUUGGCAAAAAUUGCAUAUCUUGAGAAGUUUGUAACAACCAAAGGAAUGAAUGGAUUCCGAAUCCCUGGUCCAGAUCUUUAUGGUUUGAAUUAUCUCAUUUGCAUUCCCACUUUACAUAAAAGCCUUUACAUGUAAUUGCAAACAAAGCACACAAAGUCUUUACCUUUGUCUUGCUAAUCUAUCUCUAAUUUUGCAAAAGUGCUAAGAUGCCAAACUUGUUUUAAAUUGGUAAAAAUAUCACUUCAUAAUCAAGGAGGGCAUUGUGCUAGAGCAGAGUGUUUCUUCAUAGGACCUCCUUUCAACAAUUCGACAUUGACAUCCUAAACGUACCAAACGUAAUUAACUUAACAAAUUAAUUACUUUAAAUUUUUAUAAUUUUAAGAAUUCAUUCGUAUUUUAAAAUAAUUUGUUUAAAAUAUAUUAGGAAGUGGUUUAUCAGAUCAAACAUUAUUAAUAGAUUUAGUUUACCAAUAUAAAAAGAAUUCUAGGAAUUCCUGGGGAAUCCUUUAUUGGAAUUUUAUAAAAUCAGUUCACUUCUAUUGAAUAAGAUUCUCUCGUGGAUAUUAAGAGGCCUGAAAGAUUUAUCCUCAAUGGAGUUCCUUUUUGUGCUUCAACAUUGUUUUGGCUCAUCCAGAUUAUCUCUGGUUGGGGCAUCUUCUCCAAGUGUUUCACAGCUACUUUCGUGAUCCUAGACUUUUGGAGCACUUUUGUUUUUUCCAGCAUAUCACUUGUAUUGGAUUAUCUUUGUUUGGAGUUUUUCAGCUUCUCUGGUUUGAAUUUUGUUGUGUGUGUAAUCUGUUACUCACUUAUACAGGUUGUUGGGAGACUUGGUCUUAUGUAGGGUAUGUUUAAUUCUUCAGUUUUAGUAGUUCGGAUAUAACGUGGGCACUAAAGGGGUGUCAACCUAGUUGAGAUGCCCAGGUGCGCCUCCUUUAUCCCUUUGUAAUUUUAGCUCUUUGUAUAAUUCUCUUGUAUUUUGACCAUUAGUCUCAUUUCAUUUUACUAAUGAAGAGGCUUGUUCCAUUUCAAAAAAGAAAAAAUAUUGGAUUUUAUAAAGAAAAUAAAUAAAAUUUGAGAUCAAGUUUCACAGAAUUAUUUCCAUGUCUAAACAGUCAUAUUUCUAGGCAUCACAUUCUCAUAUUUGCAUACUAAGUGCCUAAUGGUAUUACGGAAUUAAAUGAAAACAAUGUUUCUCUUAUCCAAAAUGGAAGAAUAUAAGUUUUAAAAAAUGAGAGGGGGGGAAUGUAUAAAAUGUGAGAGGAUUAAAUGGUGAAUCAUAUUUCAAUAGUGAGAACCUGGUAUUCCCCAGAGAAUCUUGUAAGUUGGCUUUAGGUUCACCUCAUCAAAUUCCAUACAUGCGUUUUCAAAGACCUCAUUGCUGUGGAGAAAAACUUCAUAACCAUGAAUCAAAGAUCUUUGAACUAGAAAAAGGAAAAAAUUACUAAAAAAGCAUGUACAUGCAAAAGGUUACUUUGAUUUAUUAGUUUUAUUAUUUUUUAGACAAGAUUUCUAUUAAUCAGCUUAACUACUUUGACAUAUAAGUUUAGUUGUAAAAAGUGUUAGCCGAGGGCUUAAGAAAAUUAUUAUCUCAAAGGCCCUUUAUUGGAGGAAGACAAAUUAAUAGACCCGAUUCUUAUAGCCAAUGAAGUAGUGGAACUGUGGAAGAAUAUUGCUCUAAGAAAAAGAGGUGGAUUCUGAAAUUAGACCUCGAGAAGGCCUUUGACCGAGUAGAUUGGGCUUUUGCAGGAAAAAAAUUCGCCUGAAAAAACUUUGAUCGCAUAUGGUCUUCAUGGAUAAUGGGCUGUGUGUCAAAUUCAAAAUUCUCAAUUUUCAUCAAUGGUAGACCAAGGGGAAGGAUAAAAGCUACAAGAGAUAUUAGACAAGGUGAUUCUCUCUCACCUUUCCUUUUCCUUCUAGUCAGGGAAGUUUUGAAUACACUUCUGGCUAAAAUACAUGAAAAAUGGAAAUUCAAAGGGUUUAUUGCGGGAGAAGACAAAGUUCAUGUUUCCUCCAAUAUGCUGAUGACACUUUGAAUUUUUGCAAAUACAAUGAUGAGAUGUUAGAUAAUUUGAAGAAAAUUAUUGAACUGUUUGAAUGGCGCUUGGGGCAAAGACUAAAUUGGGAGAAAUCAGCAAUCUUUGGUCUUAAUAUUGAUGACAGCAAUUAUCGAGCUGAAUUGUAAAGCUAUUCAUCCCCCACUUAUCUUGGCCUACCCACUACAAGGAUACCCCAAAGAGUGACAUUUUAAGAGAAACCAGUGCCCAGCUUAAAAGAAAAAACCAAGAUUGAUUUGGCAUAUUGCAAUCAAAGCAACGUUAGCUGAAUUGUGGUUUGAGAGAAACCAAUGACUCUUUCAUGACAAAGCCUCCCCUUGGAUGAUUCGCUCGGAUAUAGCUUGGCUAAAUGCUUCUUCAUGGUGUGCUCUCUACAAAGAGCUUGAAGCUUUCUCCAUCCAAGAAAUUAAUCUUAACUUGAAGGCCUUUAUUUUUCCUCCCUCUUAGCAUUCGUUCAAAGGUCUUGUUUUCUCUUGUAUUACAAAUUGUAAUAUUUUUAGCUCUUGUAUUGUUUCUGUAUGAAUGUUCUACUUGAACUUUGUAACACUUGAUUUCAUCGAUUUUUGUAUUGAAAAUGAUGAGUGCUAAGGGGGUGUCAACCUAGUUGAGAUGUCUCAUGUCCAGGUGCACUCACUAAUCAUUAGGAUUAGUUGUUGUCUUUCCAUUGUACUAUUGUCUCAUUUCAUUAUCUUAAUGAGAGGGCUUGUUUCCUUUUUAAAAAAAUGAUAAUAAUAAUAAACAAGGUUUCUAUUAUAAAGUUAAAAAGUCAAGCAACCAAAACCUGUAAAUUUUGCUUUCAAUCCUAUCUAUAAGUUGCAUAUUGUACCUAUAUUUUAGGGUUUUAAGCUCUCCAUGAUGUGUUGUUGCAAUUGUCAAUGCAGCGCCAGAUUUAGCAAAAGAUUCCAGCAGUGACAUCCCAAGUGCGGCUCCCUCCAGAGGAUUGGUCCCUGCACCAACCUACCAAGCAGAAAAAACUAGACUAAAAUUGACGAUGGUUUUUCAACGGUUUCCAUACUGACUUUCAUACUUACUUCAUCCAAUAGUACCAACGAUUGACUAGUUGAAACUGACUGUAUGUCCUGCCAUAUGUAAGAAAGUAAUCAAAUGAAGAAAAUAUAUCAGAUAAUUCGAAUAAGUGAGUGAAACAAUUUGCAUUAUAGACAAUAGCCUUGCUGGAAAUGGGAGGGAAAACUCUCACGUAGACCAUAAAGUAGCCCUGACAUAAGUUCAUUAAAAGAAACUAUUCAGCCCCUCUCCUCCCAAGAACUCUGUUAUGUUUUCUCUUCCACGUAUUUAUUUUUUUAAAGGAAACCAGCCUCUUUAUAAUAAUAUUUUUUUAACAAGAAAUAAGCCUCUUCAUUAAGAUAAUGAUAUGAGGCUAAUGCUCAAAAUACAAUGAAAACAACAAGCAUAAAGCAUCGGAUCUGGAGAUGAAUCCAGGCAUCUCAACUAGAUUGACACCUCCUUAGCACCAUCAUCACUUCCAAAACAGAACUUAUAAAUAACUUAAAAAGACUUAAAAACAUUGCUUGUGGCUCUUUUUCCAAAAACCCAGCUGAUGUCAAAAAACGUAAAUAAUGCAAACCAACAAUUUUGAGCACAGCUGCACUCAAAAGAGGAUGUGCAGAAUGUCUUCCUCUUCUCCUUUGCACAGUGCACAAAUACUUGGAGACAAACAAUGGGAAGGACACUUUCUUCGUAAGACCGAGGAGCAAUUUAAGUGACCAAAAAUUAUAAUCCAUAACAGAAUAUUAACUCGUCUAGGACUUCUCGUCUUCCAUAAAACCUUCUUUAUUGUCGUGUCAAGUGGAGAACCCAAAGAGAGAUGAUUUACCAAUGAUUUGACUGUGAAGGAUCCAUUUGCUUCAAGGGACCAAAAGUGUCUGUCACUAGAACCUGUCACCUUUUCCUUGACUAUGAUACUAAACAAAAUUUGGAAAUCAAGUAUCUCAUCAUCCUUUAAAAAUCUUCUAAAAGAAAUGGACCGUGAAGAAGUACCUUGAUCCCAAUGAUCCACAACCGAGCCAUUGCGGCAUUGUGGAAUUUGAAGUAGUUUUGGAAAUCUGGUUUUUAGAGGGAUUUUAUCGACCCAGAAUCUAGCCAAAACCCAUUUCCACGUUUAAACACCACUAAGGCCUCCACUCUUUGCCACGACCUUGAAAUAUUUAUCCAUGGGCUUCAAAGGAUGCAACUAAUCUUACCCGAGGCGUGCCAACAAAAUUUGUAUCUACAAUGAAUGCUUGCAACCAUUUUACUCCAAAGUGAUGAAUCAUCAUUCAAGAACCGCCUACCCCAUUUGGCUAAAAGAGCCAAGUUUCUGAUAGACCCUCAAUUAUACACCAGUACAGUAGAAGGAAGAAGAAGCAAGGUUAACCGCACGUGCUAGGGAGAAUAGCCUUAAUAGUUUUAAUAUUGUUAGUAGAUGCUUCCAUAAUAAAAUAAUAGAGCAUAAGUAGGAGUUUGUUAGGGAGAGAGAAAGUUAGUUAGAGUAUAAAUAGGAGUUGGUUAUGGAGUAUAAAUAGGAGUCUGUUGGGAGGGAGAAGGGUGUGAAAAAUUAAGGCUGCAAUAUUCCUUGAAAGAGAGGAAGGGCAGGGGGUUAGGGUUCUUUAAUUUUUCUUUUACUGCUUUUAUAUUGUAAUUCUGUUGCAGAUAUCAAUAAAUAGAAACACUAUAUCAGUGUUCUAUCAGUUUCUUGCUCUUAGAUCUUUUAAACUGAGCCCUCCAUCUUCUUGUGUUUUGGAGACCAAGUCUCAUUUAACUAAAUGAUUAAUUUUUCCACUGUUGUUUCCUUCCCCAAAGAAAUUGCUCAGAACUUGUUCUAUCUUUGAUAAGACCUUACCUGGCAACAAAAUGGAAGACAUGUGAUAAAUUCAAAGGUUAGAGAAUUGGUUUGCAAAGAGUAGCUCUUCCUCCCCGAGAAAGAUUAUAUCUUCUCCACUUGUCCAGCUUGCCUUGUAACUUAUCAAUAACCGGUUGCCAAAAUUCCACCUUCUUCGGAUAGCCACCCAAGGGUAGGCCUACAUAUAUAAGUGGAAGGUGGUCCACCUUACAAUUUAGCCUUGUUGCCACCAAGAGAAGUUUGCCAUCAUCACCAUUAAUGCCACAUAGAGCAGAUUUUCCCAAUUUAUUUUUUGGCCUGAGCACCAUUCAAACAGUUCAAGAGUAUCAUAUCAUGGAGAUUAUCAAGCAUUUCAUGAUCAAACUUGCAGAAAAUUAGGGUAUCAUCUGCGAAUUGGAGGAUAGAGACAUGCACUUUUUCUUUUCCAACCCAAAAUCCUUCGUACCUUCCUUUUUCAUGUAAUCUUGCAAUCAAAGAACUCAAAAACUUCACUUACUAGAAGAAAUAAGAAAGGGGAGAGUGGGUCCCCUUGUCUAUUUCCUCUAGUGGCCAGAAUUCUCCCCUUGGUCUUCCGGUGAUAAAAAUGGAAAACUUCGUGUUUGAAAAGCAUCCCAUAAUCCAUGAAAUCCAUUUUGGAUCAAACAAAUUUCCAUGAAGCACAUUUUCUAGAAACUCCCAAUCAACUCUAUCAAAGGCUUUUUCUAAGUCAAGUUUAAGAAUCCACCCUUUUUUUCUUGGAUCUGUACUCCUCUACAACUUCAUUAGCAAUUAAAACUGGGUCAAGUAUUUGCCUUCCUUUGAUAAAAGCACUUGGUGUUGGAGCAAGAAUGGUUGGCAUCACUCUUUUCCGUCUUUCUACGGUGUUUUAGCUAAUUAUCUAAUAGACAACCGUCGUUAGACUUAGGGGCCUAAAGUCUUUUAUCAAGGCCACCAUUAUCCAUCAAUAUUGCAGGAGGGGCAAGAAUGAAAUUAAGGGGGGAAGUUAGUUAUCCAUGAGAAUGAGGAACGUAAAGUUAUGUAAUGGGUUUGAGGGGACCACGAGAGGGAGAAAAGGGUAUUUUGAGAAAGGAAAGGGUAGUAUAAGUAGCUUGGGUUGUUCUUCCAUUUUCUUUAGCUUGGAAUUGGCUUGAGACUCUUACAGUGAGAGAUGGUUGGAAUUUACAUUGUAAGGGAAACCUUACAAAUUGGUAUUCGAGCCUUCAUCCUUGGGGUGAUUGGACCAAUACAAUGGCAAAGAAGUUUGAGGGGCGGAUUGACGCCAUAUAUAGGGAGAUCGAGACUACCAAAGGAGUCAUUCGAAGAUUACCUGAGUUGGAAGAAUCAUUGAAAGGGUUGGCUGAACAACGACGGAAGCAAUUCAAAGAAACUCAGAAGAUGUUUGCAAGGUUGUCUGUCGAAUUGAUGUUGGGGCGAGGAGGUUCACUGGCAGCAGGGGAAUCUUUGUCACAGCCAAAAACAAGGGAAAUAGAAAAGUUAAGAAUGCAUUCUUGAAUGGAGAUUUAGAAGAAGAAGUGUAUAUGAGUCCUCCACCGGGAUUCGAAGCCCAGUUUGACCAUCAGGUUUGCAGACUUCGAAAGUCCUUGUAUGGGUUGAAACAGUCACCAAGAGCUUGGUUUGACAGAUUUACCACCUUUGUCAAGUCUCAAGGGUACACUCAAGGGCAUUCUAAUCAUACUUUAUUCACAAAAAUCUCCAAGUUUGGAAAAAGUACAGUUUUGAUAGUUUAUGUUGUUGACAUUGUUCUAUCUGGCGAUGAUGCCAAUGGAAUCCUCCGAUUAAAAAGGAAGAUGGGGGAUGAGUUUGAAAUUAAAGACUUGAGGAAUCUGAAAAACUUCCUUGGGAUGGAAAUUGCCAGAUCUAGAGAAGGCAUCUCUGUAUCCUAGAGGAAAUACACCCUUGAUUUGUUAACUGAGACAGGUAUGUUAGGAUGUCUCGUUGAUACAUGUAUUGAGCCCAAUGCCAAACUCAUAGAUACAAGUGAUAAUUGACAAAGAAAAGUAUCAACGCCUAGUGGGCAAACUGAUUUAUUUAUCUCACACUAGGCCUGACAUCUCAUAUGUUGUGAGUACUGUUAGUCAGUUCAUGCAAACUCCUUACGAAGAACACAUGAAGGCAGUAAACAGAAUCCUAAGAUAUUUAAAAAUAAUUCCUGACAAAAAGUGUAUUGAGGCAUAUACAGAUUCUGACUGGGCAAGGUCUAUUGUUGAUUAAAAAAAUCUACUUCCGAGUACCGUACCUAUGUAUGGGGCAAUCUCGUUACUUGGAGAAGCAACAAGCAAGGGGUUGUUGCCAGGAGUAGUAUUGAAGCUGAAUACAAGGCCAUGAGUUUGGGAAUCUGUGAGAAAGUUUGGCUUCAAAAGGUGUUAUUCGACCUUCACUAGGACUAUGAGGUGCCUAUGAAAUUUUUUUGUGAUAAUAAAGCGGCUAUCAGGAUUGCUAAUAACCCGGUCCAACAUGACAGAACUAAACAUGUAGAGAUUGACAGACACUUUAUCAAAGAGAAAUUGGACAGUGGUAGCAUCUACAUUCCUUACAUACCUUUAAGUCAACAAAUUGUUGAUAUUCUCACAAAAGAGCUACUCAGACAAAGCUUCAAGUCUUGUGUUAUCAAGUUCGGUCUUGUUGUAUGUUGAAAGCCCAAGAGUUUGUUAAGAUCUUAUAGUGUCCUAAUUAUCUUUUAUUAUUUUUGGGGGGCAAGAAACCUUUGUAGCUAUGUUAAACCAAGCUGACAAGGGAGGAGAAGAACUUACUUCUUUGUCGACUGACUUGCUGGAGUUGCUGUUAUCAAUAGGAAAAAUACAGCUGCUUUUUUUUUAAUUUUACUUUUAGAGAUAGGUGACCUUUGCUCUCCAUUUUUUGACUUCUCACAUGCCUUAUUUUCAAAAUUAGCAGACGUUGGAAGGAGCCUGGGACCCACUAAAUUGAUAACACAGCUGUCUUCCGCACCCUUCUCUUUCUUCUUUAAUAACAACUUUUCAUUUUCUGGCAGAGUAAAUGUAGCUCCCAUCUGAACUUUAUUACUUUUAUCAUUGGCCUUCGUGGAGAUUAAAUUCUUGCUGGCACUCUUAAUCAUAGAAACAUUACUAUUAUCUUUAUUACUACAUGUAAGUGACUGCUGGUCUCCUACAAGUGAUUUUUUAAAUGGAAUAAAAUUAAAAGAAGUUUCCUUUGGCGGGAAGGCCGAGUUUCUCCUGAUUGGUGGUUCUGAUUUUGAACGGCUCUUGGAAUUCUCAGACUUUCGAUUGUCUUCUGCCCACUGUUUACUAACGGAACUAACAUUAGCCGGAUGUUGAAGGGAAGAAUUCCCAGAAUCCGACGAUGCAUUGCAGUUCCGGAGAGAUGGUAUUGGUUUCUGUUGAAGAAGUUUGAACAGCCUUUCAGACGACUCAUAAGGGUUCCUUUGCGUGCUUGGGAUGGAGUUCGAAGGAAGGAGAUAGUCAAACUUGGAGCUAAAUGAAUCUUCCUCGAAGCCUUCGUCCUUCAUAACUUGGCUUAAUCUGACAAUAUCUAAAGGAUUAGAAAAAUCGAGAGUAAAUAAAUCACCUUGAAAUUUGCUGGGUGGAUUGGAUACAGAGAUAUCCCCAAAAUUCAAAAAAAUGUUUCCUCUUCUUUCAUCAAAAAUCUCAAUGGUUGUCGGAAUGAAACCACACAGAUUUUCCUUCACUUGAAUCUUGGUUUCUGAGACAUCAAUGAAGUUGAUAGUUUCAGCUGCAAUAUUUUCUAGACCUCCAAAAUGAGCUCCAAUCACUUCAAAAGUUUUAUUACACCAAUAAUCAAGGGGUAGAUUUUUUAUUGAGAUCCACCCUCCAAAGCCUUUCGAAUAUAACGGUCUUCCAUGGAUUAGAUUGUUCCACUUUUCAAACUUUAAAUGAAAGAACCAAAAGAUUGUCAUUUGCCUGGAUUUUCAAUGAACUCCUUCAAAGGACCACGAUCCAAUUCAAUCAAAGCAUUGUCUGCAAAUAAUGGAUUGAUGAUAACUUUUGAGUCGAAAAAGAGUUCUGAUGCCAUAUUAAUUUUUACCCAACUAUCAAAUUCAAAAAGUUUUGAAACAACCUAAAGAUUAUCAAAAUCGACUUUGAAGACUACCGGAUUUUUAAUCACCCAAUAUUUGCUUGUACUUUGUUUUGUGGUAUCGGAAAGAGGUCUUGGGUGACUCUUUUGAUUUUGCUAUCUCCACAUAGCUUCCUUUCGUAUUUCUGUUCGGGUGCUUCAUAAAGGAGUUGAACAUGGAUUGGGUGGAGAACCAGAAAUUGUAGUCAUGGAUGUCCUUGAAGUCUCCCAACGUUUUUCUGAAACUUUUCCACCCUUGUUUAUCUUCACCAAUGGGGAUAUGAAUAAAUGAUCUCCCUCCAGAACGAGGCCAUGCAAUGCAUCUCAGAACCCACCCACUUUUGGAUCUGAAUUUAGAAGCUUCAACCCUUCCACACUCAACUUUUUCUUUCUUAUAGAAAUAAUCUUCUUUAGAUUUCUUGUUCAAAUCUUUCACCGUUUCAAUGAACCAACUAAGUUGAAGGAUUGAUAAAGACAUAGAAAUAUUAGCUUCAACAUCUUCAAUGUGAAAAGCUUUAUCUUCAUGCCAGAUACAGAAAAUUAGGUUUUCGAUUUUGCAGCUUUUUACUUCCAUCUUUGAGAAAGUAAGAAUGGUAGCUAGGGUAAUGUCCAAGAACAAGGCAACGACUAGCAGUGUCUACCGGAUAAGGUAAUCAACCGGCAAAAAAUUUAAGGGAAGGAGGAGGAGAAAGAAAGUAGGAGAGAGGGAAGAGAGAAGGGGAGAGAGAAUUUACCGUUUUGUGAUCAACUUUAUUAUUUUUAUUUUGGAUUCUACAACCUAUACAACCUAUUAAUAAACGUUCCAUGUAUCAUUAUGAGAUACAGAAAAAUAAUAAAAAAAUAGCAUCAUGGAUUUUUUCCCUAUUCUAGGGUUUCCACGUAAAAUAGUUUAUUUCUUCUCUUUUCUUCUUUCAAUAAAUACAAGUUGAUGCACAUUGCUCGGAAAAUCUCUAUCAAACACCCUUUUCAAACCACAAAAGUCAAACAACUUCACCCAAUAUCUAUGCACAAAGGGACAAGUAAAGGAUAGAUGCUGUGAAUGCUCGCUGGCCACCUGACACGAGGGGCAGAUGGAAGGAGAUGAACUGUGAGAAGGCACUUUUUGUUUGAAUUAUUUUUUGCCUUUAAGCAUUAUUCACACCAGAAUGUUUACUCUACUUCGGCUCAUGGAUUUCCACGAAGCUUUUUCCAAAUCUUUCUCAAUGGGAGAUGACACGGGGAGAUGGUUAACAAGUGAGACCUUUUUUUUUGAAAAGAAGACAAGCUUCUUUAUUAUUAAUAAACUCAAUGUACAAGAGAUCUAUACAAUGAGAACAAUAGGGAAGCCAAGAAAAGCGGGAGAGAAAGGAUCAGUAGGUGCACCCGAACAUCUCAACUAGGUUGACACCCCCAUAGCACCCUCAUCAUAUCUAAAAUACAAAGAAAAGACCAAAAUACAAGAAAAAUACUAAGGUCAUGAAAAUACCAAAGUAACCACCAAAAUAACUACGAAAGCUACCUAUGGUAGACUAAAACAAGGCUGAAAGGAAAAACAAAACGGCAGAAAUACAUAUAAAACCCGUCCAAACUACAAAAGCACUAUUUCUGAACUGGCAAUCGAGGGAAACUACUUUGUAACUCAUCCGAUGAAGGCGGUCCAAUUGAGGCAGAUGUCUUGAAUGGAGUAAUCUUUGAAUUUUGCAUUUGAAGAACACCAAGUUGCUGCAUUUCUUUUAGGGUUAACAAGUGAGACUGAAAACAUCUUGCUGGAAUCAACAGACCAAAACCACUUAUCAGGGCUGUCUUUCACCUGAAAUCUUGAAAUCAAGCCAUGUAAGGAUUGUAGAUCCGAAAUUUCACCAUCCUUAAGAAACCUUCCAAACAUUGGAGACCAUGAGGAACAAUUAUGGUCCUAAUGGUAGCAUCUGAACCAUUUGGGAGCUGGGCAAUUCUAUAGAGAUUUGGUAACCUUACACACAAAGGGAGAUUAUCAAUCCAAUAGUCAACCCAAAAGCCAACCCUUCUGCCAUUGCCGACUUUACAGGAAGCUAAAACGUCAACUUUCAGCCAAGUUCUUGAAAUGUUGACCCACUGGCUUCGAAGACAAAAACAAGAUUUUCCAGUCGUGUGGCCAUUUGAAUAAAUCCGUAGUGUGGAUGCUUUUCAUUACUUGGCAACAUGUAUAGGGAAUUUUUCUCAUGGAAGAACCGCAAAGCCCAAUUAAGCUAAAAGGGCCAGAUUUUUAUUCUUUAAACCACCCAGCCUAGGCUGCCAUUAUUUAAAGACCUUGAGACAACUUCCCAUUUCAUCAAAUGAUUCAAUUUUCCACCGUUAUGUCCUUCCCAAAAGAAUUUGCUAAAAGUGCACUCCACUUUGUUGGUAACUUUCUCCCGCAUUAAGAAUUUUAUGCUUUUUUAGUGGAGUAUACUUAGUAUUUUAUGUUAAAUGUAUAAUUAAAAAAAAAAAAAAAUAGUGUAUCCUCAAUGUGUCCUCAUCCUAAUAUUUUAGAAAUUGGCAUAUCGCCAUGUCCUGCGUAUCCGUAUCCGGGUCCUUGUCCUAUGUCCGAGUCCGUGUCUUAUUUAUUCCUACUUAUUUAGGAGAUGAUGAUAGUGCUAAGGGGUGUCAACCUAGUUGAGAUGUUCAGGUGCACUCGAUGAUCCUCACAUUUGUCUCUUCAUUGUAAUACUUCUCAAUUCUCACUAUGUAUUGUCUCAUUCCAUUAUCUUAAUGAAGAUGCUUGUUUCCUUUUAAAAAAAAUAAAAAAUUGGUCUUUGGUUUCACCCAUCGACAUCCCCUGUUUUUUUAUCUUCCAUUCUUGAGAAUCAUACAUUCAAAAGAAGGAAGAGUCUUUUAGGGAUGCAUCUCAUCAGGGUAUUUGUUUGGUCGGUUUAGUCUGAUCAUAACAGACACAUUUUCAACAACAAAGAGCAGUCAUUUGAUCUUUUCUAAUUUUCUUGGAACAUGUUAUUUUCUCAGAUAUAUCUUGUGUAACUUGUUUAGGCUUUUCUCCAGAUAUAUUCCACAUAUAGCUUCGCCACUUGUUUGUCCAAUCGGAGACAUCUUUCAUAACUCCUUUGGAUUGGGAUCCUUUCCCCUUUUUCGUAAUUUCAUACAUCGAUGAAAUUGUUUCUUUAGUUAAAAAAUACAGCUCGUGAGAAUAUAUAGAAAAGGAUACUAUCUAAACCAAAAAAAGAUAAAAGAUAAAGAUAAAAUAAUUCGAACAAUGAAUGAAGGGGACAAAAAUAGGAUUGGAUCCAAAUUUACUUACACUUAUUUUUCUCAAAUGGCCAGAAAAGGUGGACAGAGAUUGGGUAAGGGACUGUUCAUCACCGAUAUCAGCAAAAAUAGAAUCAAACCAAGGGAUUUGUACGGACUCUGAAGCUAAAACGUGAAGCCCUACAAUGUGAACGAAAGGAAAGAAAGGUCAUUUAAAUAUUCAAUUUUAUAAAGCCAAUAUCACAAGCGAAAAAGUUGAAGCAUAGUAAUAAUGAAGAAGGUCUUUCAAUAUCAAAUUUUUUCUAGUCAUCAUAUAUGUAAUAUUCGUCUGCAUCUCAUUCCACCACAUUUUGAAUUGUUACGUAAAUUAGACCCCAUUCCACCCCAUUACCAGCCCCACUUGGGCCAAACAAGAUUGAGCAACCAAGCUCAGCUUGAAUUCAUUACAGAAAUAAAUCAUUUACUAAACCAGAAAAGAAAAAUUAAUUUAAGAUAAAUAAAUAAUAAUAAUAAAAGAAGCCGACCAUUCUUAAAAAUACCUGAUUUUGCCAUCAUAGCUGCCAAUCCAAUGGUCUUCAAACAAACAGUCUUACCCCCAGUAUUAGGACCCGUUAUAACUAAAACUUUUAUUCUGCGAGAUAUUGAAAAAUCAACCGAAACAGGACGAGCUUGCUCCAAUUGAUCAACCUAAUAAGAAGCACUUUUGUAUUUGAAUGUAUUAAAGAAUAAUACAAGAAGAUCUCAUCAACGGACACUAAAUCACAUUAACAAAUUACCUUCAUUUUAAAUAAUGAAAUAUCUAUAACUUCUUUUUCUUUCCAUGACAUAUUCCCUCCAGGAGGUUUUCUCCCCAUCUCCUAGGAGAAAAAUGAUGGAUCAGAACAGCUCAAUUUAAUAAAUAAUUGCUCUACAGUAUCAGACUCAGGAUAGCUUACAUUAAAAGCAUUUUUAACAUCCCUCUUAGCAUUUUUCAAAUUUUCUCUAUAUUGCUGAAGUAGUAAAGGGUGAUGGGUAUUUUGUAAAUAGAGGACCCAUUCAUUCUUCUUCAAGUGUGAUGCCUCAGAUUGGUCCCCUGAUAAACAGACAUUAGCAAUAGAAGAGUUGCAGCCUUCUAGUAGGACUAAAUUGGGGCACGUCCCCCCAAAUGAAAGACCAUAAGAUGCUCGAGCAUUGACCUAUCCAUUAAGGAAAAACAUAAAUUUUCCAACUAAGGAAUAACAUUGGAGAACAGGGAUAUUGUGAUGAUUUCAGAGAAAUUCAUAAAUAAAUAUGUCGAUGCCAAUUGUCAAGAUUAGUGUUGAGAUAAAUUUAAAAAGAAAAAAAAGGGUGGUUAUAUAGAUAAUAUUGUUUUUGAGAUAGACACUUGAUGAUAUUACAAGUCAAGUAACUCAAAUUAUUUCCUUGUAUAGUAAUGAUUUUUCUUUCCAUAUAAGUUUAGAUUGAUAGCUUAAUUUCAGCACAUUGGUUGAUAAUCUUCUCGUACAUAUUGGGUCUUUUUCAAUCACUAGAUAAUAAGAGAGAAUACUUUUACUCAGCUUUAGAGAUCAAUGGCACCUCCGUUCGUAAGCUUCCACACGGGAUUCUAUCACUUCACCAUCCUCUCACGAGCAAACUGAUAUUCAUUUUAAUUUGUAUACAACUCAUUUUCUCUCAAGACCUUGAGUACAACUGAGGUCUUAAAGAAAAGAACCUGGCACAUUUGCCAAAAUGGGGUUGCCGGUAUCUUUUUUUUGAAACGGAGACAAAAACUUCUUUAUUAAUAUGAACUCAAGGUACAAGAUUCUAUCACUUCACCAUCCUCUCACGAGCAAACUGAUAUUCAUUUUAAUUUGUAUACAACUCAUUUUCUCUCAAGACCUCGAGUACAACUGAGGUCUUAAAGAAAAGAACCUGGCACAUUUGCCAAAAUGGGGUUGCCGGUAUCUUUUUUUUGAAACGGAGACAAAAACUUCUUUAUUAAUAUGAACUCAAGGUACAAGAGAUUUAUACAAAGAGAACAAUAAAGAAGUAGUAAUCAAGGGUGUCCUAGAGGGAUCAAAAGGCGCACCCAGGCAUCUCAACUAGGUUGACACCCCUAUAGCGCCAAACAUCAUAUCCCGAGUACAACCAAUCAAAACAAUAAAGAAAACAUAAUAAAAGCAGCCAGCUUAGUGCAAAGGUCCAGAAAAACAAUAUGGGACCGGAAGAAACAACAACAAUAAACUAAAUGGGGAGGGGGGGCAAAAACAAUCUGAAACUGGGGCAAUCCUUCAAGGCUUCAAAAAGCAUUAGAGGGCUACAGACUGAAUUACCUGCAGACAUUUAAACUGAGGCAGCAAAAGAUUAGGCAGGUUGAAAGAGCAAGGCAGCCUAAUGAAGGAAAAUGUCUUGGAUGGAAUAAUUAGCAAACUCCUUUUUAAGGGAACACCAAGCUGCUGCGUUAAGGUCUGCUACAUGCAUAAUUUCUGCCCUUGCCCUUACUUUAUCAAGGAAGAUAUGUUGAUUUCGUUCGAACCAUAAUUUUGAAAGUAAAGCUUUGGACAAGUUUUCCCAUAUGAUAUUUGAUUUUUUGGGCAAAAUUGGACCCUACAGAAGUUGAGUCAAACUAGCACUUAGUGAAAUGUCAAAAUCCCAAGCUAAGUUAAACAAGGAGAAAAUCCUUGCCCAGUAGAACGAAGAGACAGGAAAGUUCAGGAAAAUAUUAGAAAGACUCUCACUAGCCUUCAAACAAAGAGGACAGAUCGAGGGGGAGAGGCUUUUAUUGGGGGCUUUCUUUUGCAAGAUUUCUGAACUAUUGAGGGAUCCGAAGACCAUAAUCCAAAUCAAAAUAUUAAUUCUCCGUGGGCUGCCUGUUUCCCAAAUUGCUGAAAACAGACGUUUAUCCAUUGGAGAGGCAGACUUUAAGUGAGCCGAAAGAGACUUAACUGAAAACCAGCCUUGAGGAUCAGUGGACCAUGUUCUAUACUCGUCAGAGUUAAACACUUUUUCAGAAGAGAGGGGGGAAAGCAGUGAUUAAAAAUCUACAAUUUCAUCAUCCUUUAGACUUCUUCUAAAAGCCAAUGACCAAGAAGAAAUAUCACGGUCCCAAUGUGCAGCAACUGAACCGGUGGGCAACAGAGCAAUUCUAAAAAGCCUAGAAUAUUGCUCUUUGAAGGGGGCGUUACAAACCCAAAGAUCUGUCCAAAAGCCAAUUCUAUGGCUGUUUCCAAGAUUAAAAGAGGCUAAUGAGUCAACCGACCUCCAACUCUAGCAAUGCUAACCCAAGAACUCCUUAGGCUAUUACCGGACUGCCCUUUAGUGAACCAAUCAAAUGGCUCCUUUCUGUGAAUGCUUCUAAUCAUUUGCCUCCAAAGAGCUGACUCUUCUUUUGAGAAUCUCCAACCGCAUUUAGCGAGCAAAGUGGUGUUAUGAUUUUUAAUUCCUCCUAGGCCGAAGCCCCCAUCUUUUAGAGGAGCUGAAGCCUUGUUCCAUUUAACAAGGUGGUUGAUUUUGCUACCGGCAUGGCUUUCCCAAAAGAAAUUUUGUAUGAUCCUCUCUAUAGAUGCAGCCACAUUUUUUGGUAUUGAAAAUAAAGAUAGGUAAUAUGUAGGAAGGCUAACCAGAACUGAUUUGCAUAAUGGAUGUCUUCCGCCUCUAGAGAUGUUAUAUAUUUUCCACCUAUCUAGUUUCUUAUGAAUUUGAUCGAUGACUGGUUGCCAGAACAUCUUUUCCCGAGGGUAGCCUUCAAAAGGGAAACCUAAAUAAAUAAUCAGAAGCUUUUCUGCCUUGCACCCUAGCAGAUUUGUUGUUUGAAUCAAAUCAUCCUCUCCCACAUUAACACUCCCAGUUUACUUUCUGCCCCGAAUACCAUUCAAAUAAUCUAAUGGCGUCUUUAAGCUUAAGAAGCAUCAUCACGUCGUACUUACAAAAGAGAAAGUGUCAUCAGCAAAUUGAAGCAAUGGGAGGUGGAUUAAGUCUUUGCCAACAAGGAAACCUUCAAACUGGCUGUUACUAUGAAGCUAGUUUAUGAUUUCUCCUGGAACCUCACUUACUAGGAAAAAUAAAAAGGGGGAGAGGGGGUCCCCUUGGCGGAUACCUCUAGAUGCUGUUAUUCGACCUCUUGGCUUACCAUUAAUGAAGACUGAAAAUUUUGGAUUUUUUAGGCAGCCCAUUAUCCAUGAGAUCUACAUGGAACUAAACUUUUUUAGAGAUAAAAUAUUUUCUAAAAAGUUCCAAUCGGUUAUCAAAGGCUUUUUCCAAAUCAAGUUUUAAAAUCCAACUUUUUUUCCGUUUUCCCUAUAAUCUUCCACUACUGCCUCGUAAGCAAUUAAAAUUGGGUCAAGAAUUUGCCUACCUUUAAUAAAGGCACUUUGAGUAGGACUUAUAAUUGCAUCCAUAACAUGUUUUAGACAUUCAGAUAGAACUUUUGCAACUACCUUGUAUGCUAACGUAGUAAGACUGAUUGGGCGGAAAUCCUUGACUAGAGUCGCGUUCUCUUUUUUAUGCACUAAACAAAUGAAGUUUUCUUGAAUGCAAACAUUUAAUCUUCCAUUUUUGUGGAAAGAUUUGAAGAUAUCCUUGAAAAUAGACCAGUGAUUGAUUAGGAACUCCGCUGUGAAUCCAUCUGGGCUCGGAGCUUUAUUUCUGCCAAGUGCCUUUAAGGUUUUAAAGAUUUCCUCCACUGAAAACUGGGUAACAAGAGCCUCAUUUGAAUUGCGGAAACACCAGACCAAUCACUAUUAAUAGGGAUGAAUCUGUCCCCCGGAAUUCUUGUGUAAAGUGUCUCAAAAAAUUCUAGCACAAUCCUUUCAAUGUCGCGGAAAGAAGUCAAAACGACCCCAUUAUCGUCUUUUAAUUCGGUUAUGAGGUUCCUUCUUUUCUUUGCAUUUAGAAAGCGGUGGAAGAAACCUGUAUUCUCAUCACCCAAAGACAGCCAAAUGAGUUUACUUUUCUGAAUAUAAUUCCGCUCUUCAUUUUGGAAAAUGCUAAUUAAUUCCGCUUGCAUAGCUGUUCUAGAGCCCAGCUCUUCUUCAUUUAACCCGAUCAACUCAGCCACGGAAUCAUAUUUUUCUAAUUCUGACAGAAAGAUUUUCUCUCUUUCUUUGACCUUGGCUUGCACCGCAAUAUUCCAAGCUUUUACUGCCAAUUUAACUUAUCCAACCACUCAUGGAGAAUGAAACCAGCCCAACCAUGGAAGUUUGAACUGCUCACAGUUUCAACAAUAAUCUGAUUACAUUCACUGGACAGGACAAAACCAAAAAGGAGAGGGACCCCAAAGAAAAGCAUCAGCUUCCAAGAUUAAAGGAAAGUGAUCGAGAAGAUACGUGCUUUUUGUGAAACCCGAUGGGGUUGCAGGUAUCUUGAUGAAGAAAACUCGUUUUGGUACCAGGAUGUUUGAAGCACACAUGCCAAAGAUUAGCACAACGCUGGGAAUAAUGGUAAUAGUUUUGGGAACCCCUGGAUUACCAUAUCUAGAACCUGGUUAAAGGUGGAUGCUUUGGCAUCUUUAAACUUGGUUUAGGUACCACAAUUGUUUUUUGGCUAGACCAUUGGGAUGGAUUGGCUCCCUUUGUGCACUUGUCAUCCAAGGUUGUAUAGGGUUGCAUUACUUCCAAAGGGAUCGGUGGCAGAACAUUGGGAUGAAAAUUCUUCAUCUUGGUCUACAAAGAAGUUUUGAAUACACUGUAAAUAUAUAUAUAACAGUACUUACAUAGACCAUUCCUCCAACACUAGAGAGAAACCCAAUAUAAAGACUAAAACCUUCCUACCCACUUUCAGAUACCACCUCCAAUUUAGACAGACCUUCAUAACUGUCUAGUAACCACCCCCCAUAACUACUCAUAACCAUCAUCCGUACCAUGGGGAAGCAGUGCCCCUAUCAACUCAACUGGCAUCAAUAAAAUUCCACCUUGACAUAUUGGUUUCAUUCUUCAAGUUGGGGUGAGUUAGCCAUACUUUUGUGUGCACAUCAUUCAAACUAAUAUAUACAUUUCAAUCAUUCAUUUAGAUACUUCAAGAAUCUUCAACUAGAUAUAGUUAGUGUUAGUGUUGCAUUUUGAACAAGAACAUCUAGAAUUGGCCAAAGAAAGGAAUGAGAAGGCAAAGGAGUUGAGGGUGUUGUGAAAAAUACUCACCACAUCUAAUUCAAUUAUACAGCCAAUGAGUUUGCUAAUAUCUUCAAAAUCCAUUUUCACCUGUCGCGGAACAUAAAUAAGAUUUAAAAUAUAAUUAAUUGAUAUUAAGACUAUAUUAAUUCUAACCUAAAAGCUUAAAAUUUUAGGAUUAACUAUUAUUUAACAUCAUAUUCAUACCAUAAACUAAUAUACUCUAAAUAUAUGUAAACUUCAAAAUCACCAAAAGGAUGGUGGUUGCAUAAUAAACAACGUAGUUUCCAAAAUUAACGUUGGUGUUCUACUUUUGACGUUUAUGAUCACCUAUUAUUUUUUAACCAUCUCACACAUACCUUUUCAGUUAGCACAAAGAGAACAUCUUCCUCAGCUUUUGCCACUGAAGCCCUUGCUUGUUGCAACUCAUCAUUUAAAGGAACGGCAGAGAUUGGCUCUAUGAAUGAACCAAUCCCCGCAUCACUGCAACAAUACAUUCUUUUCAGAUAAGGAAAAUUUAGGAGCUGAUCUCCUUUCAUAAGAAAAAAGUUGGGGAAAUGCAAACAAAUUCUUCAAAUUCACCUACUUUCCAGUUUUUCACUAGUACAAUGUACAAAUUCCCGAAAGGUAUUAUAAUUUUUUUAGUUGCAUUAUUAGAAACAAAACCCUAUCCAUUUUAUUUUUAAUUAGUAAUUUAUUUUCAUCAUUUGUUGCCCAUAUGUACAGCAUAACAGAGUAUAUAAUUACUCACACCACUAUUACAAGCUAGCAUUAACAAUGUAAAAGCGACUACAUUCAAGUAAUGUGUAUCUUAAUGUGAGCAAUCACAGAAUCUUAAUAAAAAAUGUUUCCAGACUAGAAUGCAGUAUCUUCUAAUAAGUGCCUUGUAAAUCUAACAGCUCCAAGGUAUUUAGAUGAUUUUCUUAAAAUCCCUUACAAUUUUCGCCUAGAGCCACAAGAACCUCUUUCUUCCGAAGCAAUAAAGGUAAAUUUGUUUCAUUUAUUUAUCCUCUAUAACUAGCCACCUUCUUCAUUUUUUCCAUUUUCUUUCACAUUUCACAUAUCAAACUUGAGAUAAAACCCAAAUGGCUCCAUCUUUAAUCAUUGCAUAAACUGCAUCUCAGUGGGUUUUGUGUAUAUGAAAGAGAUGCACGCUCAAUGGAUUCUGUAUAUAUGAGAGAGAUGUACACAUAACUAUGUGUAUAAAAGAGAUGCACAUCCCAAGUUAUUAAAGAGGAGUGAGCACCGGGAGGAGGCAAGUUUGGGUUCCACCAUACUUAUACCUGCAUAGUCAUGGUGGUUGUAUGUACAUGUCCUGAUCCCAACAGUCAGGUCUCUUACUAAGCAUGCCAAUACUUUUCCUUUUCUAGAUGUUCAUUUAAGGUAAAAACAGAACUUAGGCAAACGACAGAAUUUGUUUGAAGGGCCGUGGAAAAUAGCUUGGUUCUUAAAUUCUGCUUUGAACUGCUUCACAUUUAAUUUUAUGUUUUCUUCUUCCGAAGAUAUACAGUUUGUUAAAGUUUUAUAAUUUCUACUUUUAUAACUAUGGGAUCCCAAACUGAAGCAUUGAUUAGAUUAUUUUUUAAUUUAAUUUUCCGUUCAAGUUGAUUUUGAAUUCAAAUAAAUGUCAAGCAAUCAUUGUCUUUAGAAGCCAAAAUUCUAAUAGAGCCUUAUUCACUUGCAAUGGUUUGAUGACUAGACACACAAUAUAUCUUAUUUAGCUUUUGAAAAGGAAACAAAUCUCUUCAUUGAAAUAAUGAAAAGAGACUAAUGCUCAAAGUACAAGAAACAUAAGUAAGAAAACCUAAUACAUAAAGCCAAAGAUAACUAACAUAUAUGAAAAUAUGACAGAGAGACAAUAAAUGCAAUCCAAUUCAGCAAAUAUUUUGAAUUGAAUAAUCUACAAAGAGCUUAGAAAGUGUGCACCAGGGUGACGCUAUAAGGUGAGCAGAAUUCAAUCUAAUCCAUGGAAGUUAAUAAUUUUUUAAUACAAAUGAAUGAAAGAAACUAAUUCUGAAUCACUAUAACCCUCAAAUUAGCUCAAUUUCAACCCUAAGGAUUGGGUUAGACACGGAUUGCUUUAAGAUCAAAUAUCUUGAGACAAAGAACAAGUUCCCUUGCCCAAGAUUUGAACACUCCACACAAUAGGAUGAUCGAUCUUGAAUGUUGUGGCAUACAUGAAUUGCAAAAUUCAAGAAGCUCUCCAAGCUAACCUUGAAAGAAAAGCUCAAAGGCUAAAUUCAAUUCACCAUAAAACUUAACUUUUGAAAAAUCUAAAGACAAAAAUUUAAAUAGUUUUCCAAUAAAACUCUAAUGCAAACAUAGUAAAAUGACAAAAUUAACCUUACUUGUCAUAAAAAGGAUAAAUUUGGAAAAUAUUAAAACUAAUCAAAAUUAUUAAAAAAAUUAAUUAGUAAUUUGACGCCCAUAUGGUUUAUAUCAUCCUUUCCUUCUUUUAAAGGAUUCAUCCUCGAAUCCAAAUCAAAACCUUGUAAAGUAGCUUGUUCCAUUUUGUUGGAAAUGAUGAGAGUGCUAAGGGGUUGUGAGCCUAGUUCAGAUGUCUUUAGAACUCAAAGACAAAGAUGUACAACCUGUAGAACAGAUCCAGUUCAAGUAAGGUCGUAGCCUAGUUCAAAUGUCUAGGUGCACUCUUUGAUCCUUUUGAAUUAUUGUUAUUUGACCAUUAAGAUAUAUUUUGAGCUUUCUCUUGUGCGGGUUUCACUUGUAGCUCUUUCUUUCAUACUUGCUAGACCCUACCCUCUCUAGAAAUUUUCUUUUUCCUGCACUAUGGAAGGUGAAAUCCCAAAUGAGGUUAAGUUCUUCUACUAAGUUAUUCGCGAAAGAUUUAUUACUCUAGAUCAACUUUUUAGAUUUAUUACUCUAGAUCAACUUUUGAAAAAGUUUUCUUCUUUGGUAGGCUCUUUGUUAACUUCUUUAUCAAAGGAUAAAAAAAGAAUUGUAUCGAAUUUUUUAGAGUCGGGGCUUCGCACAGUCUAUAGGGAAGUUUCUUAUUCUUUUUCUUUUUCCUUCCUUUUUUUCAAGGUGCUUGACUUUCAGUAAUCUUGUAUCUUGACACGAAGCUACUCUGAGAUGAUUGAGUUCAUUUUCCAUUUACUGUUUCGGGAGAAGGAAAGGUUCUUAGUGUCAAGUCGGAAUAUGUGCCUUGUUGUCGUGGGAUCUUAUAGGGAGAGAAGAAAAAUAGAAUUUUUAGAGAAGUGGAAAGGGUUCCCAGUGUUGUUUGGACAUUACUGACAAUUGUUUUUUGUAACUACUCAUUAAGUUUUUUUUUUUUUUUUAUGAAAACAACUUUCAUUGAGAAAAAACGAAAGAAUACGAGGGCAUAAAAAAACAAUCCUCCCAAAACACCCCAACUAAACGAAGAGGUUCCAAGUAAGUAAAAUGUUACGAGUGAAUAGUUAUAAAAAAGUUUCAAAACCGAAGCCCAAAAGGGCACAUGAAAUCUAACUAAGGACCAAACAUACAAGGGUCCCUAUCCCUCGCUCUAAAAUCUCUAUUAUUCAUCUCCCCCCAAAUAUCCCGUAACACAUCACACACCCUCACAAACCACAGAAACUGACAUUUGUCUCCGAAAGGUGGAUGGAGGAGGAAUUCCACAAUCACAACACGAACGUCACAAUGGUCGGCUAGCCAAACCUUGAACUCCUGCAAAGUAAAACUCCACACCACUUGAGCAAUACUGACAACCCCAUGGAAGACAAUCAAAGGCCUCCUCCGCUUUCUGUCAAAGGCCCUGCACGCAAGGUCCUUCUCCUAACGAGCCUUUCUAAGGUGUUCAGCUGACCCAGCAAGACUUGCCACGUAAAGUCUAACUUUCUUAGGAAUCUUAAUCCUCCAAACCACAUAAAAAAUAGACUCCUUAAAUGGGGUGGGAUUCGACAACAAUCUGAAAUAGGCUUUACAAGAAACGCUAUCACGAAGGUUUGAACUCCAAAUACGAACAUCCCUCCUCCCCAACCUAUACGUGGACUCCUUCAAAAGAGAAAGGAGGGUAGCAACCUUCAUUGUCUCCCUAUGGAUUAAAUGACGACGAAACUCGAAAGAAAAAGACACAACUCUUAAACCAACUCAAAAAUUCGAGAUCAGACAGUUCUUUAAGGAAGACAAAUGAUAAUGAUGCGGUAAUGUAGAAGAAAGGGAAUUGUCUCACACCCAAAAAUAAGUGUCCCUACCAUCCUCCACAAUACACAACAAAAGGAGAAAAAGAGGGCAGCUCAAGAGAAAUGUCUCUCCACAGAAUCCAGUGUGUGCCUUUAACCCCUUUCUCCACCAAAUCAAAAGGAUGGUUACCAUGUUUAUGCGCAAUAAUCCGAUGCAACAAAGAUUCGGGCUCGAGGGCAAAACGCCAAAACCGCUCAGCCAACAAGGCUCUAUUUCUAAUCCUUAGGUUGCCAAUUUUCAACCCUACUUAGUUAAUAGAGCGUCCCAACGCCUCCUAACUGAACAAGUGAGAAUCCUUCCCUUCCUCCCCUCCUUCCCAAAGAAAGUCUCUCAAACACUUUUCCAAGCACUUGAAACCGAGCUAAGCACCUUAAAGAGGGACAAAAAUACACGGCAAUACCACUAAGCACCAAUCUUAUCAAAGUAAGCCUUCCUACUUUGGAGAAAAAACAUUUCUUCCAUAAGUCUUCUUUUGUUUGCUUAAAGCCCCUUUCUUUAGGGAUGCUUUUAUGGGCUGGUUUUUCUUUUAGUUUUUUCAAUAAAAAGCUAGAAUACUAUCAAGAAGAAGACUUCUCACUUGCAUUUUAUAACUGCCAAUUGAACCACUUUUUUUGUAUGCUUUAUUGCAGCUCGGAAGAACUCAUAUAUUGUCCUAUUUUUUGUAGUAGAGCUUCGUUAAUAUGAUUGCAGCCUUACAGGUUUCUUAUUUCUUUCAAUAAAGAUAUACUGCAUUUGAUAAACAAUAUUUCAUUACCAGCGUUACUUAGCAUGAUAAAGAGGGCCAAAAAGCAUAAUUCAUAAGCUGAUGCAACGGAACAUGAAUGAAUGGAUGAACCUGGACAACAGGAGACCCUUAACAUCCAUUAAUUGAUCACCCUCUGAUUUUAUACACCACCUUCCAUCAACAAUUUCCACUUCCUAAGCCAAAAUUGUAGCAGUGUCAUUAGUAAGAUAAAUAAUCAGUCCACUAACUUCCAUAUGUUUUUUAUCAUUAUAAAUUAACAUUCAUUUGAAAACAAACAAAUGAGUCAAUACUUAAUACAAGUCCAAUCAGAUGCUUCUUACCAAAAAGGAAGUUCCACUCUUUGCACUCCUAACUAGGCUGUCCAUUAACUGAGAUAACUGUACAUAAAGAAAUGAUGUUGAAUUUAGUAAUAGGAAGUGCACAUAUAGCAUCCAGCUCAUAGAAAAUUUUAUUAUUGAAUCAAAAGCAGCAGCAUGAUAUUAUGAAUCUUAGUAGCAGGCAACUUUCAAUAUGAAAACAAGGGAUGUAGGGCAUCUGUUCUUGAGAUUCUUUUCUGAUUCUUGUUAGUUGUUGGAAACUUUCUUGAGUUCUAUAAAAGAUGUUCUAUUUAGUUUUUUCUUGCUGGCCUUUUCCUUUAUGUUUUUAGUAUUAAGACGGGCACUUAUAGCAUCCAGCUCAUAGAAAAUUUUAUUAUUUGAAUCAAAGGCAGCAGCAUGAUAUUACGAAUCUCAUUAGCAGGCAACUUACAAUAUGAAAAACAAGGCUAGCUCGGGCCAUCUCUUAUUGAAAUUCUUUUCUGACACUUGUUAGUUAUUGGAAACUUUCUUGAGUUCUAUAAAAGAUGUUGAAGGAGAAGGAAACCCCCGGAAUGUAAGCAUUUCAAUUCUUAAGGCAAAUAAAAACUAAAGAUUACUCCCAAAGUUUUUUAAAGCUCAAAACCACAAAAGCAAACAAUAUAAACAUAUACCAAUGUUGUAGCCCAACACUUACACUCAUUGUCAUUCAUCAAAUAUAACUAAACCUUAUGCCAAAAUAAUUAACAAAUCCCUGUACAACAAAGCUUACUCAAAACUUCAAUAAAAGCAAAAUAAACAUCACCUUUUUUUCAAGCUUGCGAACUUGAUCUCGAGAUUCUCUUAAGGCAUAGCUCUAGUUAAGAGAGAGGGAGAGAGAGAGAGAGAGAUCAUGGAUCAUGAUAAAUUAAGAAAAAUAAAAUAAAUAAAUAACAGAUGCUCUCAAAUUUACAUACUUAAAUGUUAAUAUAUUUUCUCCAUAAACGAAAUAUGAAGGAAAUAGUAUGAAUAACCAAAUGAAAUUAAAACAUGAAGAUGAGUGUUUAAGACAAAAUUAUUAGGAUUCUAAAUGCAAAAAGCAUAUGUAAGUAACAAAAUCAAAACCAGCAAGUUUAUAAGGAGCAAACCGCAGAAUCUUUGACCGAGCCAUCUUCAUCUACAGCAUUCAGUAUCAGUUUAAUCAAUGAUUGAUUUACAACCAUUCCCAUUAUCUACAAUCAAGGUUUAAAUAAGAUGUCACAUUAUAUAACAGACUAGAGCAGUGGUUUAAGGUCAUACCCAGAUACUUAUUUACCACGUUUGUUAGAGGCAUAAAACGUGUAGACCAAUCAACAUCUUCUUUGAUUGCUGUUUUCAAAUUAAAUUGCAACAUAUCAGCAAACUGUAGAAGAGCUGCAAUAGCUAUUGCUUCAUUUCCAUCCAUUGCUAGACUCCUUUGAGCAUGUUCUAUUGCCGAUUUCACCUUUAACAAACAAGACAAAGCACUUUGAAGAAGAAAGGAGUAAUUACAGAAUUGCAAGGUAGCGGAUUCUUCUCCUAUGUCAAUAGAUCUGUACAAAACUUUGUGGAGAUAUAAAUGCCAAAAUAAAAUCAGUAUCUGUUCUUGGAUUUGCUCGAUUGUUAUCUGAAUACAGCUGAUGUGCUUCAGAGGAAGCUUCCUACUUCAUGUCUUUUGCCUCCUAUUUGCUGUUUUUGCCAUGCGGAAGGGGAAUCUCAAUCAUAUAUUUUGUGAAAGUUCUUUCUCAACAGCUUGUUAGUUUGACCGUCAUUUAUUCCUAGUCUUGUUAGAGUUUGUUUCUAUGUUUCUUAUUGAGUUGUAAUGGCUGUGCUUAGCCCCCAAUUGGACUUUAUUUGUUGUUUGAUCAUUUAUUUUGUUGGAUAUGAUGAGGGUGCUAAGGGGUACAACCUAGUUGAGAUGCUCAGGUAUUGUUUGGUUUGUCUUGUUUGCUCAUUGUCUAAUCCUCUUGUACUAGCUUUUGUCUCAUUGUUUAUCAAUAAACGAGGUUGUUUCCUUUUCAAAAAUAAAAAACAGCUUGUUGGUACAAACUACUCAGUAUCUUCAAUUUGCAGUGGAUGUUUUAUCCGACAGCCAAGAGUAUUGGUUUCCAGUUUUAUUGGGCUUGUCUUUACCUUCAAGGCCUCAUUUAUGGAUCAGUGCAGUCAAAUGUUGUUCUUUAAUAGAUCGAUUUGGUUCUUCUCAUCUUAAAAGCUUCAUCAUGGUGAUGUUUUCUUCCCAAAACCUCCAAUGCUUUCUUUUUGCACUAUAUUUGUUUUAUUUUUCUUCUUCUUUGUGUUUUUCUGCACUAUGUUUGUUUGAAUUAAAAUGCCUUCACACGCCUUUAGUACUUUUCCUUUUACUAUAAGAGUUUGCAUCUUUUUAGUAUCAUUUUUUGUUUAAGAGAAUGAAAAUACAAUAACAACAACAACAAGAGAGUGACAUGAGUAACAACUUUUAGUUUUUGUUUUUUCCGGAAACAAUGUGAAAAAACACUAUGAUUUUGAAAAGAAAUAAAAUAUUAUAUUUCUCUUAUAGUUUAUGAAUCAAACACAAGAUCUUCUUAGACAAGGUGAAAAUCAUCCACCAAUAAAGUAAAAAGGAACAUAUAAAUUUAAAAAAUAUAGACAAUGCAAACAAUGCAAAAAAGAAAUAAUAUACAACUCAUGCUUACAAUAUAAAAUGAAAAUCCAACACUGCCCAUGUUGGAGCCUUUUGGGUAGUUAACGGAUUGUAUAGGCUGCUGGUAUUCAUUAUCUUUUGUGUUGAUAUUUUCUUUUUAUAGUUCGCUACCUUCAGUUACGAUUAGUUGUAGUAUAGGUGUGAUCAAGCCCUUCCUCUUUAGGUACAUUUAAAGGGUUAAUUUUCAUAUAACGGAUAUAACAAAAUUGCUAAGUUUUCUAAAGUUGGUUUUCAAGAUGGCUUUAAUAUUCAGCUCAAAUGAUGAAACAAAUUAUGGUUAGACCUUUUCAGGAAGAAGAUAUGCUUUCACCGAAUAACCAACUUUUGCAGUCGGCUUGUAGACCAGUUUGUCAAAUUGUCAUUUUUAAAGACUUAGUCUAUAUAUAGAAAAACCCAAAAGGGCAGGUUAGGAGAUUGAAGGUAAUUCGGUUGCCUUGCCUCUUGAGCACUGCAUUACUGAGGUAGGUGAGCAAAAUUAAUUAAAUUCUUUGGAUGAAUAUUCAGUAAUGGUGUCUUUGUCCUCUUCACUUCCCUUAGUUAAAAAAGACAAAGAGGCACCUACAAGUCAGUACAGCGUUUGACUGUUGAUAUCUCCAGAUUGAACUCUUUAUUGGCCAUCAAAGAAGUUAAAGACAAAAUACUGAUUCAUUGAAACUUCAACAUUUUGUACAAGGAAAAAACGUUCUUACCUUCCCAUCUUCUCAAAUUUCAGAUGAUUUCACAGUGGUAAAAAGGGAAAAUAAGUGAAUGCACUAACCAGAUGAAGGUUGACGCCACUUAAAUCUAAGCUGCAGCCACCAUGCUUGUGCAUUUCUACUGCCGCAUUAGUCUCAUCCAAAAGUCUAAGGCUUUCUUCAUAUGUCCAGUUCGAAGACCAAAGUUGGGCCUGUUCAUUUAACAAUAAAGUGAAUCAAAACUGCUUUAAAUGGAGCAUAAAGAAAUUUACUAUUGUAAUUAUAGAAAAUCAAGCUAAAAUUAUGCAGCUGUAAAUUAGAUAAUUAAUUUAGACUAUUUCUUUGUAUCAUGUAAUUUUUUCGCAUUCCUUAUUAAAUUUAAGUCUUCAACUGCCUCAUUUGUGUUCACACGUGCUUGGUUUGACUCCAUUUCUUCUUCUUCAGGUCGUCGAGACUAGCCAUUAAGAUACGUGCUUUCAAAAAAUCUAGGACAUAAUGUAUUUUUGGUCUUUGAGGUUUGAAGCUGAUGUCUAUUUGGUCUCUGAAGUUUCAAAAUGAACACUUUAGUCCUUGAGGUUUGAGAAAUAAUUCUAAAUGGUCUCUGAAGUCACAUUGAUCGUUAGUUGACUAACGGAAAAAUGAUAUGGGGUUAAAUAUAAUUAAUCAGCAAACUCAUUUGGCAAAAAUGAUUAUAAUAUUGAACUUUUUUUUUAUGAUGUGGCAUCCAACCUCACUCUCUUCUUCCACCUCCCAUCACUGUGUUAAAAAAAAAAUUGUUGUCCCUGUUGUUAAUGAAGAACAAAGAUGAAUUUAACCAUCGUCUUUCUCCAAAUCCCAUCACUAUGUUGCAAAAAAAAAUUCUUGUCCCUGUUGUUGCACCAAUUGUGGUUAGCUCUAUAAAUAUAUUGAAGAAAAAGAAGAAAUUAUGCAGAUAUACAGGGAAAUAACAUAUUCUAGUUUUCUAAAUCAGAAAUAAACUCCUGCAAUUCUAAUUAAGACGAUCGGCAAAUUGCUUGAGAAGCGAGUCCAUGACGAACUUGUAAGCUGCUUCAGUGGGAUGGAUGCUAUCCCAAAACAUGAGUUUUGAUGGGUUUUCACAUAUUGUACUUGUUUCAAUGUUACAUAGAGGUCCUGCUUCUGCCAUCCCAGUACCACAGGGCACAGCAGCCUGCGUUAACGUGUGCAAAACCUGUUCGACAAAAUGCCCCAAUGAUAAAAUUCAGGUAAAGAUGUGAUUUGAUACUUGGUUGUCCUUAAAUGAUUUAUUGGCUUGCUGUAAUUGUGAGGAUCACUGACCAUGUCCAUGAGGGGAGUGUAAAUGUCACCAUAUAGAAUUGUGCUUCCAGGAAGUUGUGGCUUUUCUUCAUUAGUCCUCAAGGUUAAAUUCAUCUUUGUUCUUCAUUAGCAACAACAGGGACAACAACAAAAAUUUGCAGCAUAGUGAUGGGAGGUUGAAGAAAGGGUGAGGAGAGGGAUGCCACAUAAUAAAAAAAGUUCAAUAUUAUAAUCAUUUUUGCCAAAUCAGUUUGGUGAUUAAUUAUAUUUGACUGCCACUUCAUGGUUUCAUUAGUUGUGACUUCAAGAACCAUUUAGAAGUACAACUUCGUGAACUAAAUUGUUCAUUUUAAAACUCGAGACAAGUAGACAUCAACUUAAAACCUUAAGACCAAAAGUUCAUUUUCGCUAAAAAUGAAGUCUAGUUAAGGAAAAUUCCCCAUAGGAUUCCUGAGAAACGGACUCAAGCAGACUAGCCCAUUGAGAAGCAUGCUCUCAAAAACUCUGCGAAGCCUAAUCAAACAGAACUACGCAAAAACUGAACCAGUGCAGGAGUGAGAAAAAAUCACGCACCACCAAGCUUUAGGGAUCGGAACCAAAAAUAAGCUUCAAAUUUACCUCCUCUUCUUACACCCAACACAGAGAAACCACGGCCAGAAAAGGUUCAAGAUCUCCAAUCUACUCUUUCUAAGUUGUUUUAUCAUUUUCUCUCGUAUCUUUUCUUCGUCAAUGAAAAUAAUUUAUUUCCUUUUCCAACAACAUCAAAGAAACAAACAAGCUUAUACCUUGCUCCUAUACUUCUUCCCACAACAAAAUUAAACUCACCACUCAACCUCCAGUUUGAGGGGUUAUAACAGAGCAAUUGCUUGAAUGAAAUUUUGUAGCAGUUGAUAUUUUUAGAUUCGGAUUUUUUUUUUUCAAUCGGUUAGUUAUGAUGGUAUCCAACUUUCAGGAAUUAGUUUGGCCUUGCUAGGUAGUAGGUAACAUGCAUUCAAUCCUAUAAAUCAAAAGGUGAAGCAGUGUUCUUCAUAGGAGAAGUAGAAGCAUGGCCAAGAAAAUGAGAACUUAGCUGCGAUACAGACCUUGAUAGCUUGACGCCCCAGAGAAGUGCGGGCGAAGGAAGCAACUGAAUCGCAAAGUUUAUCCCAUUCUAGCGCUCUGAGACUGUCCAGGCGGAUUGAAUGUUGGGUUGUGUUAUCUCUAAUGUCAUUGCUGACGGAAAUGUUUGCAGAGAGGGAGAAAUGUAGGGACGCAGUUCGAUUCCGGAAUAUAACCGGCACCUGCAGUGGCAGUGUAGAAUAACUGAUCCAGGUCCAGGUGAGGGGAUGCCGGAGAAAACAGAGCAUCGUUUUACCCUUCCUUUCCUUGCACCUACGAGGACGAGAGUGCUAUGUCCUGACAAACUCACCACUCCCGCUAAUACCUACCUAUCUCUACGUUCCAACGCUGAUACCACAUCUACUUUGCAUUCUACUAUUGAUUUUCUACUCCCAAAAAAUAUAUUCUGAUAAAUUGUACCCAUAAUUCAAAAUUUAAAAAAAAAACCAAUCGAAAAUUGAUUUUUCACCUGCUUUCUAAAGUUUAGUUUUUUUUAUUCUACUAUAUUAGGAUGAUGGUACCUUUUUCCCUUCUAAGAAAUCUACGGUAUAUGUAUUAGGGGUGUUCGCAAUUCGAUUUGAUUUGAAGCUAAAAUCGCACCGAAUAGCUUAUUUGUGUCAAAUCAAAUGGAAAUCGAACCGAAGCAAAACCACUUAUGCAUAAAUAAAAUCGAAGCAAAACCAAAUCGUUUAUGCAUAAAUAUUAUAAUUAAAAUCCUUUAUGAACAUUGUACAUAAAUAAAAGUUUUACAAAGUUUCAAACAUGGAUUAAAUUAAUUCCUAUAAUGUUACAAGCAUAUAAGUUUCAAAUAUUGAAGUUUGAAAGUCCAUCAAAACAUUGAAAUUUCAAAGUCCACCUAACAUAAUAUAAUAGUUCUACGGUUAUACAAACUUUCUUUACGUUCUUAUUCUUCUCAUUCCUCUCCUUGAUUUUUUUCUCUAUACCCGCUUGGAAGUCUUAAAAAAGUUUUAUUAUUAACAUAGUAAUGGCAUAAUCAAUAUAUUUGAAUUAUGAAUUAUACAAAUUAAUUAGAAAGAAUGUUCUAUAGAUACGAACCUUUUUCAACUAUUGCAAUCCCCUCCAAGUUUUUUUUUUUAAGAUCAAUAGAUUCAAUAUUAAUUGUUUUUGAACGUAGCCAAUUUUGUCCACAUACAAGUGCCUCAACUGUGGUUGGAGCUAACGUGGAACGAAAUGAAUCAAUCACUCGUACAAACUUCAUCAAGACAACUUCUUUACAUUCUUGUUCUUCUCCUUCUUCUCCUUCUCGUUCAUCUCCUUGACUUUUGCCCCUAUACCCGCUUUGAAGUCUAAAAAAAUCUUAUUAUUAACAUAGUAAUGACAUAAUCAAUAUAUUUAAAUUUUGAAGUAUACAAAUUAAUUAGAAAUAAAGUUCUAUAGAUACGGACCUUCUUCAACCGUUGCAAUGUCCUCAAAGUAUUUUUUUUUUUAAGAUGAAUAGAUUCAAUAUUAAUUGCUUUUAAACGUAGCCAAUUUUGCGCGCAUAUGAGCGCCUCAACUGUGGUUGGAGCUAACAUGGAACGAAAGAAAUCAAUCACUAUGCCACUAGUACUAAAUGAAGACUUAGAAGCAACUAUGGAUAUCAGAAUUGCUAAAAUAUCUCUUGCAAUUCGACUAAAAACCUUAUAUCUUGAAGAAUUUCCUUUCCACCACUCUAAGAUAUCAAAGUUCUCCUCAUGUGCAAUACGAUAGUCCAAUAAGUAAAUAUCAACUUAUGUAUCCACACUUAGGACAUCCUCUUCAUCCAUAUUUUCAAAAUGGAUACGAAAAACGUCUGAAGCAUAAGAAGAAGUUCUAGAUGUAGCGGAAGUAGUUAUAGAUGUACUGAAAGAGUUGCUACUACUAGUAGUAGCACUAUAAACUGAAGGUUGACUCAUAUAUGUACAAUCCUUAAACACUUGAAAUUGAGAUGAUGCAAUCGGGCUUGAAGAUGAUUCAUGGCUAUGAUAGUUUAAAGAAUAUUCACUAAAAAAUCUUCUCAAAACAGAUUUCACCUUAUUCCCCACUUCUUUUGUUGUACCCAUGUCAAAUAAUUGAGUCAAAGAAUACAUAAGAGAUUUUAUCUUGUAACGUGGAUCCAAAACAAAAGCAGUAUAAAAAAAGAAAUUUGUUUUUGCGAUCUUCCCCUAAUACUUAUCGUACUUCUCUUGCAUUUUCAAAGUCAUGUCAUGCAAUAACUUAUUAUCAGGACCACCUACACUUGCAUGUUCUUUUAUGCAAUUCUGGACAAUACUAAUCUCAUGGAAGAUAGUGUUGGAAGUAACAUAAAUAGACCUUGAAAGCCUAAUAGUUACUUCAUAGAAAACAGACAAAAAUUUGAUAAAUAUUCUUGCAAUUUUCCAAUCUCUAGAAUUUGAUAAAUAUUCUUACAAUUAAAUUCAAUAUAUAUAUGCAACAACACCUAACAUGCAUGAAAUCCUCAUCUAACACAAAUGCAUGUUUGAAACAUUUCUUUAGAUAAGCAAUAGUUGUAUCAUUUGAUGAAUCAUUAUCAAUGGUUAAGGUCAAUACCUUAUCAAUACCCCAAUGUUUCAAACAUUUUUCCACCUCUCUUCCUAUUGUUUCCCCUUUAUGAUUUUCAAUAUAAGAGAUAUUAAUUAUUCUCUUAUGAAGUUUCCAACUUCUAUCAACAAAGUGUGAAGUCAAAACCAUAUAAUUAACAUUUUGAAUUUACGUCCAAGUAUCAAACAUAAAUGGAACUCUAUAUUCUUCAUUCACAAAAACAUCUUUCAGCAGUUCUCCCAAGUUAACAUAUCUUUUCCAAAAUAUCUAUAGCAAUUGUAGUUCGAGAAUGAAUAAUAAAACUUGGUUCUACUAACAUCAAAGUUCCUUCAAUAAACUUUCUAAAUAUCUCAUUCUCCAUAAAUCUAAAGGACAACUCGUCGACUAUGAUCAUCAGAGCAAUUUGUCUUCAAGCAUUCUCAAUGGUAAAUAUCUUAUAAUUAUUUUUUUUACUGUCCCCAUCAUUGUCUUUAUUUAGAAAUACUAACUUUGUUUGAGUUAUAUCUACUUUAUUGUCUUUCAAUUGAUAAGGAUUUUUUUAUAGUAAUGGUCAAGAUGUGUCCUCAUAGUUGAAUUUCUAUUCCUUCUUAGAUGGCAUGCAUACACCACAUUACAAUAAUUGAAAUUAUCAUGUGAAUCAUCAUCACUAUAUUCAGAACAUUUAGUAAAAUUAUAUCAUACCAUAGAAGUAUUUUUCCUCUUCUUUCGAGAUGGUUGGAGUUCUGGUGGUGGCACGAUAACCUCAAUAACGACAUCAUUUUCAUUCACACUAGAACAAUUAUUGCUAUUGCUUAUGGUGUUCGAUUUAGUGUCUGUGUUUUCAUUGUUAUUGUCAUCGAUCAAACUUGUUGACAUUCUGCCUACGCCUACAAUAGGGAUAAAAAGGUCUUUAAUUAGUAUGGAAAAAAAUGUCUUUUAUUAGCAUGAAAAAUAUAAACAUCUUACACUUGAGUUAUCUGCACCAAUGAAACAGUCUCCAUUGAAUAGUAUCCACGAUUUGCACCAAUGAAACAUUGAUUAAUGAUAAUGAGUAAACAAUAACUUAUUCCAAACAAAUAGAAAGUCCUUAUAGUCAGAAGUCCCCAUAAAUAGAGGGGUCGAGAAAAAGAUUAAGCAGGCAGCAGAAUGGGGUGAAGCAGAUAAUGUUUCUUCGAAGUGAAGAAGUGUCAAGCUAGAAUAGGCGUAGGCUUUUGAGUAUGAGAUUGAAGGGAUAAAAGCCCUAGGCAGCAUAAUGCUUUACAUAACCAUUUCUCAAUUUAAUUUGGGAAUCUCAAAGUACCAAUACAUGGCAAAAUAAUAUACAAACUAAUUUUUUUUACUAUAACUUAAAGGCUAAGCAUUCUUUCUAACUAUAGAUUAGAGAGAUAACAUACUUAAAACAUAACUAUACUUAACUUCUCAGAACUCUUUUUUGUUUUAUUUUACUAGGUCAUUCUCCACCCAGAGUUAUUUUUGGUUCAUUCACUUAAUAAUAUAUAGUACCUUGAUCUCUUGGUUGACUUGAACUCACCAAAGGACGAUUUUUUGCAAAAUGUCCUGAUUUCUUACAUCAAAAGCAAAUGUCUCCUCCUUUGAGACAUUGUCCAAGAUGAUCUUUGUUGCAUUCUCUACAAAGAGGUUUACUGUUGCUGCUUGCAACCAUCUUCUGGUAACCUCUUCUUGAGUUUUGAGAUCAAAACGAGCUUCCUUUUCUAAGUCCACUCUUAAAAUUAUUUUCUUUCAAUACUCCUAGGCCGAAGCUCUUUUUGUUUUCUUGUUUCACUCCAUCAUAACUCAUUUUUAAUCAAAAUGAGAAUCCAUAACAUCAAACUUCCUUGAUGAUAAACUUUGUUUCACUUGUAAUGCAAUUUCAAUCAAAUGUGAGAAAUCCUCCCACUUUGAUGUUGAUGUUACUGAAGUCUGAAUUUUCUGUCUAAGCCCAUUCUCGAAUUGUCGGCAUCUAUCACUUUCAGAUGCCACAAUUGGUCCAAUUUAACGAUAGAGUUUCAUAAAUUUCCUAUUGUACUCAACUAUUGUUAAUAAAUUUUGCUUUAAUUUUAGAAAUUCAUUCCUUUUUGUUUCACAAUAGAUCUUUGUAUAAUAUUUAUCUUCAAAUAUUCCUCAAAAUACUAUCCAACUCAUAGUAUGUGUAUCUCUUCUUCUAGCUUUAAUUGAAUCCCACCAUCCUUCUGCUUCCUUUUACAGUAGGAAGGUUGCUAACUUAAAUUUCUUCUCUUCGGGGCAAUCCAUCACCUUAAAACACUUUUCUAAUAGAUUCAAUCACACUUCUACGUCAGCCAAAUUUGUGCCUCCUUAAAAAAUCGUUGCACCUAAAGAUUUCAAUCUUUCGAUGUUAUGUUUCUUAUCAGACCUAAUUUGCAUUGUUCCCAUUGACUCCAUAACUUCUUGGAACGUCUGCUGGUAGCUUUAAUCAUCCAUUCCAUCUUGUCUCGUACUUCAUUCAUCUUUAAUCAUCCAUUUAUAGCUUAUGCAUAACACACACACACAUAUAUGUUUAUAGCUUAUGCAUAACACACACACACAUAUGUUUAUAGCUUAUGCAUAACACUUUAAACUUUCAAUCUUAGUUCAGCUAUCAUAUUUUAAUAAACAACAAGUAAGUAACAAACAUACUUUUUAUUUAUUAAUUUCAUAAGCUUUCCUUACAUACAUAAGCACAGAUAAUAUACAAUUGAUUUACAUAAGCGCACAAGAAACAUACACUUUUUACAUCUUUUUACAUUUAUUUCAUUCUCUUUUUCUUUCAGAUAACCUAAUGAAGUUUAUCUUUUCCCUUAAUUGAUGUCGCUACUUGCGUCUAAUAGAUGGAGCUACAGAUAUUACUCUCAUCUCUACUUGUCUAUCCAAACUAAAUGCUAAAGAGUUGUUCUUAUGUUGUUCUAUUUGAUGGUAGUAAUAACAUGAAACUUUAUCGAUAUUACACUUAUCCCUAUGAAACCACUUACACUUAUAACACUGCUUCUUUCUCUUUAAUUAUGAAAUAACUUCUCCUUCUUCAAAACAAGAUCCUACUGACUCUUGUUUGCUUUCUUCCUCCAUCUCUCUCAAUCUCACCUUUCUAUAGUGUUUGAAAAAGUAUUGUCUUCCAAACAUACUUUGGAAUACAUCCCAAUCCUGUUUGGCUUUUUCAGUCAAAUCUUCCUUUAAUGAGAACCACUAUUAUUUUGCAUUGUCAAUAAGCAUAGAUUCUACUAAUGUUACCUUUAUAUCAUCCUCACAACUAAUUAUUUCAAGGCACUCUCUCACCCUAUGCAUCCAUUCCUCAACUUUCGUAGGGUAGAUUGAACAACCCUACUUUUCUACUCCAUAAAGUUCUAGUCAUCCUCUUACAUUAUUGUUUUCCAUGGAUUUGUGAGUAACAAAUAUUUUCUUGUUUUAAUGCUUGAAAUAAUAAUAGAGAAUACUUACAUGGAUUUUUGAAGAGAUUGUGUCUCGAUUGCUGCUUACAUAUGUUGCUUGCAAGACAAGUUUUAUUGAAAAUUCAUUUUAUAAAUUAUUUGUUUUCUAUUUUAUAGGAAAUAACUUUUUAAAACAAAUUUUGACUUUUAGCGCUUUGCUUCCUAGGAACUUUAUUGCUUUGAUACCAAGUUGUCACAUCAUACCACGUCUUGGCCCAAAAUGCAGGUGCCUGGGGUGAGGUGUGACAAUAGGUCAAGAAGGGAACUUGUUAAGGGAGUACUAAAGUGCGGACUUUAACGAUCGAAAGGUGCUCAAUGCUUCUGAAGAGUGGCGAACGUUUGGUCGUUGUUAGAAACCACAAAAAUGCAUUCUCCGCAUAGAAAAUGCGACGAGUUUAAGAACUUUUGGUGCUGGUCCCAUAAAGAGGUCAAUGUCUAUGCCCUAGACUCAGUUUUUAUCUUGGGGUCAGAAGUGGUCAUUACCAAUUUCAUUAACUUGUCUUGGUCUAAAGCCUUUACAACUUCGAGAUUCUUUGAACAAGGACUUCCUUUUACAUUCCUAGCAUGGUUGAUUCCACAUUUACCCAAAGUAUAGGUUGAGAAGCGAGCUCGUUGGGGGAGAACUAAGGUAUAGACCAAAAGGAUCGAAAAGGUGGCCAAUGCUUCCUAAGAGUGGCAAACAUUUGGCUUGUGUCAAAAACUACCGAAAAUGCAUUACCCACAAAGAAAUUGGGAUGAGUUUAAGAACUUCAGUUUCGAUCCUAACAAAAAGAUCAACGACUAUGACCCAGACUCGAUUUUUAUUUUGGGGUCAGUAGAGGUCCUUUAACUAUUUCUUUGUUUUUUCUUGGUCUAAAGCCUUUCCAGCUAUGAGAUUCUAUGACCAAGGACUUCUAUCUACAUUCCUUGCAUGCUCCUUCCACAUUUACCCAAAGUAGAAGUCAGGAAGCAAGCUCGUUGGGGGAGUACUUAAUACGAAUCAAGCAACCAAAAUUUAAUCAAAUGAAAAAGUUGAAGAGAUGCAAUGGUUGGAAGUUGAAGAGUUAUUUUGGCAACCCAAAAUCAUAAUAUUAAAUGUUCAAGGAAUUAUGUAUUUAUGUGUUUUCAAUUAUAAUGGCAGUUGAAAGGACAUGAAAUUAAAUGUCGUUACCUUUCAUUUCAUAUUUUAAUUAGUAUAAAUAGGGUUGUAAUUUCCACAUUUUAAAAAAGAAGAAUUUGGGAUGAAUGGAAUAUGAAAAUUCUAGUAUGUUAAAUUUUAUUCUUGUGUGUUCUUGUGAUAGAAUGCACAAAUAUUUGGAGCAUUCAAGUGAGAUUUGAUCUACCUUACCUGUGGAGUGUUUUGAAGAUCGAGGGUUGAUGGAAGUUUCUAACUUUAUUCGAUCAUUGGUUUCUUAGAUCAUCUAAGCAAUAUGUUUCUAGGCUAUCUUAGGGGUUGAAAUCAAAUUGAUUUUGGAGCUGUUGGGGUUGUAUUCUUUGAGUCUUCUUGUUUAACAUGGUUCUUAGAACCCAUGCUCAGGGGUUUCAUAUCAGUACUAAGGUGCAAACCAAAACAAUCGAAAAGGUGGCAAUGCAAGAAAGUGGCAAACAGUUGACCAAUGUCAGAAACUACUAAAAAUUCAUUUUCCACAAAGAAAAUGAGAUGAGUUUAAGAACUUGUGGUGUUGGCCCCAAAAAAUGCGAACGCCUAUGCCCCAUAUAGUUUUUAUCUUGAGCUCAGAAGUUGUUCUCUAACAGUUUCUUUGUCUAAAGCCUUUCCAGCUACAAAAUUCUAUGAACAAGGACUUUUGUCACCAUUUCUAGCAUGGUCCUUUCCACAUUUACCCAAAGUUAUGUCAGGAAGCAAGCUUGUUAGGGGUGUACUAAGGUGCGGACCAAAAAGAUGGAAAAGGUAGUCAAUGCUUCCAAAUAGUGGCGAAGGUUUCGUCAGUGUCAGAAACAAUCGUAAAUGCAUUCCUCUCACAGAAAAUGGGACGAGUUUAAGAACUUUUGGUUUCGAUCCCAAGAAAAGGUCAACGACUAUGUCUCAGACUCAGUUUUUAUUGUUGGGUCAAUAGUGGUCCUUUAAGUAUUUCUUUGUUUUGUCUUGGUCUAAAGCGUUUUCAGCUAUGAGAAGCAAAUACUUUUUUAAAGUCAAGAAAGACUUGAUUUUCAAUACUUUUUUUUAUCUUGAAUCACUUCCAAUAAAGUUAUUUAAGUUUUUCAAACCUAAAUUUUAUUACUCAAUCAUACAUAGAUACUUUAUCCACAAUUCAUGAAAUGACGAAAAGAUUUGUGAUGAAGAUCAAUUUGAAGAGAGAACGUCUAAUUCACUUAAAUACGAAAUAAUAAUUCUAAAAAUAAAUUUCUUUUAAGAACUCACGAAUGUUUUGCGAGAGCUCAAUAUUUUACUGCUCACGUAAAAGUAAUACGAGUUUUACAAUUUUAGCUAUUUAGGUAUUUUUUUUCUUUACCUCAUUCUCUCCCGCGCGCAAGACCCUCCCCUCCGCCGUUUUUCCUCACACUCACAGAUCCCGCUCGGUGACCCUUCGCCCGUCCGCAGCUCUUCUCUUCGUUCACUCUCCCGUCGUUCGCACUUCGGUAAGUUCUUUUCUCUUUUCUUUCCUUUUUUUACUCUCCAAUUGUAAGAUAAUUGUUUUGAUGGGUUGUUGCUUAACUGCAUCAUUCAAAUUUGCUUUUGAUCUAAAUUUCUUUGCCAUGGUCGGAAGCUUUGAUCGGCUGGAACAGGGUAGUUUUGUUUAGAUGAGUAUCAUCCUUACUGGUUCUUUCAAGCUAUGGCCAACCUGGUGACCUUUUUGGUUCUUACUUUUGCAUACUAAGCUUUUCUUUUCAUCAAAUGUUUUUUCUAAACUUUAACUGGCGAUGGAAGAUUAUCAGGACUUUGUUUUUGGUUGGCCAUUUGACCAUUGGUGUGUGGCAGGCAAGAAAAACUGGUUGGCUGAGCAACAAUGCUUACACAUAUUUUUAGAGCAUUUUUUUUACAUUUAGUAUGCUUAUGUACCUAUAGUAUAGGGAUAUAUAUAUGAGAAUUUGAGCAAAGUUGUUUUAAAUAAUAAAUUUUGAACAAUUUUUUUUCUUUAAUUUUUCCGAAAGUUCCUCUCUUUGUGCUUAAACCUAUUUCACGUUAAACCCCCGCCCUCCCAUUACAUGCUACUCCCCCCUGCCGCACGAAUUUCCUAUCCAGAUAGUUUCUGAAUGUUUGAAUUUAUAGCAGCUUCAAGUUUAGAAGGGUUUAGGGUUUUCAAUCGCUGGACCAAGAUGAAGCAAGUAGUGGGGAUGGUGGUCUCAAACAAAAUGCAGAAAUCAGUUGUCGUUGCAGUGGACAGAUUGUUUUAUCACAAGCUCUAUAAUCGCUACGUUAAACGCACUUCCAAGUUCAUGGCUCAUGAUGAGAACAAUCAAUGCAAUAUUGGUGAUAGGGUGAGAAUUUAAUUCCAUCUUUACUUCCCCAAUUAAUUUGUUUUUCUUUAUUUCAAUUCACUUGAUCAAGUUGUGGACUCGAUGUAUAGUUUCAGUUAAAACAUCGUGCAAAUUUGUUCGACAUCACGGUAGUACUGGAUGAAAUGGAUAGCAUAUAGCAUGUUGUGGUGGUCGUUCUUUAUGUUUGAAGAGUUUAUUUGUUAAAUUACAUAUGCAUUAUGUUAAUUUAUAUAAUUCUUGUUUCAUUUUCAUUUCUCUUGAACAUGUGCUUGGGGUUUGUUAGUAUUUAACGUUUCUUGUUAAUUCACUGUUGAAACAAAUUGAAUUUUAUAACCUCAGGUUAAAUUAGAUCCUUCGAGGCCAUUGAGCAAGCAUAAACAUUGGGUGGUUGCUGAAAUUUUGAGGAAAGCAAGAAUUUACGAGCCACCAUCACAAGAUAAACAGUCUGUUUCAGACAAAAGCAAUGUUUCAGCUCCUUCAACCACUUAAGGUUUGAUUGAUACACUUGUUAUUUUCUUUUUAGAAAGCCAAACUUGUAUCUUAUUGAGUUCUGGAUCGUCCUGGGCGAUCAUAAUCACUUGAAUCUCUGAUGACUAUUUGCGGCAAUUCUUUGUUUCCAUUUAGAGUAUAUUGCAGUUGCACGUGAUUGUUAUUUAUUAGAAACUUUACUAGAAUACAUCUUUUUAUUGUUAUGUGAACAAUAUGUAUUACCAUCUUUCUUGAUGGCAUUGUAGGUUCAUGAGCAGUUCUUUUUUUUUUUUCUCGAUAUAAUCAAACAGCUUUCACUGAGAUAAAAAUGAAAGAAUACAAGGACAUACAAAAAAACCAGCCCACCAAGCCACCUAAGUAAAAUACUGUCUAUGGAGUAGUUACAAAAGUUCUUCGAAAUCGUAACCAAAAAAGACAUGAAAUCUAAUAAAGGACCAAAUUUCACUAAGAUCCCCCUCUCUCUCUUGGAACACCCCAUCAUUCCUCUUGCCCCAAAUGUCCCAAAUAACCGCGUACACGCUGACAAGUCAUAAAAAACCCCCUUUAUCUCUGAAAGGCGGAUGGAGGAGGAACUCCUCGAUCGUCGCUUUGAUGGUACGUAAACCAGCAAAGCUAACGCUGAACUCCAGAAGGAAGGAGCUCCACACGGCCCUCGCAAACUGGCAAUCCCAAGAAAGAUGAUCAAGAUCUUUCUCCGCCUUUUGACACAACAUGCAGCAAAAAGGUGCGACAAGGGAAGAUCUUCUCCUAACAAGCCUAUCAACAGUAUUAACCAAUAGACACAUAUAAUGUCUUUGUGGGCAACUAAGAUGCCCUUCCCAUUUGAAUCUCUUUGUUUGAAAUUUGAUGAUAACGUUGUCUUAUUUUUGCUGUAUGUUAAUGACUUGGUGCUUGUAGUGAACCAUGAAACACAUCUUGCCUUUUGAAAAUGCAGUUCAGAAAGUUUUGCUAGCUUAGAGCCUAGUAUUUUCUUUGCUUUAUUUUUCCUAUUAGGAGUUUAUUUCAUUUUCCUUUAAAUGUUUCUUCUAUCUUUUUGUUAUGAGGAGUUUGCAUCUUACCCAAAAAAGGGACAUAACGAUAGUAGUUCAUGGGGGUUCUUUCAUAAUGAUUGAUUUUAUGUUCAUUCUGCCCUCCAAUUGUUUGCAAACGCAUUGCAUUCAUUCACCCCCUUUUAUCUAUAUAAUUCAGUGUUUUGAUGAGCUAGUUGGCUGUCUUUAAAUACUCAUGGGUGAUUGUUCAAGAUUUUUAUUUGAAGUUUGAUUAAUAGGAUACUUGGUCUCCAGAAAGUCCUAUCUUGUUCCUAGCGAUUGUGGUUGGAUUGAGAUUAAAAACAUGUUUUCACGUAUCAUUUUAGAAUUACUAACCUUAAAAACCAGCAUGGAUUGGCUAAUGGCCAACAAGGGUGAAAGUAUAUACCUAAGAUUCGAAAUCAUACAAGUGUUUGCUCGGCAACCGAAUGCAGUAUGGUCAAAUGGUUCUAAGAGGAAACCUUCAACAUCACCGAGGAUUCUUUGGAGGUUUUAAGGGUGUGAUCGUAUCAGUGCUGGGUCUUGUGAAAAAAAUCAAAGUUAAAAAAGAAAAUAUAGUGGUUCUCUUACAGUGAAAAUAGGGUUUUCAAGGGUGCUGGUCCAAUAACAAUGUCCUUGGUUCCUAAGAGAGCUACAUGGUUAUUAUGGAGCCAUUUCAGUGGAUUUUUGUUGACAGAAGCUCCAUAUUGUUCAUUGAGUUCAAUACGCUAUGGGAACCUUUCAUUUUCAUUUACAAUGCAGAGAAGAAAGUUUCUCUGUUGUCCAAAGUUCCCUGAAAAAAUAAGAAAUGGAAAAUGGUUGAUUCAUGAAGUCAAAUCAAUAGACUUCUCAACUUUUGACCGUGUUUCUUUGAGGGGAAGAUGCAAGCAUCUGUAGCACCUUGAUUUCUUGGAAGUUGGAGGGUGCAAAGCAAACAUUUUCUCAAAGGAGGCUUUUAAGGUACUGUUGAAGAUUUUUUCAAAUCAUGGGACAUCUACUCAACAUAUAAAUAGUGACCAAUUUUGCCUCUAAUUAGUCUCCCUUUUGUACAUAGUGGUGUGAUUAAAUGGGAAAAAAGGGCCUUUAAUAAGACGGUAUUGCCCAUCAACUACCUCCAGGUAAAAGGUUCAAUUAGCUCCAUCUUUCAAGCCCAUUUGGUCUCUAUCUGGACUGGAGAAGGUUUUGUACCCUUUCAACUGCAAGAUCAUGUGGAUGAUUCCUAAUGCCUGUCUGUGUAGAAAUAGCCAUCAAUUAGUUGAGGCAUUAUAAUCUUAACCAACGGGUGUAGCCUGAUAAGUUCGAAUUCCACCUAUAUAUUAUUGAAUAUUUUCUUUUUUCUUUGUUUUAGUACGAAAGGGGUGGAGGUACGUGGGUUGGAACUUACCUUGAGAGGAGUGCAUAUUUAAUUAUGUGGUUUGCUUUAGUGAUUUUCAUGCUAGCUACCCUUUUGGGAGUUUGGUGGGAGAAUCUUCAAAGAUGAGUGAUCGGGAUUUAGGUGAAAUGAAUAAGGAAGAAAAUCUUUAAAGAUGAGUGAUUGAUGGAUGGUUUUAUAUUUCAUUAUUGUUUGUCUCUUCUUGUGCCUCGCCAGUUUUUUCAGUAACUGUUUUUUUUAUGGUUCAACCUAAUGGGUCAUGCAUGUAUAUAAUUUUUGUCAACUCAGAUAAGUUGACGCCCUCUCCCUUCUAUUAAUUUCUUUCAUCAAUGUAAAAAACUGCAAAUCUGUCUCGCAUUUAUGUAAAAACAUUUUCAAUAAUAUAUCUGUUUGCCUAACCAUUUAACAGAAAACUACUGCAAACCACUACAAGACCAAAUUGGAUCUCUCAUUGCAUUGGCAAACUGAAGAACGAAAACUCUGGAGAAUGAACUACUUUCUGUAAGCGGUAUGUUUCUCAUAUCAAAGAUUUGUAGUUACAUUACCAUUUCGUUUUGGACUGUUGUGUGAACCUUCUUUUUCAUAUGAGGCAUUUCAUCUCCACAAGUUGUGAUGUUAAAAGUGCAUAAUAAACUUAUUAAAAAAGGUUCUAUCCAUCAGUUCAUAUGUCUGGGAUGAACUCAGAAGUCAGAAGAGAUCCAACUUUAUUCUAUAUUCAAUCUUCUUACUAUUCUUUUAUUGAUUCUGUUUUUCAUGUUUUAAUGAUACUUGAGUAGUUUUUAUCAUAAAAAUGAUAUCAUUAUUGAAUUUUUAAGGUUCAUCUUAUGUCUAAUUAGGUUUAGUUUGGAGAAACUGAAUUAGGAGUUAUUGAAGAUUUUGAUUAGGUUUGCAAUGGUAGGUUAGUUUGUAGUCAAGGUUGAUUUCACUAAUGUAAAGCAAAAUUUAUUGAAAUUAUUAAGCAUGAAAUUACUUUUGGAAAGGGAAACAAAUGAGUGAAAUUAAAUUCACAGCUAAACUAAUUCAAAUACCACAGAUUCUGCAUCUAAUAUUUUAAAGUUCAUAUAUAUUUUUUAACUGACAUUACUAUAAGUUUUAGGGUAUUUAUUAAUAAAUCUCUUUAAAAUCUUAGGACAUUUUGACUGACUUUUUCUGUCAAUAAUACUAAUAAUUAGGUUUUUUGAAGAAUUAUUAUGGAUUGCAAAGAACUUGAGAAAAAAAAAACUCAAAAGGACUAUGUGAGAUGAAUGAAUUAUGCUAUAUUUUGUAAAUAGUGUCUAUAUUUUUCUAUUUUUAUAAUGUUUCUAAAGGAUUAAGGCUAAAGAAACUUUUGGAAUUCAAAAUAUAUUUGGGAUAGUUGCAAUUCACCAAUUAGAUUCCAAAUAAUGAAAUAUAUUUUAAUAUUUUAAAAAAUUUAUAAAUAUAGUAAAAUUUAUCAAAUUCUAUCAACGAAGUGUACACCAACUUAAGCAAAGUGUACACCAAAUUAAGCAGUGUGAUUUCUGUUUUAUAAUUAAUUAAGCAGUCUUGUACUGUUUUAUAAAAUUAAGCAGUCUUGUACUGUUUUAUAAAAUUAAGCAGUCUUGUAGGUAAUUUUCAAACUACGUGGUUUUAUUUAAGUUUAGAAACUAAACUCCAGCUUUAAACAGCUUUCUUUAAACUAUUGGUCCUAAUUUUGUGGUUUAAUCUAAUUUUAAAUUAAAAUUAUUACAAAUAUAUAUUUGGUGAAAGUACAUGCAAAAAUAUAACCAAUUUUAAAAUCUAUCAUUACAAAGAGAAGUCUAUGAUAUCUAUAUAAAAUUUAAAAUUGGCUAUAUUUUGGUUCAAUUUGUUGACAAUGUCUUGAUUUUUAAUUGUAAUUUAUAUUUAUAAAUAAAUUAAUAAUAGUUUAUUUUUUACUAAAUCUUAGUAAAUAAGUAAGACUAGUUUUAGGGUGUGUUUGGUUGAGAUUCUAAAGUGUUUAAUUUUGUAAAAAAAAAAUUAUUUUUUAGAAAACGGUAGUGUUUGACAAAUUAAAAUAAUGUAUUUUUAAAAAAUUCAUUUAUAAAAUAAUCUAUUUUGGAGAAAUCUUUAAAAAUUAAAUUCAUAUCUAAACCUUUAUAAAAAAGUCUAACCAAACAUUACGUGUUUCUAAACUCAUUUCCAAAAAAGUGUUUCGGAAGAAAAUGUAUUAUUGAAAAACAUUUUUUUUAAUUACCAUUUUUUUACUUGAUAUAUCAAAUUAAACCCAAUCAUUCUUCUUUUUAUUUGUUCUAAAUGUUUUCCCAAAAAAAAAAAUCUAAACAGAAACAAAAACUAAACUAAAUAUUAUAUACCAAAAUAUUUUAGAAAUACUUCCAACUUUCAUUCACUUUAACACGGUAGAAAUAAGAAAGUAUGUUUGGAUUAUACACUAACAUAGAAAAUAAAUCAAGGUAGAUCUAUCAUUUUUUCAUAUAAAAACAUGUAAUAAAAUAAAAUAAAUAGAUCUAAGUUAAACUUAGUUAAUUAGGACGAAAAGGAAAAUGAGAAAAAUCAAGGGACGAUCAUCCACAGUGUCUUGAAAAAAAUUGGGGGUGGCAGAGGUGGGGUGGAGGGCGACAACCAUCCACACUUUGUCAAGAAAAAUGAGGGGCAUCGACUGUUCGUUUGCGAGCAAGAAAAAGUUAGGGUUGAAUAGUUCGCGUGGGGAAGUGAGGAAAAUGGUGACGGGGAAUGGAAGAGGUGGGCGACUGUGUGGGAGUGAGAAGGAUGAAGAACAUGGUGAGGUGGAAGGGAAGGGGUGGGCAACUGUGUGGGAGGAAGAAAAGAGAGCAAUAAAACAUGAAGAAGGGGGAGGGAAAGGGCAGCAACGUGGAGAAAGAAGAAGAAGAAGAUUUGGGGAAACAUCGUGAACUAGGGCAUUUUUUGUUUUAAACGAACUGCCAAUGGUUAUUUUAAAUCCAUCGGCAUUUAUUCACUUAAGCCGACGGUAAUAAUGCACUGUCGGCAUAUGUCUACAUAUGCGACAUAACAAAAAUAUGUCGUCGGCAAAACCUAUCUAUGUCAACGCUAUAAAUUGGAUUGUCGGUGAUUCAACUUAUUGCCGACGAUAAAAUAAUCUGUUGGCGUAUACCACUUCUACCAAUGAAAUUUAGGGGCGUUGGCAUGCGUUUCGUCGGCAAAGGCAAAAUUUCUUGUAGUGUAGCUCAAGUUCACAUUAAUUUGCAAUGACUUAAAAUCAACUAUAUGUGUUGCAUCUGUUACAUACUUUCUCAGCAUAAAGACAUGGAAUACAUCAUGAGUAGUAGAAAAUGACAGAGAAAAUGUCAAAGGGUAAACUACUGGACCAAUCUGCUCAAGAAUCUCAAAUGGCCCUAUAAAACAUGAACUUACCUUUUCCUUCUUCUCAAAUCUCACAACACCUUUCGUAAGUGCUACUUUCAGAAAAACCAUGUCUCCUAUAUCAAACUCGAGAUCCCAAAUAGUAAUGCAAUCCUCAAUUGGGUAUCUAGUAGAAAAAUCCUUACUUUAGGUUAUGCUAAGUUUCUUGCUACAAAUGAAACCACAAUAUCACCUAUUUUUGUAAAAAGAAAUCUCAUGGAUCAUGGUGAGAGUGGCCAAAGCUGAGAGGUGAGAGCUCUCAAAAUUGAUCAUGAACUCAGUUUCUUUUACCUUAAAAGACUCUAAAAUGAAAAUAAAUUAUAUGUAAGCCUCGUCCAACAUAUUAUAUACUAGCAUUCCUGCAGUACUAUCCAUUUUGUGUGCUUCUUCCUUGAGUGCCCAUGUGACAGGCCCUUUAGGGGUAUUUGCCUCUUUUCAUUCUCGUUGAAGCCUCAGUCGCUCCAUUGUACCCAUAUGAUAUAAUAGCUCCAACUUAACCUUGACCCAUCCACAAUUCUCAAUAAUUAUACACAUUUUAAUUGAUUAAUAAUUCUAGACGAAUGAGAUUAUAGGCACUGAGAUAGCUAAUUAAGGGGCUUAUUGCCUUUUGGACCACAACAAUAUGAAUAGAAUAAAGGAAAAUAUUUAAAAAUAGUAGAUUUUACAAAAUAUUUACAAUCUAUAAUAAAUUCUAUUGUGAUAGAAGACAAAAUUUUGCUAUAGUUUAUAAAUAUUUUAAUUUAUUUUGCUAAUUUUAAAAAUGCCCCACAAUAAAAUAUCAAACUGAUUAUAUGUUAAUCGAAAACAAUGACACUUAAUAUUGAGACUCAAACUAGCAAAGUGAUUAUAUGUUAACUAGGGGGUGUUUGGAGAGGGAAAGGAAAGGAAAGGAAGGGAAAAGAUUAUGCAGUCAUUUCUAUGUUUAGGGCAAGGAUUAAGUGGGAAAAAGAAAUAAGUUUAUUCUUUCCAAAAUCCUUCUUUUUCUUUCUCUCGUCAAUCCUUCUUUUUCUUCAAUAAAUAUAAUCGCAUCAAACUUUUCUCUUUUUUCGUAACAAUUAUAUAUAUCGACAUAUACAUAUAAUUAUCAAAUUUCUAACAAAGUUUCACUCUUUAAUUUAAUUAAAUAAACACCCAAAAAUAUUUAAUUAAAUUCAAAUUCAAGAACACUAAAAUUUGAAAUCUAAUGAUUAAUUAAGUAUUCAAACCUACAAAUAUUUAAUUAAUUUUAAUUUUACAAAACCAUAAAUAUUCCAUUCAAUCAUUUAUCCAUUUUUACUUUGGUUUCUAUUGCUUUAUUAUUAUUAUUAUUAUAUUAUUAUUAUUAUUAUUAUUAUUAUUAUUAUUAUUAUUAUUUGCAUUAUUCUGAUGUACGACAUAAUUGACAUCACCAUUUAAUUGCAUUCCAAAAAAAAAAAAAAUGUAUUUCAUUUUGUUUCAAUGCUAUUAUGUUCCUUCUCGUUCGUUUAAAUCGGUUGUUAGCGAUAUGCAAUUUUUCAAUAUUGCACUUACAAUAUCAAUUUUAAAAAAUAGAUAUAAUUUCUUUCAUACGUAACACAUCAAUUAAUUUAUUGGCACAGACAGUUUACGUAUAAAACGUUUAAAAUUGACAUCAUAUUUAUGAAAACUAAUGGAACAUGUUUUCCAAUAAAAAAAUCUAAAUUUUGAUAAAUUAAAAUACGAAUAUUUGUGUAUUGGAUUUACUAUAAAUUUUUUAUAAAAAAAAAUUCAAGAGUACGAAUUAAAAAAAGAAACUUUUUUUUUUGUCAUAGUUCUUCCCCAUCCUUCCCAAUUUAUUUUUCAAAACCUUUCAAAAUGCAACCAAAGAAAAAACAUAUUUUAUAAUGUAUUGGAUUUAUAGAUCAAAUUAAAUUAAAAAUUAAAGACAAAUGAAAAAAAAUAAUAAUACAAUUUUUUUGUGAAUUGAAUUUACGAUACAAAUUUUAAAAGCAUAUUUUACACAAAGCAAAAAAAUUAAUACAAUUUGUUUUGUGUAUUGGAUUUAAUGUAAAAAAUUAAGAAAAAAAACUACUGUACAGAUGAACAAAAAAAAUCACUUUUAUAAUUGGGUUGGGUGUACGUUACAAAUAAAAAAAUAUUUAUACAAAAUCAACCAAAGAAAAGGUUAAUACAAAUUUUUGUUGUUGUAUUUGGGUUACAGUAGAACUUAACUAAAAAAUGAAUUUGAAUACAAUUUUCUAUUGUUAAGGCUUUAAACAAAAGUUUACACAAAUGCAAAAAAUAUUAGCACAUUUUUCAUUUUGUGUUGGGUUCACGAAAUAAACAAGAAUUUCAUACCCAUGAAAAAAAAUAAUUUAGUUUUUUUUUCUUAUAUUGGGUUGACGUAAUUUUUUUUUACACAAAUGAAAAAAAUGCAAUUUUUUUUAUCAUAAUCUUUUUUCCAAAUAAGGAUUAUAAAUAAUCUCUCAUAAUCUUCCCAUUUAUUCUUUUCUCCAAGGAUUAUAAAUAAUUCUCUAUAAUCCUCUCACUUAAUCAUUUUUCCAAAUAAGGAUUAUAAAUAAUCAUUUUCUUUUCAUAAUCCCCUUUUUCCUUAUUACUUCUCCCCAUUUCCCUUUCCUUCCCCCAAACACCACCUAAGGAUUAGAUAUGAAAACAAUCAAAACUUGAAAGAAUAUCAAAACCUUUGUAUAUUCAAACCAUAGUCAAGACACGUUUCUGAUAAGCGUUAUCUUCAAGACAAUUAUCUACAUGGGCUUGCAAACAGAUUACAUCGAUCAUCUCAAUAGGAUACAAUGACUAACCUCUGAUAGAAUUGUACCCACAAACUACUCGAUGUUGACUAAACUCUUGGAUACUAAGAAAGAAAGGAGUGAGAAAACUCUUCAAUUUGAAAUGAGAUGAAACAAAGGAAGAACAAAGUUGCUAUUCGUACCAUAACUCCAAAAUAGAAAAAAAAAAUUGAUACAAAUAAAUACAAAAAUCAAACAUAAAUACAUGUUAUUUGAAAGUUCUUAGACAAUGAAUUUAAUCUACCCAACUAAACCUAUAUACUCAAGAUUAGUUGAAUAAGUUUAAGAACUCAAAUUUUAUGAUAGAAAAACGUUCGGUAUAUAAUUGAAAAAUUGCUCGAAAUAUGUUAAAGUUUGCAAUUCCUCCAUCGGACCAUCACAAUAUCAAGUAAAAUUUACCUUAUUUACAAAUAAUAUCUUAGGACAAAUUCCCACUUACAAUUGCCUCCUAAUCUUAAGAUAAUUGUGAGGAAAAUAAAGAGAGUAAUUUUGGCCAUGCAAAACUACCUGACUCAAAGGACCAGAACUUGACAGAAUGACCUCAUCAGUAAUGUUGGCAAACUUUUUUCAAGAACAUUAGUUUCAUCAUUUAUUUAAUUAAUAAUUCAAGUCCAAGUUAGUAAAAAUGAAAACUAAUUCAGGAGUUUUAGUAAAUAGUAACAAUAAUAAAACUGUCACACAAAAACAAAGACAGUAAAAUAAGCCCGUUUUCCCUUCAAAACAAGGAUUAACAAGUAAAUUUACAUGAAUUACACUGUUGGCUUUUCAUUUAAGUAAAGCUGCCAGAGCAGAUUGUAAAGAACAUUAAACAAAGAAGCUGAACCCAGUGCUCUAGAAGAAUCAUCAGCCAAAAGAAUGGCAUGUUACAUAAUCCUUCAACUUGUUAGUGCCUUCCUCAGGCAAUGGUCAUUUGUGAGCAUUACAAAACUGUUGCUUAACUUGGUCCCUUGUUAUCUAUCUAUCUGUCUCCACCAUCAAGUUCCUCUUGAUCAUUCAGUAGAAUUGCUUCUUUACUAUUCAUUUCUCCGCUCCCCUCUACUCGGUUUUCACUCUUGUACCCAAAAAAUGAUUCUGAUGUUGACUCAUCUUCAUCAUCCUCUUCUUCAGUUUGCUUAUCUUUUGAUCGGAAGCCCAACUCACUUUGCAUCCAAGUGGGACAAUGGUGCACAACUCCUAGACCACCAACCUGAGCUUGCGAUUGGUCUGAGACCUGUCUUGAGCAAGCACAUUCAGGAACAGGAUGAGAUAGAAAAGAUAUUGAUUUAGAUAAUGUUGACGCUUCUAUCAGUCCAUCAACUAAUGACUUCCUUAGAUGUUGACGAAUCGAUCUCAGCCAUGUAUAGUUUGCUUGAUAUAGGUGUUCUCUGGUUUCUGCUAGGAGAGUUACCAUUUGUUUUCUGCACGGACAACAGCAUUGUAAGCAAAUGGUGUUUGAUCAUUAACCAUUGAUGAUACGUCAAUAUAGAAAAACCAAUACCUAUCAGGUCGGUAUGUUUUAAGUGAAGCUGACUGAUAAAGCCUGUGGCCCAUCACCAAGCUUGCAAAAUUUGGAUGCCCCUUGCCAUCACGAUCGAACCCAGGAAUAAAAACAUCAGCUUCAACCGAUAUAAAGUAGUCUAUAGCUUCCCAAAGCAAUUUAUGGGCAUUGGUCCUCAACUCCAUCACAGUACUUUCGGGCUCAAUGUCACUCUCAGCCACCCAACCCCACCAACCUUCAAUGUUGUGUGGAUAUUUUGGCCUUGCUGGUGGAGGUGGCAACGGGCGAGGACGUGGACCAUCAGUAUUCCACGCAUCAGGUUUCGACUCCUUCAAAAUGGAAGGAGGCGACCUUGGAUAGUUUCCACCGACAUUAAUCUCACGACCAUAAAGCCUAUUAAGUUCCCAUGGGGUGCUAAGGGAAGUCCUGUCAACAACAUUCUCAAAAGUAGCAUGGAGAGGAAUCAAGGUUCUUUGUCCACCGAAAACUUCCCCACCUGACACGUAUAUAAUGGUGUCCCAUGAAUAUCCACGGGCCCGGAGAAGAAUUCCUACCUGUAAAAGGUUCACAAGCAUCAUAUUCUCCACUUUCAUAAUUUCAUCUAACCAUUGGAUCCAAACUAUAUCACCUCCAUGUUAUUUCUCAGCUUACCUCUUCUGGCGUUAGAGGACAAGAACCAUUUAGCCGUUGAUCCUCAGAAUUCACUGAAAGCUUCCCCUUGACAAACCCCCGUCUACGCAUCCACAAUCUUUUGUGCUGAAUGAGCUCAUUAUGUACAUCCUGAAUGACAUUUCAAAUAAAAAACAUAUCAAACGUCAAGAAUAAAUCACCAAACAUAUGAAUUACAUAAUCAAGGUUAAAAUAUGUACCUGAAACAAUUCAGCACAACCGUAAUAAGCUAAGGCCUCUCUUGUCAUCCCAGGAUAGUAAGCUAUGAAUGGCCUACCCGGAGCUCUUAACCUAAAAAAAAAAACUGUAAGAAGAACAGUUUCAAGAACCUUUCAAAACAUUUCAAAUAUUUACCUAUGCAGAAUUUUGGUGGCAAGAUCCUGAACUUCCACUCUGAAUUGAAGAGCAUGGAAGGCAACUCUACACCUCAAUCUCUGAUACUCUUCAAGAUCGGGCGAAAGGAUAGCCUAGAUUAUCAUUUAAGUGUACAAUCUAUUAGAUUUUGAAGAUAUUCUUUUUCUCUUUUAAUGGAAUACCAACCUUCCAUGAAGGCAAAUGAAAGAAUAUUGUGAAAAAGGUCCUCGAGAGAGAUUCUUAAGAUAUUACAAUGUCCGAAAACAAUUUUGGAAAUAACUACUUUCAAAAUAGUGACACAAAUAUCCCCCCAGUUUGCUGCUAACCCAUACUUCUAACCCUCUUCCAAACACAAACUAAUGUUAUAACUUCAACAAGAUCAUAUAAAACAUAUUUUGACAAGCAUAACAUGAACUACACUUUGAAUUCAUUAACUACUUUCAAAAUAGUGGCACAAAUAUCCCCCAGUUUGCUGCUAACCCAUACUUCUAACCCUCUUCCAAACACAAACUAAUGUUAUAACUUCAACAAGAUCAUAUAAAACAUAUUUUGACAAGCAUAACAUGAACUACACUUUGAAUUCAUUAACUACUUUCAAAAUAGUGGCACAAAUAUCCCCCCAGUUUGCUGCUAACCCAUACUUCUAACCCUCUUCCAAACACAAACUAAUGUUAUAACUUCAACAAGAUCAUAUAAAACAUAUUUUGACAAGCAUAACAUGAACUACACUUUGAAUUCAUUAACUACUUUCAAAAUAGUGGCACAAAUAUCCCCCAGUUUGCUGCUAACCCAUACUUCUAACCCUCUUCCAAACACAAACUAAUGUUAUAACUUCAACAAGAUCAUAUAAAACAUAUUUUGACAAGCAUAACAUGAACUACACUUUGAAUCCAUUAACACCAGUCAUACAAGUUAGCAUUUCUGGUGAAGAUAGUUCCAAAUAUAAAGGAAUUCAAAAGUGUUCCUUACCUGCAAACAACCGCCAUCGGAGACAACAAGUUCAACCACCGAGUGCUUCUUUAAAACAGGAAGCACAUUGUGCCGAUAAAAAUAUGGAGAUGCUAAGUAAGGUGCUUUAAAACGUGGGAUCUCUUUUUUCCUUCGAGCACCUUUCAGAUUUCUUGGAAGUGUCUUAACAACUUUAAUGUCUCUAGUCAACGCUGCAAUGAACUGGUCUUCAUUAUAAAGGUAAGAAAAACUCUUGAACUGGGAGCUGCACGAAGAUAAUUAGACAACUCGGUUAAUAAACAUACUUUUUUGAACCAUGGAAAAAGGUAGUAUGUUAAUUUGAAACAGUUCAAACCUGAUUCCUUUGCUGCUUGUGGUUGAUUGAAUCUCAGGAACUACUAAGGUAGCAUUAAGGAGCCGAGCAAUGACAACAACAUCACAUAUCUAGAAGACCAAGCAUUUGCAAUUCCUUCAAUUUGCUACCAUAACCUGAUAUUAAUAUCAUAAAAGAGAUUAAACCAUUGCAUCCUUACCGAAUUCCUGAUCUCAUGGAAUCCGCCCUGUAUCCUGACAAAGAUGAAUCCAUUUGAUUGUAAUGAGGGAUCUGCCGAUGUGAUUAGUUCAGGAAUGCAUCAUUUUAAACACAUCAUAAAAAAUUCUUACCAGGUAAAAGAGAUGAAGAUUAGGUACUAGUUUAUUAUCAGCGCCAUGGAAUUCAACGGGCACAAAUAUAUAUAUCAAGAAGAUAUUAUCUAUAUAUAUCUGUCUGUCUGUCUAUCUAUCUAUCUAUCUAUAUACACACACAUAUUUAUUUAUUUAUUUAUUUAUUAUUAUUAUUAUUAUUAUUAUUAUUAUUAUUAUUAUUAUUAUUAUUAUUAUUAUUAUUAUUAUUAUUAUCAUCACUAUUAUUAAUAUUUUGCUUGGUGCAGGUGGAAAACCAAAAUUAAGAUUCAGAUAUGAGAGAAGCAAUAUGACUCUAGCUAUAAUACCUUUUUUCAGAAAACAAAAAAGAACGAACUGUAAGCUCUUAACUCCUCAAGACUGUGGUCCGAUAGAAAAUAAGAGGGAGGAAUCCAAUACUGACCUACUACGUGUAGCUUCAAGCAUUCAUUCGUGAAGAUUAUAUAUGUAUCAGGAAAAUGAACAAGAAAUACCUCACAUCAACUUUUACCUAAUGACUAAAAUAAUUAUUUACACAAACAAAACAUUUAAAAGUUCAAAGACCAAAAUGAAAUAAGCAUGAAAGUUCAAGAUGCAGAGUAGGAAUCAAACCAAAUUCAAGCUCUCUAUAAGAGGAAAAUCUGCUACACCAUUAAGUUGCAACAAAUAAAUGAAGCUGCAGAAGAGGCAAUACCAGGAUAGUGUUGUCUGGGAUUUGCAUCAGGAUGCAAAGUCUCCAGCCGCCGAACUGGGCCCCAAAGCCGUCUAAACAAAGGACUCUGAACAAUAAAUUAGGAGAAAAAACACAAACAGCAGCAAAUGUAAGAUUUUGGAAACACAGAAGCAUGAAAAUUUUAGCAAAAAUCUAACUAAACAACAAGAUACCCAUUUCGAAGGAAGACAAAAAGCCUCGUGUUACUACAUAAAUCACCAAAACAGAGGAACCCUAGAAGUGAGAUUUGAGGUUAUUUUAAAUUCAUAGAAGAAACCCAUAUCCCCAAAAACAAAAAAAAAAAAAAAAAAAACAAGUUAAGAUCUCUGGAAAAAAAAACAUGAGAGGGAGAGAGAUGAGAUCUUACAGUUGGGGAAAAGUCUGCAUGUUCAAAAACAGGUCUCCAAGAGAAGAUUGUAAUAGAGGAUUGGAACUCAGAAAUGCUGUCCUGAGUAAAUCUAGCAAGAAAGAAAUGGGUGAAGAGGGAAAAAGCAGAAAGAACAAUACCCACCAAACCAACCCAUUUCAUCCUUGAUUUGAACACCAUUUCUCCCUUCCCUUUCAUUGCCCCCUCCCCUUUAGAUUUCUCAAACUACAGGGCGAAGCUUAAGGAGGGAGAGGAAGAAGAGGAAGAAGAAGAAGAAGGUGAAGCAGUGGAAGAGUGAGUAUAGAUUAAAAAAUUGUUGAGUGAAUCAAGUAAACGAAGACAGAGGGGGAGAAGGCAGAAGUGGAUGUGGGAGACCAAAAUGGCACGUGCGAGACAGAUCAAGCAAGUUUGUUAUUUUUAUUUUUAUUUUUAUUUGGGUAAUUUAAAUAUGAUUUAUGUGUGAUAUUACCAAUUGAUUGUGGAGAAGAGGAUGUAAUAAAGGAUGGUCCUUUGAAGAACAUAAGAAAAUGUUGCCUUUUUGCCUUUAAACUUCAAAGUAGGGUGAUCACAUGAUACCUAACCCCUUUUUCUUUCUUUUUUCUUUUUUCUCUCAUGUGACAUGGAUACACAACUUUUUGCUCAUGCCUUUAAAUAGCUUCCUACAUUUUUCUUUCUUUGUCACUUUACAUUCAAACCUUUAGAUUCUUGAAUUGAUCAUACUACCUAAUACUGUUGAUUUAUGGUUGAAUUCUUUUGUCAUAAAUAUCAUCACUCUUCAUUUAUUUAUUAGUAUGUAGUUAUCAAAUAUCAAAUACAUAACAUUAUAAUAUUGUAAAACUAGGUAGAUGGUUUAUUCUUCCUAACUUUUCAAGUUUUGAACUUUUAACAUAUUGUUUCUUUUAAUUAGUCCUUUGAAUUUUAUUGUUUUGUCUCUACUUUUAUGUCUUAGGUGUUAAGUUCAACAUUUAGUCCACUGAAUAUCAAAGUUAAUUAAGACAUGUAGGUUUCUCUAGUAUAGAUACUAAUCAGAGAAUUACUUAUAGAGUAAUUAAGAGCAUGUUAUAAUUGCUUUUUUUUUUUAAGAAAAAGAAUUGUCAAAAUAGUAAAUUUGACAAAAUACUUAGAACAUAUAGUAACAAUUUUCAUAUUUUAUCAAUAAUAGACAUUAGUGAAUACUGAUAUGCUUCUAUAAGUGACAUUAAUAGAUAGUGAUAAAAAUAUAUCAGAUAUUUUUAUUGAUAAAAUCUAAAAUUUUGCCAUAGUUUAUAAAAUAUUUUAAUUUAUUUUGCUAUUUUUUAACAAAAAUAUAAAUAUAUUAGAAACAUUUAAAAGUCAAUAUGAAUAACACUAAUUAAUGAUUAGGAAAAGUAUUUGUUUUUAUUAUAUUGUUUUUCAAGAAUCUAUUAGAAAUAAAAGUUCAAUAUUUUAGGUAAUUGUGAGAAAAAAAACCAAAUUCUAAUAUUUAUAAAUUAGAAUAACAAUUCAAAAUAUUGAUCUUUUAGGUAUGUUGCAGCCUACUUAUGUAUGCCACUCCAACUAUCACUUUCGGCCACUUUAUCGACAAGCUUUUGCAACUAAUUUUGAUGACAGUUGCCAACCAACUUCUAGCCGUCGCCAGUUAAACUUGAAUUUUUUUUUAAUAAAGACACUCUUAAGGGAGUUAUCAAAUACAUUCAUGUUUUUAUUUUAAAAACUAUUUAUCAAAAUGGUUUAAAUAAAAAUAAAUUUUUUAAAAACAUUUUCUUACCGGUUAUUCUAGAUACACUCUAAUAUUUUUAGAGAAAUUGUAGUGGUAAGAAUUUUAGAAAUAAUAAUUAAGUAUAUGGUAAUAUUUUUAAAAAAUUAUAAAUAUAACAAAGUUUAUCAGUCACUAAUAGAUUACAUUCAGUGAUAGACUUCUAUCACUUCUAUCGCUAAUAGAAUCUUCUAUCAGUGAUAGACUUUGACAAAUUUUGCUAUAUUUACUAAUAUUUUGAAUCUAAUGGUUAUAUUUACAACUAGUCCAUUUUUUUUUAAAAAAAAAUACACUUUUUCAUUUAUUUUUUCAAACUUAUUAAUAUUAUUAGAUUAACUUUUUAAAAUUAUAUCUCUUCCCUCGUUCGUUUGAAAUUAACGUUUUUUUUUCAUUUUAGGAGAUAGUAGUGGUAUAUAUACAUAUGGAGAGAGAUGAUAAUCUUUUUGUAAAAUAAUAGCUCAUUAGAUUACAUUUAUGUAAUUAAGUUCAUUUGGUUAUGUUAUAUGCGUACAAAUCUCUAAUUUAGUUUAAUAACAUCUUUAUUUUUUUGUUGGUCAAUUUAGCUUAAACACUUAAAAUUAUCUUUUAAACUUGAAAAUUACAACAUUGAUAAAAAUUAGAGACCAUACUUGAAUUUUCUAUAAUUGAAUUUAAAAUUAAAAUAUUCGUUUUACUUCAAUUUGAAGUUAACACGUAUUAAAGUUUAAAAAAACUAUAAAUUUUUUAAUUAGUUAGAGUAAUAUAAGUCUAUUGAAAAUUUUAUUCCAAAACCGAGUAAAAAUCAAAUAUCCAAAUAUUAAAUAAAUUCUCUAGAGAAGUAUAGAGUAAUCACAAGCUAUACGAAUUUAUUUUAGAAUCAAGACAUCAAGACAUAGGUAUCACGCACCCAAUAUCUGUUCUACAAAACUCACCAAAUGUCAUUAUUUAUAAGCAAUUUGACAAACAUGAGAUGAAUUACAUGCUCACUAAUGAUUGGUAUCUUCAAGACAUAUGACAAUGUAGAUGAAAGAGAAAAAAGUGACACACGAUAAUAAACAUUGAGCAUAAUAUGACAUCUACUCUAAUAAUAUUUAAUUAUAAUAAUACCACGUUUUUUUUUAAAAAAAAUUUCAAUUGUUUUCAAACUUUUUUUAUAUACUAGCCUAUUUAUCUCAUGCACAUACUCGUUUUAAUUGGUUUUUCAUUAAAACUUAUAAAUGUUUGUCAACAAUCAAUCAUUCAUAAUGUUUAGAUUAGAACUUCCAAGAAAUAUUAUUUAUCGUGAAAAAUGUAUGGAGGUGUCUUUGUAUAGUCUUUGAUUGUAUAAGUUCUACUGUUAAUAGUUGUGAGCUGAGUUGUUAAGUAUGAAAGUAAUAUGUUUAUAGAAUUAGGACGUCUACCUUUAACGUGCAAAAUUGAGUUAUUAAGUCUAUUUUAUAUAUAGUUACCUGAAAGAGGCUUACGUACGAUAUAGUUUUGAAUUCAAAAUUAAGAAAUAAAAAUUGUAUUAUAAGUGCACAACUUCCAAAUAUCUUAUUUGGGGAUUAUUAGAUUUGAUUUAAAAGCAAAGGAUAAAUAUUUUCACUUUGUCCAAUUGCCCCUUUUGGUACUCUUGGAUAUUUAGGCAUAAUGCUUGAUUGUUUUCUUCUUGUUAUUAGUCUAAUCCACCAAAAAGCUAAUAAGAGAAAAGAAACUUGUUCCAUCAUAUAUAUCCACUCAAAAAGGAAAGUGACAACCAUGUAAAGAAUGUGUACUCAAUUCACAUAGUGUAAAGGGGAAAUGAUCAUAUUGUUGCUUUAAUAGCCAAUAUCUUCCUAAGAUAUUAUAUGUAUUUAUGAUAAUUUUGGUUGAAUGUUUGUCUUUUUAAAUAUGUUCAUUCAAUUGAGAAUGAGAUAGGCCAAACUUUAUAAACAAUUAGAUUUUGGACAAUUUCCAUAUAUAUUAUACACAUUUAGAUACAUCAUUGUUUGUUUUCAUUUUAGAAGAUUUUCUAGAUGUUAGGUGAUUAUUAUUGUUAGUUAUUGGAGUUGUAUGUAGAGUAGAUACAAUUCAAUUGGUUGUAACGUUAAUAAUCUUUUUAUGAAGCCUCCAAAUGCUGGAAAGCUCUUCUACAUUGUAAAUUUCUUUAAUGAGUUUUGUGGGGUUGAGUUUGGUUGAUUCAUGAAUGUAAGACCCCAAAUCACCUCUUAAGCAACGUGUUAAGACUGGAUGCGGUAAGAGUUGUCAGAUUGGAAGUGUUUCUAUUGAUUUGACAUGUUAUGUGUUUUGAACAAGCGUUGAAUAAGUUCCUAUGCGUUCUGGCAGUUGGCUAGAGAUUUCUUAGCAUAGUACAUGAUGCCAUCCUUGUGUCUGAAGGGAGGUGCUCAGUAAGUUGGUGUUCAGACCCAGCCUCCCAUUGAUGAUCAAAAUUAGGAUGGUGACAGCCAAUGACAGUACAAAAUUUGUUGAAGCUCACUGUUGGACAAAGCUAAUCAUUUUGACAUGAAAAUCCUCACAAGAGAAGUGUAUAAUUAGGACAGUUUCGAGCAAAUUUUUAGAGCUUAAUAUGAACUUUGAACUAAGUAAGAAGCUAGAGGAACUGCCAAGGGUUAAGGAGGUUUCCUCAUAUGAGUCUCGCAUUUAAGGUCGAUGAGGAGUUUGGCCAAGCGCUUAGGCUAGAAGGAAACCUUAUCUUGACUCUUAGUGCUUUUAAAAUGUUUUGAAAACCAAAAUGAUUUUCAACUUAUAUUUGAAACUCUUGAGUAUUGAUGUUUAUUUAAUAUUGUCAUUCGAUUUAAAAAUGAAUCAUGAUUUAUUCUUGUGAAAUGUUUUGGUACCCUAUGCAAUGAACCUUACAGUUACUUUGUGAUUUGAUGUAUGAUGUCUUAUACUUGCUUUGUGAUUUGAUAUAAAAUGUCUUAUACUUGCUUUGUGAUCUAGUAUAAGAUGCUCUUUGCUUACUUUGUGAUCUAACAUUGGAAUACGUGUUAUGCGUAUAUGAAAUUGAUGAUGUUCGCUAAAUGCGUUGAGAUUAGUCAAUGAUGAGAAUGGAUGAAUGACAUCUCAACCGAGGUGAUGGGUACAUUUGUGAUACAUUGUGAUGUAUGCCUUAUGGUUUAUGAAAUGAUUUAUUCGAGGAAAAGAUGAAUUUCCAAAGAAUAUCUUUGCGAACUAUUUGUUGUGGAUUUUAAAUGUUUAAAAUUGUUAGAUGCAGCGAAAUAUUUUCGGAUUUGAAUCGCAUAUUCUUGUCAAUCGUGUUGUGCUUGCAAGCUGAAUUUUAAGUUUAUGAUUUAUGCGUUGUAUUUAUGAAAACCUAUUUUAAUGAAAUGUGUUGAAGAAAUCCCACUCAGACAUUUUGUCUAAUCUUUCAAAUGUUUUGUUUUCUCUCUCCUUUCCAGGUAGCGAAGGACAUCCAACGUUUGAUUUGUCGUCUUAAUCGCCUACCAUAUCAUAGUUGCAUCACAUUUUCUUGUUAGUGACACCCACCGCACCGCACGUGUCCUUAACCUCGCUAUGCAGCAUUCUACACAGUUUGAGUAGCUCUAACGCCUUAAAUUGAAACACUAGAACGCUCAACUUAAUUAAGUCAUUCAAUCUUGGCUUUAUUGCCUAGUUCAAACUUAACUCCUUUGGUUACUAAACGAUAAGCAAUAAUACAACUUAGUAGAAAUCAACAAACAACAUCUCUUUGAUUAACUUAAUAAUAUGCGUUCCAAAAUACAAUAUAAUACAUGUUUUCUUUUACAAUAAGACUUAAGAUAAACUUUAGGCAUUCAACUCCUAGCUCAACUUUUCAAGCUUAAACUUAGAUCGCCCCAUUGCAUAGCAAUUCACCAAACUUUUCAUAACUUGGCCUUAACACCUUGUCACAUGAGGAAGGUAAAUACUUAGUGAGUGAUAUUUUGGAAAUUCUUUUGGAGAAACACAAUACAUUCAAUAAACACAUUUCAUAAGACAGACCAUUACGCCUCAAUUGAAAACAUAAACCACACACUUGUCUUUCAUAUUCCUUCCUUCUAAGAACAUGAAUUAUUCUCACGCAUAAACUAGUGUGAUGAUUACAUCAUCAACAACAUCUUCUAAGAAUCUUUCGGCUCAUUUCUUGUUGCUCAAGCUGCUAACACAACUGCACUGAUCAACUGCUUACAACCAUGCAACCCUUUUCUACAUGGUGGUCUUGACUCAUUAUGUGCACAUAAAAGCUAGCUCAUAGAUAGAAAUAAGAAUAACAAUUUUCUCAUAUACAUAACAUACAAUCAUCACAUAAACUUAUAACUAAAAUCUCUUUCUUAUAAAACAUUCAAGCUUUCUCAAUAGGAUCAAUAAGGUUGCACAUGCUUAAAACAUUAGCAUAACAAUACAAAGGAAAAAAGAAAGCUCUAAAACUCUGUUAAGCUUUGAAAAAUUACCCACAACACUAAGUUCCCUUUUCUCAGAAUGCCUAACACCUCCUUGCCUAAUUCUUCUUCCUUUUACUAGAGUAACUUUAAGAAUGUUAGCUUAAUCGUUCCUUCUUCUGACUUUUUACCCUUAUUUAUACUAAUUCAAAAUUGGAUUAGUCAUCUUUAAGCUCUCGUUAACUCACCAACUUCUACUUAAAGUGCUACAAGUGUAGGCUUAUUAUCUUUCCAAAACAUGCUUAACUUAAUCCUUUACACACAUCCUACUAAUAAAUCUCAAUUAGAAAAUUUCCAGAAAAUUCCUAACUCUCUAUCGCUUGGCCUCUUCUCGUCUUGCAUCAAAAUGUCUUCCUUCUUUCUUGCAUUACCUAACUUCAACGUGAGCUACCAUUCAAAACGCCCAAUUCAAAAUACUCUUCUUAAAAUGCUAAUAAAUAAAGUCCUAAUUCAAAAUAACCCUUAUAUUUUAGUCACGGGUCUCACAGUUUCGCUAAAUUAAUUAAGUAUUUGGUAUGCGUUAAAUAAGUGAAUUGUGGUAGAAUUUCACAUACUAGGUAUUAAAUCACCAAUUCACCCAAAAGCUUAAGCUUGUGGUUGAAUUGAUGAUUUAAUAUGGUAUCAGAGCAGGUGAUCCAGAGAGGUCCUGUGUUCAAGCUCCUCUAAUGUCGUUUUCUCUCCAAUUAAAUUUCCACUUUGUUGGGUUUUUCAAAUAUUUUAAGCCCACAAGUGAGGGAGAGUGUUGGUGAUAUAUAAUUAAAUUUGCCUUCAACCACUAGCUUAAUUUAAUAAUAGGUAUUCAACAUAUUGUCGCAUGGUGAGACAGACAUUGAGUGUCUAGGCGAUCACACGUUCUCUUAGUCUUUGUGGGCUGGCCAGGGAGAGAGGGUGACAAUGAACCGGGCCAACUAAUUAGAUUUGAGACUUUGUUGGCCUUUGAGACAAAUUAACCCUUAGUUUUCCUCCACUGGAUUUUAACACAAAUGUUAAUGUAAAAUUGGACCAAAUUAAUAUUAUUCAAUCCAUCAUUCAUGGUAAAUACACAUGAAAUUAACAAGAUUUUUCACUUCAUGUCUUGAAUAUCAAUAUGCGAUAUAAGUCAUGUUUUAGUUACGACAUUAAUUUGAUAAAUGACAUAACGAUUUGCAAUUGGUUUCUUAUUUAAGAGACAUGCUAUUUAAUUGAUUUUAUCUUGAUUGCAUUUUGAAGUGAUUAAAUUAAAAGAUAAGUUGUUUUAAAAAAAAUACCUAAAAUGGAUCAAAUGAGUUUAUAAAAUAACGUGGUUUAGGAUUAACACUUAAAACUAACUUUUAAAAAAGUAUUUUUUAGUGCUUAGUGAUUAAUCUCCCUAAUUUGUAUGUAAGACUCUAGUCACCACCUUCGGCUUUCCUUGCUAGCUAACCUCCAACAACUGUCUCCGCAAAAUGUCACUGACCAACAUCCGACCACCGUCUUCAGCAAUCAUUGUGAAUGAUGUAUAUAUCAUGCAACAAAGCAGUUAGAACAAAUAUCAUCCUAAUUACAAUAAUUGAGAGGACUAAAUAUAAUUUCAAUAUGUAAAAGUAAAAACAGUGUUUAGGUGUUCAUACCUUUGUAGCUCUAUUCUUCACUUGUUUGUUAUUAUAGUGUAUCGUAAAUUUAUCUCUGUAACUUUAAUCUUCACUUAUUUGUUGUUGUAGUUUAUCGUAAAAUUUAUCAAAGACAACCAUCUAAAUCUUCUCUACUAUUCUUUGAACUUAGAACCAAGUUGUGGGACAAAAUUAGUGGGACAAAAUUAGUGAUCCAAAUUUUGAGUUUUUGAGAGAAAGAGGCUCUGAACACUGUGAUUUUCCAACAAAAUUCACUAAGGUUCAUCCAACUUUUACACAAUCAAAUUUGUUAAAUUAUAUAUAGCCAAAAGACAUGCAAAAUCUUACUUGCAAUUUAAUUUGACACUUAACAAUCAUUCAGUAAGUGAAUUUGGUGGAUGGAUUUGCUUGUGGAACAACACAUCAAGCACACAUAACUUAUUCAUCACACUUGGAAUCAUCCACUAAAUCAAGGUCAAAGCCAACCUUUGACUUUCAAAGCUAAAGAAUUAACCUUUUGAAUUUGGACUAAAAAUCAAAUUUAUUUUUUUAUUUUUGUAGUUUAUGUAAGAAUUUAAAAUUAUUUUAAAUAAUCAAUUUUAUAUUAGACAGUUAAUCAAACAAUUUAAUUAAAGAAAAUUAGUAAAUUUGACAAAAAAAAAAAAUUCUAACGUAUGAUUUUUUUUUCUUCAGAUUCUAUCAAUAAUAAGCAUUGAUAGCCACCGAUAUGCUUCAAUCAGUGACAUCGAUAAACAAUGAUAGAAAUCUAUGAGUGGCUAUAGUGCUAGCAUUCAAAAUUUUGCUAUAGUUUGUAAAUAUUUUAAUUUAUUUUACUAUUUUAAAAAAUGUCUCUUUAAUUAAUUAAAUUCGACUCAAGGUUGGUGAAUGAGAAUGAUCUAAUCAAAUCCAUAUUUAAAUUUUUGAUAUUUAAAUUCUAUUUCAAUAUCAUUUUUCUCUCAAUUUCUAAUAGUUAAUUAUAUUGAAUAUAUAGAACAUUAUUAAUGAUUUUACCUUUAGUUAUUAGACAAAGAAAAGAAAAGUGAGAAAUGAUAAUUAUAACAUAAUAAUAACAACAAUUAAAUAUUAUUACAAUUGUUAUUAUUAUUAUAAUUAUGUUUAUUAAAAACUUUUCGUUUUGCGUGCAGUCUCUCUUCCUCUUUCUCAUUCUCCUUCUCCUUCACUCUCCCUCUUCUCUACCUGCCCUAGCUGCGGCCUACAGUCCCUUCACCGUCGCCGUCCGAGCUCGCACGCCACCUACAUAGAUAGAGCCGUCUUCGCUCAGAUCUGUCCUCGCCGUCGAAGUCGAACGCCAACCGAAGAGUUCGGCCUCGUUCGCGUCGUCUCUCCGCUUCGCGCCAUCGCGUUUGUUGCUGCCGCUCCACUUCUGUCAAGCCGACGUCGUCUGCCGUCCGUUUUCGUUAAGAUCCAAGUUGACCCGAGUCAGUUUUUCCUCUCCCAGCCAUGCGUUGAGCCGACGCGGAUUUCUUCCCAGUCUCCGAGCCGCACAUCCCCGAUUUGAGUCAUCCCUCUCUAUCCCGAUCUACACGCUUCAAUUCCAUCCUUUCUAAGUUGCAGUUUCUGCUUUGCCCGGAACUGUGGUGGUUGUGGUAAGGGUGUAAUUUAUGAGUUUUGUAGUUGUUUUCAUUGCCCUUGUUUGUUAGGUUAAUUAUUGGGUUGUCUUGUGUUCCUUGAAGGCGUUGGAGGGGUCGAGUUGUUGGGUUUGAUAACAGAUUCUAGAUUUUAGUUAGAAUUCAAUUCUUCACUAUUUCGAUAAGUGGAAUUUACUUUUGGAGUGAAUUGAAUGGAUGAAAGUUUUGUGAAAGCAUUAGAAUUUCUACUUAAUUGUUUUAGGUUGUUUCGUUGGAGUUUAGUUGAUAAACAAGCUUAACUUAGUUAAGGAAAUGAAUUUUCUACUAAGUGAUCUCUAUAUCCAAAUGAUGAGUAUAGAUUGAAUUGAAAAUGCUUACAUUUAUACUAAAUAAUUUGAAGUUAACAAUUUUCACCUCUAAUAAGACUAGCAAUGAGACUAGUAAUGAGUCUCUUAUCGGGUAUAUUUAUGUUUAGCUUUUUCAAGAUAAUACGAGAGCUAGACCGACGAGCGAAGAGGGACAAGAAGGACACGUGAUCGUCAUAGAAGAAUUUUCUUUCAAAACUUGGUUUCGCUUAAUGUUUUUAUUGAUUUUCUAGUUUUGAUGACUAAGAUAAGUUUGACAUUUAACACUUUGAUAUUUACUGUUCAAAUAAAUUUUAGGUUAAAAUAAUGGUGGUUAUUAGGAUGAAAUCAGGUUAAGUUGGGUUAGGAGGCAACCUAUAUUUUCGGGUUAUUUGGGUUGGCAACCCGAAUAACUAGAAUUUAGUUUCUAACCCAACGCAUAGGUUGGGUUGUCGGUUGUAUAUAUAAAUAUGUUUUAAUUUUUUUUUUCAGUUUUCUAGUUUCUAAUGGUUAUAAAAAUGAAAUUGUCACAUUUAAAUUUCCCUCGUACAUAAUUCAAACUUUCAUAAAAUAAAUUCAAAAUUUAUAUACCUCUAAUUUGUUUUUUAUUAAAAUAAUAUAUGUAUAUUAUAUUAAUUCGGGUUGGGUUGGGUUGAACCGAAUUUUUCAACCCUCCAACCCGAGACCCAACCCAACCCGAAAAAAUCAAAUUUUUUUAACCCAAUUCAUAUUUUAACUUAGCUCAACCCAACUGGGUUAUUCGAGUUUAACCCAUAUUUGUAUAUCUUUAGUGGAUACAUUCUUUUUUUAAAAAGACUUCCGAUAAUACUUUUAUUAAUAGAUAAUGUGAAAAGAUGAGAAGUUGGAGAGAAAAACUAAUGGUUAUAUAAAACAUAACCCAUUGAUUUACUUUUUUUUUCAUAGGAGAUUUAUAUUUGUAUGUUUUUAUAUGUACUUUGUUACAUUCUACCUUUAUAUUCCAUAAAUUAAGGGUAUAUGCAUUAAUAUAAGAUGUAAUUUAUGGUUUCAUUCCAUGUCUAUAUUUCAUUAACCUGAGAUAUGUUUAAUAAUAUGAGGUAUAUAUUAUUGUUUCAUUGCACGUUUAUAUUUCAUAUAUGUGAGGUAGUGUACUUAAUAUAUGAGCUAUAUAAUUUAAAUUAAAAAGAGACUUGGUAUAUAUACAUAAAGAAGAUCACAGGCAAAAAUAAAAAGAUCAUAGAAAGAAAUAAAACCUAUGAGAACAAAAUUGUUCAAAAUUAAAAUUUGGAUAAAGAUAGUAUAAAAAUUAUAAUAAUAACACAAUUGAUUAUUCAUUAUUAAUUUAACUCCUACAUAAUGUAAUGAUCUGACCCUUAUAUUAUGAGGUCUGACCAUUACAAUAUGCAUACCUGGACUUUUCUAUCUUGGGAUGUGUUUUGGUCAAGAUCUUUUUGAAAAGAAACCUCAGAAUUUAAACUUUACAGAAGUUUCUUUUAUAAAGAAAAACGUUCGCCAAGUGAAAUGCAUGUGUGAUCAAAACAAAGAGUUUGAUGGUUGGCCCUUUGAGUUGCUUCCAGUCAUGCUCUCUACAUUGUAUCCUCCCUCCAAAUUUUGUAAAAUAGGACGUGAAAAUAUAUGGUUAGGACUCAAAGCUCGUACUUGUCAUAACAUGAGGUAGUCGGUUACACUUCCAACAUAAAUAUUUCUGUCUUGAUAGAAAGAUGUAGAAACUAACCCAUCUGAUAAGUAGCAUAUAAUGUAGCCAAUAAAGCCAAAAUCACAUCCAUUAUUAACUUAUAUAGCAUGAGUUUUUCGCCCUGAUAGGAAGAUGUAGACUUAAGCAAAACAACUCAUCUGAUCAUGAGUAGCAGAUAAUAUAGUUAGUAGAGCCACCUUUGCAACCAACAUUGACCUGUAUAACAUAUAAGGAAAUUGGGGCGGUGCAAGCAUACAUACUCCAUACUAGCCCCUAACAUAAACAUAUCAAGUAAUGGGUCUAGAAUGGUGCAACCCAUACAUACCUUGCUAGUCCUGGAAGCAUAAUCUAUACCUGAAAAGAAGCUUGAUCAUGAGCAUACAGCAUGAGGUCCCCUAUCAAGAAACAUGUUUGAGUAUGCAAUGUAACAUGACAAAGAUACAAUCAUAAUAAUGCAACAUAUCAAGGGCACACUACCAUAAGCCACCUAAUAAAAGAGUAAGAUAAGCUACCUACCUCAAUCAUGAUUCUAUUUAUUCUGAAUUAAUAUUCUUAUGGUUUGAUCCUACGAAUUUCAUAAAGAACCCUUAGGAUUAAAACUAGUUUUAAGGUUGUUGCAUUGUCCAAUAAUAAUAAUAUAACAAUAUAGUCUAAAUUAUUACGAUACAAUACUAUAUAUAAUGUACUAGUAAUAUGUUUGAAAAUUUUCAUAAAUAUAACAAAAACAUAAAUAUUUACCAUCCUUGUAAUAAAAUGAAAAAGUUCAUGAAGUCGAUUUUUUUUUUUUAAUAUUCUAGGUUUGUCCUUACUUAUCAUCUUCUUUCUUCUGCAAUUUUUCUUUUCAUUUUCGUUGUCUUUUCCUCUUCUUCUGCAAUUUUUCUUUUAUUAUUUUUGUAAUAGUAAUUUGGUAAAGAUCGUGAACAAAAUAUAAAAGAUCUAUUUUUUCUUUUAUUUUUUUCAAAUUAUUGUUUAGUUCAAGAUCGUGUACUAAAUAUAAAAAACCUUGAAAAAAAUUGUUGGGAUAUUGUUACACGAUAAUCGUUUAGAUUUGGGUAGCCAAAUCUAAAUGAUCGUAUAAAAAAAAAUAGUCAAAUCUAAACUACCAAUAUAAACGAUCGUGUAUAAAAAAAUAUUGAACAAAAUCGUUUCAAUUUGGCUACCAAAAUCUAAACGAUUGCGUACCAAAGAAUAAUUAAAUCUAAACGAUAAUGUGCUAAAGAAUCUUGAAAAAAACCAUUUAGAUUUAGGUAUAACCAAAUCAUACCAAUUUAAAUGAUCUUGGUACAAGAUCGUGUACCAAAUAAUUUUUAAAAAACCCAUAUACUUACAAUAAUAUUAGAUAAUAAUACGAGAUCUUUUUAAAAAUAUAACAAAUCAGUAAAAUAUUUACACCGUAUAAAACAAUUUUGAAAACAAAAAUAGUCCACGCCUCUAAUACUAAAAAUGAUCCAUAUCAUAAUUAUGGAAGCAAUAAAAUAUUUUUUUAAAAAAUAAAAGUUAAAGGGAAAGCUGAAAGAUAUUUAUUUUUAUAAUUGAGCAUAUAUCAAAAGUAAAUUCGUAGGUAUGUGAGGAAAUGAUAUAGAGAUACCCAAAUGAAAUGAAAAUGUUGAUAUAAAUAUAAAAAGCAAAGGUUGUGAGGGCAAACCACCAUAGAAGCAUGCAACAUAAGUGGGAUUGCUUUAUAUACCAAUUUCCCAUUCAUUAUUUAACGCUUCUGAAUUAACAGGCAAAACAAAACUUAUUUCACAUUAAUAAACUUGUCAAAAUAUUUCUUCCAUUGUUGUAGUAAACAGACUUUGAUUACUAGAAAAUUCACUUUUCAAAAACAAUAAAUGAGUCAUUUAACAAAACAUCCUUCAAAUACAUUCCUUCUUAAUUAAUAAAUUCUUUCUCACAUCAAAAACUCGAAUGACUAGUAGUUAUUUUGUGGCGUUGUCGAAAAAUGAUGGUUGAUGGUUAGCCAAAAUUGACCAAUAAAAUGUACGAAAGUAGUGUUUGUCAUUUUCCAUACAAAUUAGGAGAGAUUAACCAUUACACAAUAAAAAGUUAAAAAUAAAUUUUUCUAAAGUUUAUUCAUAAACCAACUUAUUUUAAAAAUUCAUUUUAAUUUCAAAAUUUAUUAUGUACCACAAAUACAAUACAAACACACAAGUGAUUACCACAAAUAUAUACAAUCCCCCAAUUUUAGAUAGAAAAAAAAAGGAAUCAAUAUAUAGGAUGAAUAUUGAUUAGAUCAAAAUUAAUACCUCAAUAUUAAAAAGUAUACAAGAUCGAUAAAUUAAUAAUAUUACAAAAGAAAUACUUUAGGAAAUAUAUUUCACCUAUUAUUAAACAAACAAAACCACUCAACUAAUAAGAAAAUCCAGCAUGCUCCCUUGUACAAUCAUUCCAUAAGCCAAGAAGAACAAAGAUAGUGAAUUCUAGCACGUCAACUAACCCUCUUUGUAAGCUUAAUGAAAAAUCAGAUAACAAAGUUAGAAGAUAAAGGGAAAGUUGAGGCAGUGUUCAACUUAAGCUCACAAAAAAUAUCACAACGUCACUCUAAUGCAUUUUCACAAUGCUACAUGUACUCGUCAAAUGUCAUAACGUUGAAUUUUCUCAAGUUUUACUUCAAAACAUCUUCAAAUAUUCUAUAAACAAAUAGUAGGACAAGAUAAAAGAGAACUAAACCAAUAAUGGAAAUUUAUAAACUUAAUUGUAAAUCCUGGAGAGAAACGGUGUCUUAAUCAAUGUGCCAAUAAUUAAUGUUACGAUGUUGUAUUCAUCAGUUUAUGAAGUAGAAUGGACCCAAUGAGGAGAAAAAAGAGACAAGAAAUGGAUUUGGAUGUAUCAUUAUUAUUGAAAAGUUAUGUUAAAGAGAUAUGAUGUGUGGAAAGGCACUUCCUCAGAUUUGACUAUUUUAUGCCACAGUAUAAAUAAUGAUACAAAAUCCCACUUUUUUUCUUUUUAUUUAUAAUUUACAUUCUAUAACCCACUAAUGGAAGUGGGUAUAGCAAAACCCAAUAGAAGUUCAUGAUCGAGGCACCAAGUUUUGCCACCCAAAUCGCUAUUGUCUCAAACAUGUUUGGUUGUUGCAAUAUUUUGACCACACAAUUAAAAUUCACUCGUUUUCUCUAAAUAUACUUCUAAUAAACAAAUGCUAUAUAAAAAAAUAUCAACUCAUGUAUUUGGGUCAUUGUUGGUUGUAGAAAAUGGAAAAUUAGUUAAAGAAUAUAAUAAAUGGGUUUUGUUGGGGACAAAGUUGUAAAUGUGCUUAAAUGACGUUUUUGCAACUAUAUAUACUUCAAUCUUCUUCCUUUAGGUCACUUAAUCGUGAAAAGAGAAAGAGAUUAGGGAGUGAGAAAGAGAGCUAUAGAACACACACCUUGAGAGAGAAAUAUUUUUUUUGCAAAUUAGCGAGAAGAGUAGCUAUUUUAAAAGACGUCUUUGGUGCUAGACAAUCUCAUGAUAAACAUUAUUUAAAUAUUGAGAAAGGUAUAAAGAACUUUGUUCUAGGUUUCCUUAUAAUCAGUUGACUGAAAGGGAUAUUGUGCAAUAUUUUUUUGUUAGAAUUGUUGUCAUCAAAUAGGAACUCACUUAAUGCCGCUUGAGGAGGGGCCUUAAUGGAUAAAACCCUCUCCUAAGCAAAGAAGUUACUUUCUAGAAUGGCCGAAAAUUCUCAAAACUUUUCUAGUAGAACACUUGAAUCAAAUGCUUCAUUGUCUUGUGAUAAUUCUGUUAAAGAACAAGUGAAUCUACUAACUAAAUGUUUUGCUUCUUUCGUGAAGGGAGAGGCUCCUAAAGUCGCCUCUUGUGCCGUUUGUGACUUGCUAGGUCACCACAAUGAUCAAUCCCCGGAGCUUAAGAGGUAAUUGCCAUGUGCGGUUUUAGAAGAAGUGAUUUAUAAAGUAAGACCUACAAUUCUGAAUGGAGGGAUCAUCUAAAACUAAGGUUGGGCCCUAAAAAACCCAAACCUAUCAACACUUCCACUUCCUCAUCUUCAUCAUAAGGUACCUACCUAGAGGAGAUCAUCUUAAAGUUAGCUCUUAGCUCAAAUAGUUUCAAAAUUGAUUUUGAGAAGAAUUUAGCUAAGUUGAGUGAACAAACCAUUAAUACAUCUGAAGCUAUUAGAAGUGACAUAGAUAUUCUGAAAGCAUCAAUUACUGAGUUUAGGACAUAAGUUUAAUCAAUUAGCAACACAUGUUCUUAGAACGAAAGGGAAGGUCAAAAUUUCCGCCCCAACCCGACCAUGCAGACUUGAGUGCUAUUACUUUAAGAAGUGAAUUUUUUAAAAAUAAAAAUGAUGAUAUUUCCUUGUCUCAAAGUGAUCCAAACUUAGAAAAAGUCAAUUCUAACGAAGAAAACAAGGUACACACUAACCCUUCUUCCUCUAAUGCUUUUUCUUCUUCCAACAAUGAUUCAAGAGACUUUACUGCUAAUCCUCCAUUUCCUUCUAGGCUUACACUAACAAGGAAGGAAAUUAAGAAUGACGAAGAAAUCCUUGAAGUCUUCAAGAAGGUAGAAGUGAACCUUUCCCUCUUGACGGAAAUCAAGAGGCGCAUAUCGAGGUAUGCAAAGUUUCCCAAAGAAUUAUAUAUUCAGAGGAGGAGCAGGAGCCAAGAAAAAGCAACGAUUAGUAGAAAUGUAUUUUCUCUUUUAAAGAAAAAUCUUCUAGAAAAAUGUGUUGAUCCAGGUAUGUUUUCACUCCCUUGCACAAUUGGUAAUAUAUACAUAUCUAAUGCAAUGCUUGAUUUGGGUGCAUUAAUAAAUGUCAUGCCUUUUAGCAUUUUUAAAGAUUUAAGACUAAAUGGACUUGAAAAGACUAGCAUUUGUGUACAAUUAGUCAACUGGUGUUUUACCUCACCAUUAGAGAUUGUAGAAGAUGUUGAAAUCAAAGUAGGAAACCUUAUAUUACCUGGUAAUUUUUAUAUAAUAGAAAUGAACAAUGAAUAUGCAUGUACCUUCACUUGCCAUUAUUCUUUAAGGAAGAUCGUUCUUAAAAUCUCCGCUAAGGCCAUAAUUAAUGUAGACAAAGGUCUUCUUAGUGUCGAUUUUGAUGGUGAUAUAGUGUCAUUGAAUAUUUUUGAUGAUGUACACUCUUCUACUGAUCAUACCUCAUUGUGUGCAUUAGAUACAGUAGAAAUAUUAGUAGAAAUAUUAGAAGAGCAUGAUAAAUUUAGUGAGUUGAUUAAUCAAGCAACUUUAGAUUAUGUCGAUAAUGAAUUUUCUAAGAACAAACCUAGUGAUGAUGAUCUCUAUUUUCCUUGACUUUGUUGCUAUUGUAAAUGAUGAACAUGUCUUAGUUGACAAUAUUGCAACAAAUGAACAUGUUUUAAAUAAUGAUUUUGCAUUUAGAAAUGAGUAUGAUCUAGGAAGAAACAUUAAUAGUGACGAUGAGCAUACUUUGGAAGGCAUUGACAUUGAGGAUAAGCAUGACACAAACAUCAACGUAGAAAUUUGUGAAAAAGAGCAUGUUUUAGAAGUAGUUGAUGAUUCUUAUGAUAUUUCUUUGCAUAAAGAAUGUGAGAAUUUCAAUAUUAAUGAGCCUACUUCGCCUUUGCAUGAAAGUGUGAUAGAACUAAAGGAUUUUCCUUCUCACCUCAAGAAUGUCUUCUUGACAGACAAACACACACUUUCUGUCACAAUCUCAAUGGAGCUUACCGAGGAGCAAGAAGAACUAUUAUUAGAGAUCUUGAAAAAAAAACAAGCAAGUCGUAGGAUGGACUUUGGAUGACUUGAAGGGUAUAAACCUAUCAUUUUGCCAGCAUAGAAUUGACCUUGAAAAAGGAGCAAAAGAUAAAGGUCCAACCUCAGAGGCGAUUGAACCCGACCUUGAGGGAGUUGGGGAAGAAAGAAGUCUUGAAGCUGAAGGAUGACGAAAUCAUAUAUCAUGUGGUACCAAAAAAAUAGGUAUGAUAAUUAUGGAAAACGACAAAGGUGAGUUUGUUCCAACUCGUAUACAAAAUGGUUAGAGCAUGUGUAUAGAUUAUAGAAAGUUAAACGAGGUAACUGCUUGUUUUGGGUUUGUAUGCACAUGCAAUUUUUCGUAAAUAUGUCAUGUUAAAACUAUGAUUGAGUGACUACUAGGCUACUAAAUAGGAUUAUGCAAUAAAAGAUGCAUUCCUAUGCAUGCGUUGCAAAACAUCUAAUGAUAUGUGCGUAAUGCAAGUUUUUCUCUAUAUCGUCCAAAUGCAAGCGAAGAGAGGUUUCCUGAUAAAUUCAGGGUUGAACACAAGAAAUUAAUUUUCCUAAUGAUCUUAUUGUGCACUAAACUCAUGGGGUAUGCUCUAUACAGUAUAAAUAUGUACAAUAUGAUUUAUCCUAGUUAUUUACACUAAGGUGCCUUGGAUGGUGCAAGCUUAACAUGGCGAUGAGAUGAUAUGGAAAAUGAACUCAGUUUAUAGGUGUGGUAGGAAAGAAUGCUUAAUUAACUAAUUGCAAUGGAUUGUUCAUUAAUAGUUCGAGGUGAUACAAAACAUGUAUUAACUUCAAAAUUAAGGUGAGCGACCUUUUGGUGCCUUCACUGUACUUGUUCGCCUCUCGAGAUUCAAAUACUUAAAGUUAAUCUAUGAUUUGUAUCUAAUCAUCUUGUUUCUAUUAUAAGCAAUUUAUCCUUAAUUAAGUCGGAUAACCUCUUGGUGAUUUUGCUGCACACGUUGGUAUCUCUGCAACUUAUAUAAAGAAUGAACUUGGUCAAAAGAUUGUAUUAUUACAAUAUUUUCGCUACUUGCUUAGUUAAAUACGUGCUCUCAUUUAUCAGGUGAUUGUGAUCAAUACCAUUGUCUUUCUCUCGAAUACACAAUAUGUUGAGAUUCAUGUUUAACUAAGCAAAACUUAUAAAACAUACACUUAGAUUCUGCAGUAUUAUAAACAUAUUCCAUUACUCAUGAACUAAUUAAACAGAUUGAACAUGGAUAGUAAGAGAGAGAUGGGAUGAUGAAAGAAGAAAUGUAUCACUAAUAUAAAUAUAACUUUAGGCCUCUCUGCCAUAGAGUAUCAAGCAAUAUAAAAUAAACAAAAAGUGGAAUAUAGAGAAGUGUGUCAAGCCUUAGAGUAUGAUUUCUCAUGCUCGUAUCCUUAGAGUAUGAUUUCUCAUACUCCUUGACUCUUAUUUUUGCCUGUUCUUAAGGGGGAGAUGGUGGGGAAAAAAUUCUUUCUCUCUUUGUGUUCUAAGCUGUCACCUAAAACUCAAGAACAAAAGAAUAAACAAUAUGAACUUGCCCUCUAACCAAAGAUUGCACAAGUUGUUAAGAAGUAGAGUAUUCUAUUUAUAGGUGAGGAGUGAUGUUGAUAGGAUGUCCCAUUCAUCGUUAAUGCCUCUAAAAAGUUGCAUCAAUGCCGCAUAGACGUGAUCCUUUCGUCCUUUUUCUGAUAUUUGUGUCAACCCAAUUUGUCUGCUAGUGGAACAGAGCGCAUAACUUGAUCGCUUUGUUUUCGUGUUGGUUGGACACGUCUUCUCGUCCAAUAUUCUAUCACCAAGCUCUACUUCUUUUUGCCUAUUAUCAUGCAAUAAAGACAUGUAAAACUUGAUAAACAAGGACAAAGUUCUUUCGUAAGAUGUGAUACACAAGUUAAUCAAAAUUACUUACUUUUUCCUUUGCUUUCUUCUGAUCUUAUGCUAUAAGACUUUAUUAUUUUACAUAAAAAGCAGUAAUAACUUGUAUUUCUACAAGCUAUCAGUAACAAAAAAAGAUAAUUUACCUUUGCCUUAUUUAGAUAAAAUGAUAGAACAACUAAUUGAAAAAUCAUAUUUUUGCUUUCUUGACAGCUUUUCUAGUUUUUACCAAAUACCUAUUGCAUGCAAUGAUCAAAACAAAAAUAACUUUUACAUGUGAUUUUGGAGCGUUUGCCUUUAGAAGAAUGCCUUUUGGACUAUGUAGUGCUCCUGCUACAUUUCAAAGAUGCAUGCUUAGCAUAUUCCCCUAUUUUGUUGGUAAAUGCAUUGAAGUGUUUAUGGAUGACUUUACAUCCUAUGGUGAUGAUUUUGGGACUUCUCUAAUAGUUUAGAAUUGAUUUUAAAGUGAUGCAUAGAUACAAACUUAGUACUCAGUUUAGAAAAGUAUUUUACUUCUCACAAAGAUUUUCAAUCAAAAGGUAUCAAACGAUCAUUUACUUCUUACACGAUUGACUAACUUUCCAUACGAUUGUUUAACUAUACAUGAUCGUUUAACAAAGUACUCUGUCAAAACUUAAUGAAAAUAGAAUGAUAGUGAUUUCAAACAAAUCAUUCAAAUUAAAAUGAAACUAAAGUUGUUAAUCCACAACAAGAAAUCAACAGUGAAAAGCUUAUGUUUCUCUCUCUAAACAAUUAAUCGACUAAAUGAGAGAGAAGUAGAGAGAGAAUCAAACCAAUAUGAUGCUUCCAGUGACAACAAAUUGGAGAAUAAGAAACCAUAGAAGAGAAUUGACUAUAGGUAAAUAAGGAACAAUUUAACCGUUGAGGGAAGAAGAAACAUUGUGAAAACAAAAUUAAAAAAAAAAAAAGAAGAAGAAGAUAAGAAAAGAUAUGGUUGAUUGAUGAAAGAAGUGAAGAGAUAAAAGCCAUUGGCAGCGAAAGAUUUUACAGAACUCUUCCUCAAUUUAAUUUGAAAAUCUCAAAACAUCGGUACAUUGACAAUAUUUAGAAUCAAAAUUCUAAAUAAAAAACUAAGCAUGUUGUUUAAAAUUAAAAGAUUAAGAGAACUUACUCUUGUUGACGUCUUUAAAUCUACAAUUUAUCAAAUUGGGGACACCACCUGUGACAGACCUUCUUAUCAUUUACGAUGAGAUUAAUUUGUGGUAACCAAUUGAAAUAGGAAAAUGUUAGAGAAAAACUAUUUUGCAUAAAAGCAAAAUCAUUUUUUUAUUGAUUGAUUAAAAAAAACUAUUUUCCUUAUGCAUAUUUAUAACUUUCUUUCCUUUAUAGUGUAGAAAUGAAAUAGAAGAUAAUGAUUGGAUUCUAUUAAUUUAAAAAAAUAUUAAAUUAAUAGAAAUUUCAAAUAAACUAAUUAAUUAACGAUUAAUCAAUCAAUAAUUAAUUAUAUUAUAUUUAAUUAAUAAUUCAUUUAAAUCAUAUUUAAUGAAUAUCUCUCCAAUAUCUUAUAGCUUUAAAUUAAUUUAAUUAAAUAAAAUAAAACAAAACUAUUAAUUAAUUCUCCAAUUAAAUAAGAUCUAAUUAAAUAUCUUAUAUUUAACUUAAAUUAAAUUUGAAUCAGAUCCAAACAUAAAUUUCUUUAUAACCAAUAAUUUUAAUAUGAAUCUAAUUCACAUUAAACUAAUGUUUGAAUUCAUUCAAAUAUUUUAUCACUUAUAAAUUAAUUUAAAAUCAUAUCCAAAAUAAAAUUUAUAUAAUAGAGUUUGAUUAAAUAUAAACUUUUUAUUAUAAUGCAUCACCAUAUAUUAUACUAAUUUCCAAAAUAAAUUUGAACAUUUCAAAUUACAACCAAUAUAAAUAAAUCUUAUUACACUUUACGAGCUAGGAAGAUGACUUAAUGGAUCUACAGAUCAAAAUCUACAACAAUAUGAGAUUAAUUGACUAAACUCAUUAACCACAUUAAUCAAUAUUUGUUAAUUGUGUAUACACUCCACUAAAAACUCACAACUGAACUCUUCUCGCUCUAGAUAUACUUUUUUAUCUACGGAUAUAGACCUGUAAUAGUAAGUUAGUCCUUCAUGAGUAUCGUAACACCAAUUAGGUCAAAUUACCGUUUUACCUCUAGGUUUCCUAUAGUUCUUAGAUAUUAGUGCUCCUCUAAUGAAUAACAUAUUUAUGGUCCAACCAAUAAACAAAAACCUCUCUUAUGCCAUGGAGAGGGUAAGGUCCUUUAUUUAGACACCAUAAGGAAACAUUCAUCUACUUACCCAAAAGUAGGGAAUGACUGAAUUUCAUCUUGUGUAAUUAUGUUUCCAAUCCCCAUGUGGUUUUGUCUUCAAAACGAUAAGCAUAUUGAGUUGGCGAUCUGGUCACUCUCACCCGUACAAAUUAAAGAACAAUCCAUCACGAACAGAAGUUCAUAAUACACUCAGGAUUAAGACUAAGUUACCUAGGUCAUCCUAAUGAAACAGAGUUACAUCUAGUGGUUACUAUUUCGUAGUCCUGUCGUAUGCAAACUCAUUGCAUAAGAUACUCUCACUCACAUGUCAACUACACAAUGUGUUGGAUCAUUCCGUUUGUAUCAAAUACAAAAUGAGUCGUAUCUGUAUAACCAAGAUAAGAUACCCAAUCUUAUUCCUAUACUAUAAGCUUUUUAAGUUGAUUUCGAACAUUAAUCCAUGUAUAUCUCUAAAUACUGUUCAAAACUUAUCAAACAACUUAUGAUGGAGAGUUAUUAAGAUAAAAGUAAUAAUAUAAUGAUAACAUUGUUUUUUGAAUUGUAAAUAUAAUGUGUGGCAUUCAAAUUCCUUAGUGGCAUAAUUAAAUGCCCCUCUAACCAAUACCCAUUAAUUAAUUUCAAUUCUAUCAUCAUUAAUAUUCAACUCUUAUGCAUUUCCAAGCCGCCGCGUCCACUACCAAUAUAUAUAUAUAUUUUUAUUCUAAUUGUUUUCAUUUCCAAAUUGCUUCCCUUUCUUUCCUUUUCUUUGCUCCAAUCAUCAUUGUUGUAAACAUCAAUGUUUUUUUUAAUCAGGCUUUAAAAUAGUUAAAAAUCUUUCACAUCUACCAACCCACUAAACAUUCUUCGUUUCAACUUUAUCAAUAUACAUUUGAGUUGUUGCUAAUUGGUAAAGAUUAACGAGAAAUUACAACUUUUUUUUAUUUAAUAUAUGUCAAAAUAAUAUUUUUCUAAAUCACCUGCAUGACACUUUUCUUUCUUAUAAAUUAAACCAUUUAAAUUAUUCAUUUUUUUUAAUAUUUACAACCCAAAAUUUUAAAAUCUAUCCAGUUAAAUUCUAGUAUUUAUAAGUGUAAAUUUACCAAAAUGUACCGUUUAAAUUUUAAUAUUUUAAAAGAAUAAUUCAAAUAGGAAGGAAACCGUGUGUUGAUGUACAAACAAUGCUCAUCAAACCUCUUCCAAAAAUGUUAACAAAUGAUGGAUCAUUAAAUUUCUUUGUUUGCACUUGUUAUGAAUUACCAAGUAUAUAGUUUGAAAAUUUGACGAAGUGACCAAUUUCUUGUAAUUCUUAAUCUAUUUGAACAAAAUUAAAAUCUAUAUAUAUGAUAUAUCAAUUGAAGCAUCAUAAUAUUUUAAAAGCAUAUAUAUGCAUCAACUAAUUCAAUGCUAACGCAUUUGUUUUUCAUUUUCAUUUUCUUUCGGUUUUAAGUUAACCUUCUAUAUUUGGUUGGUAUAAAAAUUUUCAAGAAAUUAGAACAAAUGGGACUACAGAAUAAAACCAUAUAAAUAAAUAUUCAUAAACAAAGUUAGCACGAUCCUUUAACUUAAAUUUGAGAUCAAACUUCAUAGUUUAGCAAUUAAUUAUUUAAUUACUUGUAUUAACAGAAGAGGUCAAAAAUCUAAAUUUUUCGAAAGUGUCUGUCAAAGGAAAAGAACCAUGCCCUCAAAUUGAACUUAGAUGGUAAUUAGCAAUUUAGCAUGACAUUCCUUCUAAAGAAGGUUUGUUAGAUGUCUACUGUAAAAGAAUUAAUUGAAAAGAAAGAGCGCAUCAAAUUCAUCAACUCUCAUUUUCAUUGAUUUACAUGUUGGGGACAAAAUUUAUGGCAAAAUUCGAAAGAAGGAAAGAGAGAGAGAGAGAGAGAGAUCAUAAUUGAUUAAGCAUAUAACAAAUGGAGAUUCAAGGGAAGGGAUUUUGAUGGGCAUCUUGUUGAUUUGUGGAGCAACUACAAGGCGGUAUGGCGGCGGCCGGCAAAGCCAAGAAGGUAGGCAUGUCGUUUCCGGCCAUGAUGACAAAAAACUUGGGCUCCAUUAGGAGAUUCACGGUGGAGGACGUGGCAGCGGGUGGGUCCUUCUGGCCGCCGGUGAAGCGUUUUCGGAACGAGCAUGCGAUGAUGAUAAGAGCUGCGGCGAUGAGAAGCAAAGUAAGAGAAAGGCCGCCGAAGAGGUAAGGAAUGGGCGACUUCCAUAGGUGAAGCUUGAGGGCGGUAGCUGAUGGUGGUGCAGUUGCGGCGGCUAGGCGCCUCAUCUCUUUGUUUAAUUAAUACCAAUAUAUUUAAUAUUAGGGGUUUUGUUUUAGGGAUGUGAGAAAAUUAGCCAAAUGGAAUGUGUGAUUUAUAGUUGAAGUUUUGUGACUCUCAAGGCUACGUGAUUUUACCAAAAUACCCUUCUUCGGUGGGAAGGAAGAUUCCUUUUAUGCUCUUGUUCAUGUAUUUGGGUACCUGGUUUAAUUACAGGAAAAAUGGUUUCUCCCUUUUUU